ACAGGCCGAAUCCUCUCACCAAGAGCUUGGCGCAGCACAGUUUCAGUCUGCACACAGACACCCUCAAUACAGUCAACAACCACCAAAGCACCAUCAGUGAUACGAAGAGCAGCUGUGACUUCCGAAGAGAAGUCAACGUGGCCAGGUGAAUCAAUAAGGUUGAUCAGGUACUCAUCACCAUCCCUGUCGCCCUUGUACAUCUCGAGUGAUUCAGGAGUCAUCUGAUAGAAAAGAGAGAUGCCCGUGGAUUUGAUUGUAAUACCACGUUCUGCCUCGUCUGCACGCGUAUCAGUCAUGCGAACAUCACCAGCUACUUCCUGGGCAAUAAUCCCAGCAGCUGCCACAAGGGAAUCCGUAAGCGUAGACUUGCCUGUACACAUGUAAAAAAUACAAGGACAAUGCACAAUUUUAGUAUUCUGCCAACAAAAAGGAUCAAGUUUGAACAGUAGAACACAAUUCAUAAGAACUGGGAAUUGAAUAUAUUAAGUUUUUAAGAAUUAAGUAGUACACAACAGCACAGUACAUUGAGACAAUCCAGAAACAAGAGAAUAUGAAAAUAAAACAAACCAGGUACAGUAACAUGGCUAAACACAAUCUACUGGGACAAAGCAAGAAAAACAGCACAUGUAUGAGAUCAUCAAAUCAAAGUUAUUAAGCACAAUGGUGCAAAUUGCUGAGCUUAUAAAUUGUAACAAAUACAGCCAUUAACAUGAUUAUAAACCAAACUGGGUAGAUUUUGAAACCCAGGACCCCAAGUUAACUGAAACUCUACGACACGCGUGGGAGUACAUUUUAAGGUUACUAAUUAUUUUGAGUCCUGGGACAAUGAGUUAACUGAAACUCUACGACACGCGAGAUGGAACUAAUUAAUUAAAACAAAUCUGAACAGCUAAUUAAACCAAUUUAUUGAAAUAAACAGUUUACAGCAUUAAGAACAGACAAUAAAAACGAUGAUCAACGAGUUUCUAGAUUAACCCAGCAGUCAGAAACCACUGUUCACUGUUCAGGCACAUACCAUGGUCGACAUGAGCAAUAACAGACAUGUUACGGAUAUUGUUCUUUUUGUCCAUAAUUCCACGGAGCUCCUCUGCAGUAAACUUCACCAUCGUGACUGCCUUUGAAUAUCACACCGAGAAUUUAAGUUCCUGUCCAGAGAACGGCAAAGUUAUGAGAAAUGAACAAGAAUCAGAUGUGAACUACUAAACGUAAAUGUCCAGCACUGUAAUAUAAUGAUAAUGUUGAAGUAACUGUAACCACAAUUGUCUACUAAAAAUGCUUAAUAUUGAAGAAAAAAACAAUCCAGAACAAACAGGUAAUGCAAAAAAAAAAUCACGGCAAGAAAAGCAAUCAACUAUGAAAAGUGUCCUUGCAAAAGCUGGUCCUCCAGUAUUGAAGGUGCUGCACAACUAUGAGGAACAAACAUGUAUGGAUUUCACAAAUUAAACCAAAAACUUCCAGAUGUGUACAACUAACCAAGAGGUGAAUACUAGUAAAACUUGACAGGAAUUGGUCUAAUCAAGUUAGAAAGGCUUAAUAAGUAUAUAUACUAUUAAGUGAUCUGUACAUGAAUAAGCAAGCAUGUAUCUGCUGACCAUUAAGUGACCAGUAAGUCAUGUAAUUUAAAUUUCAUUAUUACCACAUAACUAUAAUCAGUACGCAAGCACAAAAGCUGGUACAACUCAAAAAGCAUAGCUUGACGCCUGAUUAGACAGGGAACCAAGCAACCAUGUAACAAUUUCUUUUCCAAGCAAUGUAUGAAUUGCAAAGCACUGUAGAAGUAGAGCCCCAAAACAAGACGGAUAAUGGUCAGGUCAGAGAGAAACUAAUACAGGGGUAGCAUUGGGAAAAAACAAAUCAUACAUGAUGAGCACAGAGAAAAAUGCAGAAGAUGCCCACAUAUAAUAGUUCAGAUCAGAGAAAAACUCAUGCAGAACGCCUAUAAUAGUUCAGAUCAGAGAAAAAUUCAUGCAGAACGACUGAACUAAAAUUACAUAAGAGUAGUAGUAAAGCACAGCGACAUAGGCAUCUUCCCUUUUACACAUUAAAUUAAAUUAGAUUAAGCAUGCGAGACAGUGACAUGCAUCUCCCUCCAUUUUCUCCACGCUGAACAUGAUGGCAGAAAAAAAAAUCGACCAGACUACGACAGGCAGCAAAUCGAGCAAGCAGAACUCUGCAGCUCGAACGAGUUCCAACGAAUCCAAUGGCCGAGCAGCCAAGCAAAGCAGCCAAAAGUAGAAGAUAACAGAACACGAACCCGAACAAAAAAAAAACAUAGACCGGCGUCGACCGCACCGCAACGACGGAAACCACGGGCGCCUACCACCUAAGCGACCACAGGUAACUGGCGCACGCACGCAGGGGGAGGAACGAGGGGCAUCGAUCCAACUACGCCGGAACGGAUCGCUUCCGGAGCAACCGAGCGGGGCGAACGGAGCGGCAGAUCUACCGCGGGAAUGAUGCGCGCACGUCCCUGACGACCACGAAUCCGGCGAACCAGAGCCUAGAUAACCCAGUGAAGCCGCUCGACUGGGUGGCAGCUAGCUGGCAGCGGACGCGGCGGCGGGCUCCGGGGAGAAGCAAUCGGAGGAGCGGGGGUCUCACCUUGGGGCUUCGCGUUCCGCGUCCCGAUCCGGCGGGGAGGAUGAGAUGAGGAAGCGGCGGCGGAGAAGAGGGCUUCGGGUUUAGGGGACGGGGACGGGGACAAGGGGUGGAGAGGGAGGAUUGCCGAUAUACUUCAACUGCCGCUGUCCUGGCCCAGAUGCGUGUGGUGCAGAAUGGGCGGCACGCAACCACGGCCCGGGAGUAGCUGGCUGCGUCGACUGAAGGCCCGGGCAAAUGGGACCUCCUAACUGGCACUGCAGGCGCCAGUUUCGCUUGCUGGCGCCCACGCACCUCUGCUAGUGUCCCGGCCCAUAUACGCAGGCGCUCCUAGACCAGUGACUGGUGGCGGGCUCGUUUCAGUCAGUCGUUGACUAAUAGUAUGAAAGAAAAUAAAAAAACUCGUAAUUAAGGGGGAAAAUUGUGAAUUUGAAAAUUUCACGGAUUUUGAAGAAAAGAUCACGAAUUUUUCAAAAAAGUUCAUCAGAUAUGGAAAAGUUCAUCGGAUUUGAAAAAAAAAGUAAAUCAAAUCUGAAAAAAGUUCAUCGGAAUUGAAAACCGAUCAUAGGAUUUGAAAACAAGUUCAUCGGAUAUGAAAACAAUUCAUCAAAUUUGAAAAAAAACUUCAUUGAUUUUGAAAAGAGUUCAUCAAGGCUGAAAAAGUUCAUCGAAUUUGGAAAAAAAAUCAUCAAAUGUGAAAACAAAAAUCAUUGAUCUUGAAAAAAGUUCGUCCAAUCUGAAAAAUGUUCAUCAAAAUUGAAAAUAAAAUUCGUCAUUUUAGAAUAGCUUCUGGUCUUCUCCUUUUUCUAAAAUAAAAAAAAUGAUCUUCUCCUACUGCUGAAAAAAAAAUAUCUUCUCCUGCCCCUAAAAAAACUGAUCUUCUCCUUCAUCAUUUUAGAAUAGCUUCUGGAUGCAAGGUGAUAUAUGCCAUUAAUGACCACCAGGGUGGUCAGCAUGCUAUGGUUAUUCGCAAAAUUAGCAUGAGCCCAUUGGAAUUUCCAUUUGUCUCAUUUGUCCACCAAAAACAUAAAAGCCCCAUACGAAAGCAUGCAACUUAACUAACACAUGCACUGACCGAGAUAAUGAAAUAAACUGCAUGCUCAAUGUGCCCAGUGAGAUAGUGAAUGAGAAAUAUUUGGGAAUACCCUCUAACAUCGAAAAUUCAAAGAAUGGGCCUUCAAAUAUUUGAAGGACCUAUUGUGGAGCAGGAUUCCGGGAUAGAUGGAACAAACUCUCUCUACAUCAGGCAAAGAAGUGUUAGUCAAGUCGGUUGCUUAGGCAGUUCCGGUGUAUUCAAUGUCUUGCUUUAAACUUCCGAGGGGAUUGUGUGAACAUGUGAACAUGCUAAUCAGGAAAUUCUGUUGGGGGGACCAAAAUAGCCAAAGGAAGCCUCAUUGAGUCUCAUGGAAGGAUAUGACGCAAACAAAAACAAUGGGGGCUUGGAUUUCAAGGACAUUGAGUUGUUCAACCUUGCAUUGUUGGCAAGACAAACGUGGUGCAUGCUUCAAAAUCCUCGGUCCUUAAGUGCUUGAAUCCUAAAGAGUGUCUACUACCCACAAUCAUCAAUUCUUCAUGCAACUUUCGUCAAUCAUCCUAGCCUGGAGACCAAUUAUAGAAGGGGCGGGAUACAUUGAGACAAGGUCUCAUUAAACGGAUUGGCAAUGCUGAGACAACGAGAAUAUGGUCAUGGAAUUGGCUUCCGAGAGAUGAGAUGAUGCCACCCUAUAGUUUCUUAGUGCAGAACCCCCGAACGUUCGUCUCUGAACUCUUGUUAUCGAAUUCAGCCACAUAGAAUGUACGUCUAGUUAGAGGGGUUUUCAUGCCUUUUGAUGCGGCGAUCAUAGCCAAGAUUCCCCCGCGCGAGAAAUAUCGAGGAUGUAUGGUUGUGGCACUUCGAAUGGAAUGGCCGGUUUACCGUUAGAUCAGCAGAUAACAUGUUGGUGGCGACCAAGAAACGCCAUGAAGCAUAGCUAAAGGGAUCGGUCGGAUCUCCGAGCGGUACAAGAGAAGAAAAAGGUUGGAAAAGGUUGUGGAAAAUAGAAGUGCCAAGAAAGGUGCGCAUGUUUGUUUGGCGACUUUCAAAACACUCUCUCCCAACUGAGGAUGUGAGGGCUCACCAACACAUGGCCACGUCUCGAGCAUGCGGUCUUUGUGGAGCAGCGGAUUCAUGGCGCCACUCUUUACUUGAGUGCACCAUGGCAUGAUGCACAUGGGCUUUGGUUGACCAAGAUGUGGGUCAGAGCUUGAUAGCUAAUGCAGAACCGAGUGCCAAACAUUUGUUGUUCUUCCAUAAGGAAGCAUUUAUCGCAUGACUUGUUCGUGAAGCUCACUGACACACUUUGGGCCAUUUGGAGAACUAGGAGAAAAGCAUACAUGAAGGCAUAUUCCAAAGUCCUAAAUCUUUGCGCUCGUUUACCACAAGAUUCAUUGCAAAGUUGGAGAUAUUACAAGAAGGCAAACCACAUAACAUUGGAGGAAUACAAACCCCCGCAGGAGCAUCUAUUCGGCAUCAAGCAAAAGCUCCACUUGUGAAUUAUGCCAAGAUUCAUGUAUAUGCGGGAAUGGAGAGGUGGAGCAGCUUCGGUUGUGUGUCGGGUUCACAAUAGCGUUUGUCUCGAAACCUCGACACUAGUCAUAGAUGGUGUUGAUGACCCGAUAAUAGUGGAGGUGAUAGCAUGCAGGGAGGCACUCUGUCUAGCGGAAGACCUACACUUACAACAAUUCAUUAUUGCUUCUAUAGACAUGAGUCAACGUUCGUGAUCGUGCAUGAUGUGUGUAUGGUUAGUAAACGAUUAUAAACGGAGGCGUCACAACAGGUAUGGCAUUGUAGUAUGCGUGUAAGUAAUUUUGUUUUUGAAGGUCGUGCCAGCAACUUUGAGGCGCACAGAUUAGCUAAAUAAGCAGUUAAUCUAUCUCCCAAGCAUCAUCUAUGGUUUGAUCAACCUCACACUACUGCAGAAAAUUCUAGCUAUGAUGUGACAAAAAAUAGCCUUGCUGGCGUGAAUACCCGACGCCAUCAAUAUCCCGCCACAAUUAAAAAAUAGUGGUGGGAUUGAAGACGAUGCCAAUAGUAUAUUACAUGUUACUCGCGUCCACAUAGUCCAACGUUAUGAAUUAAUUUUUUGGAUAAUGAAAAAAAAAAUACUUCAGAGACUAAGAAUUUAAACUUCACAAAAGGUAUUGAUCAAUUAAACAUACUCGUAAACUUUAGAGUUUACAACUUAGUACUGAUCAACUAAACAUACUCAUAAACUUCAGAGUUUAAAAAAUCACAAAAGAUACUGAAAUAAUUAAAACUACUCUUCAUCAAGGAUUAUCCUCAGCUGGUGAAUCUUCUUUCGGUUGCUCUCUCCAUCUUUUUUGAAGUGAGCAACUUAUGUCUGUAGGUCAACCCUCUCUGUCAUGAGUAGUUUUUUCUUCUUCUUCAGAUUAUCCCUCUCCUCAAGCAAUUUAUCCCUCUGCUCCCCCAGUUUGUUUGACUUAACGAGGGCAUUAGCAUCCUCUGUGAGCAGACUAUCCCUUUUAUUCUUCACAUACGCAUUAUUUUCUUCCAAAUUUUUGAUGUACCACUGUGACUGACCUAAGCGCCACAUAUUCCACUUGUCCGCAUCGCAUACAUCGAUUCAUUGUCGCUUGUAGAAUUGUCCAUAUGUCUUGUUUCAAAUUAUGUACACAAGCAAAUUAAAACUUGUAGUAGCAAUUAUACAUCAAGUACUACCUUUUUUUAGUGGACAUCAAGUGCUACCUAAUAUAGACAUUACAAGAUUGAGACAUAUGAUCUCAAAUGCAUCUAAUAUAAAGCACUGAAAACAUAUCUUAGAAUUCAUAUGAACCUCACCAUCUUAAUUAGAAUGAAGAAUUUAAAAAUAACAUGCAUUCCAUAGAUUUGUACUCACAUAUCUUAGAAUUCAUAUAAACCUCACUAAUAACAUGCUCAUAUGUGUACUACUCCCUCUGUUCCUAAAUAUAAGUCUUUUUAGAAUUUUUAUUAAGGGACUACAUACGGAUGUAUAUAGACAUAUUUCAGAGUAUAGACUCAUUUAUUUUGCUCCAUGUGUAGUCUCUUAGUGAAAUCUCUAAAAAGACUUAUAUUUAGAAACGGAGGGAGUACAUAAUACUACAUAGACUUACUAGCAUAUACUUUUAUCAAUUCAAUGACAAUUCAUAGACUACAUAGACUUACUAGGCAUAUGCUUUUAUCACUAAUAACAUGCUCAUAGCGUGCUCUUUUGAAUUGUCAAUUCAGUGUCCAAAAUGCAUAUACUCCCUCCGUUCUUAAAUAUAAGACAUUUUAGAGAUUGCAUUAUAAACUACAUACGGAUGUACAUAGACGUAUUUUAGAGUAUAUAUUCAUUCAUUUUGCUCCGUAUGUAGUUUUAUAGUGAAAUUCCUAAAAGGUCUUAUAUUUUACAACGGAGGGAGUACUAAACAUGGCCACUACACAAUUAAAGGGGAAAUAUCAAUGCAGAUUGUCGAGAUUCAAUAGGUAGGAUGACUAACUUAGGGGCUAAAGCGAAACUAAAUCUAGAACUAACUAAGCAUGGCCACUCCACUCCCACUGUUCUAACGGCAGCUAUAUCAUCGGAGCGCCAACUAAUUUGUCCCAAUGUACGAUCACAAUGUGUAAACUUGGUUAUUAAGAAAUAAAGUGGAGUGUGUUUUUCCCAACUCGCUCAAAAGAUGUUAGAUCACGCUGAGUCGGUCUAAUUUUGCACACAAAAAAACAUCACUUUUCACUUUGAGGAUGAAUCGUGUAUAUCAAUUAGGAAACAUUGACAUUGAUGUGCGAGGGUCACCCCUACACUGUUUCGUAUGACCUGAUGGCUAAACCAUGAAUAAUUUUGUUCACCUCCCUACUAAUAUUGACCAUUAAACCAUGAACAAAUUUGUCCACCUCCCUACUAAUAUUGUUUUCUGCUCGAAAAAUAUAUUGGUCACUUUCAUCCGUCUUCAUGCUAGCGUCUCACGUGUUCAAAGACACUUUUCCAUGCUACAGUAGGUUUCGGUAAAUAAGAAAACAGUCUGAGAAAUUGAUGGCCAGCCUGAGCCCUCAACAAAUGCAAUAGUUUGGCAUCAUGGAGGCUCCCAUGUAGAACAAAUAACCCCACCACUUUGAUUCCAUAACCAUAUAGUUCCAAGCACCUUUGCUACAACAACUCUAGCAGUUUCCCUAAAUCCGCAUAGCCUUUUAAAAAAGGUUUUUACCUGGUCAUUAAAAAAAUUCAUUACAAAGAAGUGAAUGAAAAAUCACACCCUGCCAUUAUUAAGGAUAGUAAAACUGCACCUAUUCCCUGCCCUCUCAGGCCAUCAAAUGUCUGAACCAUUCGUUUUUAAGAUUCCACUGUUUUUUGCCGUUGAAUGCACCUCAAUCUCUCUUUGCUCUGAACAUGGCCACGACCUGGGCUUGCUGUCCAAAGGGCAGCUAUUCCCAUAGCUUUUUUGGACCAUUAUGGUUAAUUGGGCCAGGCAGCCCAUCUAGCGAAGCCGUCGAGACAAAAUAGCGUUGGAAAAAAAUCUGCUCCGAACAAUGCAGUCGUGCUCCUUUCUCCCUAACCCUAACCAUUCCAGGCAGCGGCGGGGAAGUUCCCGUGGACGAAAGAGACGGGAGCGUACAUGACAGAAAGGUCAAGCGAAGCACUCCAGCGCACGACGUUGACCUUGACGAGCAUGUCGACUCGUCGUGUGAUGUCGUUCGCUAGGGUGCGGAGCGAUGGGAUCUCCUUGCAGGCAACGCCAACGGACGGUGAUAGGGGAAUCCAAUCGUCGCUUGUAGAUUCGACUCCAGUCGCCGUCGGUUUAGGGAUAACUCCUGACUCCGACAGCUAUAGUUGGCCCUUUAGUCCUUCGUCUUCUACAUUCUGCGAGUGUUCCCUCCUUUGAAAAAACCCAUAUUUUCCAAUCCUUGUCAUUUUUUUUUAUCUUAUUCAUGAUGUUAUUUGUACUCCCAAUUCCUAAAUUGAUGCAGGUGUCUACGGAUUCAAUUUCGGUUCCGCUAGGUUCUCUUCUCCCUUGUAACAAAUUAUGUGAAUCUCUUAUAUUGCUAACAGACAUGUUAAUAUCCUUGUGUAGUUGUGUUGUUAUGCCUCCAUGAACCAUUUCAUAUAUCUUCCUGUAGAUGCUUUCCAGAAACUUUGCAAGAUUAACAGUGAAGAGAGGUCAAAUUGUUGUGUUGGUGACUAUACGAUCCAAGAGAAAUAGAAAGGGCAUACCAAGAUCGAUAUUAGCAUAGUAUUAUUUGCAUUCUUUUAGGCUGUUUUUUCAUCUAAUUUUUGUGUCUGAUUUUAUGAUUUUAUAUGUCUUAUUCUCAUAUAGUAUGAUGCUUUGUAAUAAAUACGAGUGGUACACUAAUAUCUAGAUUAGCAUAGGACUAUUCACAUUGUUAUAGGUGUAUUUCCCCAUCUACUUUUUUUGACUUUUUUAUGCCGUGAUAUAAUACGAUGGUUUUUAAAUAAACAUGCACGCUAUUUUAUUUACUCUAAUGUAUGAGUCAAAAUCUAGGUGCAUAUCUCAUUUACUUGAUAUGAUCUUUAGAUGGAAUUUCCAUGUGAGAAAUUUGUUUCGACAGUUGCAACGAAGCAUGAUAGACAAUGGUCUGGAAUCGCAAUGUAAACUCUUUCAUUGCGUAACUCUAAAUAAAACAUGCAAAGCAGAUGGGGAGGCAGGGUUAACAACAAACCAAAUGGAAUUCAUAUGUAUUCCAUUGGAAUCAACCAAACUUUGGUUUGUGUUCUUCACAUUGUUUCUUUAUUUACUCCUACAGUCAUGUGUUCCAUCGCAUGAAUAAAUCCUUCUCUCCUCUCAAGCAGCAGGGUACGAGCACAGUAUGGCCGGGAUGAUGCCGAGCCAUUGUUUUGUGUUGCUUGCGUGGAUGUCGUUGUCCACUGCAUGCUCGCGUCAUUGAUCGGCUUAUAUUUUUGUGUGUUAAAUUGGUAACAUCUUUUUAUUUUCUCUCUGGUCUGCAGCUUCUUCCCAAAGUCAGCAAAUUCGAGAACUCAGUGAGGUCCCUCUUAUUGUUCCUUUGAAAAUAGGUACUUUUACUUGUUUUACAUGCCUUUUGUUUUGGUUUUAAGCUGGAUUAAAGAUCACACACAGAAUGCCACUUCAGUCACUUGUCAAUAUGAGCAUAUCAGCUUCAAAAUAACUAUAUGUUCAGUAGAUGUAUCAUGGUAUCUUUGUAAGUUUCUUCCACCUCUUCAACUGUAGUUGAUUGUGCUAAUUUAUACUACAACUUCAAUUUUUACCAUUGAUGAAAGUCUUCACGUCUUCUUAGGACUUGCAUUACUUACGUUGGACUCUAUUUGUGUUGGCGACUCUCAUAUAUUAAAAGAAGCCUAUUAUACUAUCAUGGAACCUCUAGAAGUUUGCUAACACCUCAAAGGUAUGUUGUUCCAUCAACUUUUUUGACAUCCGUUUUCUCUGUAUUGUACAGAGAAUUCUUUUGAGAUGUAGCAGUUGGUGUAUCAUAUAGUUGAGAAAAUACACACCUGGUUUAGUCUCUCUAAAAAUGUGUGGUCACCCAUCCAUUAACCAUUAUACGUAACAGUAGUUGAUUUAGGUCAUUCAUGAUUUGUUACGACAUUGAAUCAUCCCAAGUUCGGUUAGUUCAGUUUUCCAUUUUAGUUCAAUAAAAAUCAUUUUUUGUCUUUCUCUUUUGAGCAUGUUUAAGCCUUUUUGUCACUUCCAUUUUUUUUGUAAAUUGGGAAGGGAAAUUACUCACUUAGAAUCUAAACUUACAAGGUCAUCUGGUCAUGCAUUUAGUAGUUGAUUACAAAAAUGUAGACAAUAGUGAAAAAUAGUUGCUCGAUAACAAAACUAGCAGUUCUGUAUAUGCAGUUACGUAUUACAACUUCAUUUGUUUGUAGCUUUUCAAGUUAGCAUGCUACAUGCAUACAUGUCUAUCUUGCUAUAGUUUACAGAUCUUUAUUAAAAUAUUAAAUGUAGUGAGCAAACUGAGAUUUCAGGACUUUGUAAAAAUGGUUUCAGGACUUUAAGUCUGUUGCGGCAUAUAAUUCUGCUGUGCAUAAAAUUAACUCCAAACUGAGAUUUUGUAAUCAACAAGUUUCAGAUGUAGACUUAAUAGAGAAAACCUUAUGCACUUUCCAUCCCUCGAUGAGGAUAUUGCAACAGCAGUAUCGUCAACAGAAAUACACAAAGUAUUCUGAGCUGAUAUACACACACAUUACUUCAGGCCGAGAAGCAUGAUGAACUUCUCAUGAAGAAUCACAAUGCUCGCCCAACAGGUGCCAUGCCUAUCCCUGAAGCACAUGCUAAUGCUCAUUUUACUAGUAAAUUUGGAAACCGUAAAAGGAACUUCCAGAAAUUCAAAGGGAAAUGGAAAAAGAACAAUGGUCAAAAGACCAACGGUCAAACUAAGGGGAAAGGUCAUUUCAAGAAAAAUGAUCAAAAUGACAACUCUCAAACUUGUCAAAGGUGUGGAUGCAUGAAUCAUCGUACUAACCAAUGUCGAAUUCCUAAGCACCUUGUGGAUCUAUACAUGAAGUAUGGAGGAAAAGGCAAACAAGUUCAUGGAAAUAAAGCUGAAGCUCACUUCAACGCUAUUCAAGAUAACCCUCAAGUUGGUCCUUCUCAAAGCGCUAUUCAAGUAUACAAGCCAAAGGACGAUAUCAUCCUCGAUGAAGACAUGCUUGUGGAUUACACCCGAGAUGUUUUUGGAGACCUUAGUUAAUCUCCAUAAGCAAGUUGAUGUCACUUAGCUAUUUAAUACUACAAGAUGUUAUAUAUUGUAUAACAAUAAGUAGAAUAAAGUCUUUCAGACUAUGUAUAUUAUAUUAUGUGAAUCAGACUUAAUGUUGUAAUAAAUUUAUAUUUAAGAUUGUAAUAUAAAUAUUAUGUAUGUAAUUUAAUGAAUAUGAAUAAACAUAAAUUUAUUCUAAAAUACUCUUUUUCUAUCUAUAGAAUUUUAACGGGAACAAUCCGAUGGAAGAAGAGUUAUGUUUAGUGGAUAGUGCUACCACUAACACAAUUCUAAGGGAAGCAAAAUAUCUCCAAACUCUUACUAAGAGAAAGGAAAAUGUUAUGACCAUAACAGGAAGUAACAAAGCAAUUAUUAAUUCAGGAAGAGCCAUAUUCACACUCCCUAUGGGUACUACUAUCAUAAUUCAGAAUGCACUCUUGUAUCCUGAAUCUACACGUACCCUUAUAAGUUUCAAAGAUAUCCGAUCUAACAAUUUCCAUCUAAAAACAAUAGAGGUGGAUAACAAAGAAUUUUUGCUUUUAACAAAAAGCAACGGAUAUGAGGAACAAACUCUUGAAAAAUUCCCUUUAUUUUCAUCCGGAUUAUACUUUACAUACAUAAAACCCGUACCUUAUGUUGCGUACAAAAUAAUUUUUCAAAAUCUUGAUAAAUUCAAGACUUGGCAUGAUCGCCUUGGUCAUCCCGGAAUAGGUAUGAUGAGAAAAAUUAUAAGUAAUUAUGUUGGUCAUAAUUUACCAAUAAAAGAUUUCCCAAAUCAUCAGCUUUUGUAUGCACCGCGUGUGCUACCGGGAAAUUGAUUAUUAAGCCAUCUUAUCUUAAAGUUAAAAAUGAGUCACUUAAUUUUCUUAAAAGAAUUCAUGGAGAUAUAUGUGGUCCAAUACAACCUCUAUCCGGACCAUUUAGGUACUUCAUGGUGCUAAUCGAUGCAUCUACUAGAUGGUCACAUGUGUGUCUAUUAUCCACACGUAACCAUGCCUUUGCCAAAUUAAAUUGCUCAAAUUAUCAAAUUGAGAGCGAAUCAUCCUGAACACGGGAUAAAAACAAUAAGAAUGGAUAAUGCUGCUGAAUUUAGUUCACGCGCAUUUAAUGAUUAUUGUAUGGCUUUAGGAAUCCAUCUAGAACAUUCAGUACCCUAUGUUCAUACUCAAAAUGGAAUGUCUGAAUCUUUAAUCAAAAGAGUAAAAUUAAUUGCUAGACCACUAUUACAGAAUUGCAAUUUACUAACCUCUUAUUGGGGACAUGCGGUUUUACACGCCGCAGAUCUGAUGCAAGUCAGACCAACUGAAUAUCAUGAAACUUCCCCGUUUCAAAUAGUACGUGGCAAUCAGCCAAGUAUUUCUCACCUGCGAAAAUUCGGUUGCGCUAUAUACGUACCGAUAUCACCACCGCAGCGUACAUCUAUGAGCCCCCAUAGAAAACUAGGAAUCUAUGUGGGAUAUAAUUCUUCGUCAAUUAUAAAAUAUUUAGAACCCCUAACAGGGGACCUGUUCACAGGCCGAUACGCUGACUCAAUUUUUGAUGAGGACCAUUUCUCGGCAUUAGGGGGAGAAACAAACCACAAAGAAUGCCAGGAAAUAGAUUGGAAUGUUACACUCAUUCAGUCCUUAGGUCCACGUACAAAAGAAUCUGAAUCUGAAGUUCAGAAAAUUAUAGAUUUGCAACACUUUGCAAAUAACCUGCCAGACGUAUUUACUGAUCACAAAGGCGUCACUAAAUCUUAUAUCCCCACAGUUAACGCACAAGAACGAGUAGAGGUACCAAAUAAAACUACUCAACUUCCAAUUACAAAUAAAAGGGGGAGAAAUCUGGUCACAGGGGAAAAGGCUUCUCCGCGGAAACAUAGAAAAUCAAAAUCUAUGACAGUAAACGCAAAUCAACUUCAAGUUGAUGCACACCAAAUAGAUGUUCAACAUCUAGAACCCAAUAAAAAUGUGCACACAAAUUAUAAUGUUGGGAUAUCAAAAUAAUCAGACUCCGUUGUUAUGGGAAAUCACACGGUGCCUGAAGAAAUUAAUGAAAUAUCCAUAAAUUAUAUUUAUUCAGGAGAAACAUAUAGUAGAAGCACUACAGUUGUCGACACAGAUUUCUCCUCAAAAAUUGCUGAAACCCUUCAACUGGAUCCAGCAUAUAAUUCUGCUGUGCAUAAAAUUAACUCCAAACUGAGAUUUUGUAAUCAACAAGUUUCAGAUGUAGACUUAAUAGAGAAAACCUUAUGCACUUUCCAUCCCUCGAUGAGGAUAUUGCAACAGCAGUAUCGUCAACAGAAAUACACAAAGUAUUCUGAGCUGAUAUACACACACAUUACUUCAGGCCGAGAAGCAUGAUGAACUUCUCAUGAAGAAUCACAAUGCUCGCCCAACAGGUGCCAUGCCUAUCCCUGAAGCACAUGCUAAUGCUCAUUUUACUAGUAAAUUUGGAAACCGUAAAAGGAACUUCCAGAAAUUCAAAGGGAAAUGGAAAAAGAACAAUGGUCAAAAGACCAACGGUCAAACUAAGGGGAAAGGUCAUUUCAAGAAAAAUGAUCAAAAUGACAACUCUCAAACUUGUCAAAGGUGUGGAUGCAUGAAUCAUCGUACUAACCAAUGUCGAAUUCCUAAGCACCUUGUGGAUCUAUACAUGAAGUAUGGAGGAAAAGGCAAACAAGUUCAUGGAAAUAAAGCUGAAGCUCACUUCAACGCUAUUCAAGAUAACCCUCAAGUUGGUCCUUCUCAAAGCGCUAUUCAAGUAUACAAGCCAAAGGACGAUAUCAUCCUCGAUGAAGACAUGCUUGUGGAUUACACCCGAGAUGUUUUUGGAGACCUUAGUUAAUCUCCAUAAGCAAGUUGAUGUCACUUAGCUAUUUAAUACUACAAGAUGUUAUAUAUUGUAUAACAAUAAGUAGAAUAAAGUCUUUCAGACUAUGUAUAUUAUAUUAUGUGAAUCAGACUUAAUGUUGUAAUAAAUUUAUAUUUAAGAUUGUAAUAUAAAUAUUAUGUAUGUAAUUUAAUGAAUAUGAAUAAACAUAAAUUUAUUCUAAAAUACUCUUUUUCUAUCUAUAGAAUUUUAACGGGAACAAUCCGAUGGAAGAAGAGUUAUGUUUAGUGGAUAGUGCUACCACUAACACAAUUCUAAGGGAAGCAAAAUAUCUCCAAACUCUUACUAAGAGAAAGGAAAAUGUUAUGACCAUAACAGGAAGUAACAAAGCAAUUAUUAAUUCAGGAAGAGCCAUAUUCACACUCCCUAUGGGUACUACUAUCAUAAUUCAGAAUGCACUCUUGUAUCCUGAAUCUACACGUACCCUUAUAAGUUUCAAAGAUAUCCGAUCUAACAAUUUCCAUCUAAAAACAAUAGAGGUGGAUAACAAAGAAUUUUUGCUUUUAACAAAAAGCAACGGAUAUGAGGAACAAACUCUUGAAAAAUUCCCUUUAUUUUCAUCCGGAUUAUACUUUACAUACAUAAAACCCGUACCUUAUGUUGCGUACAAAAUAAUUUUUCAAAAUCUUGAUAAAUUCAAGACUUGGCAUGAUCGCCUUGGUCAUCCCGGAAUAGGUAUGAUGAGAAAAAUUAUAAGUAAUUAUGUUGGUCAUAAUUUACCAAUAAAAGAUUUCCCAAAUCAUCAGCUUUUGUAUGCACCGCGUGUGCUACCGGGAAAUUGAUUAUUAAGCCAUCUUAUCUUAAAGUUAAAAAUGAGUCACUUAAUUUUCUUAAAAGAAUUCAUGGAGAUAUAUGUGGUCCAAUACAACCUCUAUCCGGACCAUUUAGGUACUUCAUGGUGCUAAUCGAUGCAUCUACUAGAUGGUCACAUGUGUGUCUAUUAUCCACACGUAACCAUGCCUUUGCCAAAUUAAAUUGCUCAAAUUAUCAAAUUGAGAGCGAAUCAUCCUGAACACGGGAUAAAAACAAUAAGAAUGGAUAAUGCUGCUGAAUUUAGUUCACGCGCAUUUAAUGAUUAUUGUAUGGCUUUAGGAAUCCAUCUAGAACAUUCAGUACCCUAUGUUCAUACUCAAAAUGGAAUGUCUGAAUCUUUAAUCAAAAGAGUAAAAUUAAUUGCUAGACCACUAUUACAGAAUUGCAAUUUACUAACCUCUUAUUGGGGACAUGCGGUUUUACACGCCGCAGAUCUGAUGCAAGUCAGACCAACUGAAUAUCAUGAAACUUCCCCGUUUCAAAUAGUACGUGGCAAUCAGCCAAGUAUUUCUCACCUGCGAAAAUUCGGUUGCGCUAUAUACGUACCGAUAUCACCACCGCAGCGUACAUCUAUGAGCCCCCAUAGAAAACUAGGAAUCUAUGUGGGAUAUAAUUCUUCGUCAAUUAUAAAAUAUUUAGAACCCCUAACAGGGGACCUGUUCACAGGCCGAUACGCUGACUCAAUUUUUGAUGAGGACCAUUUCUCGGCAUUAGGGGGAGAAACAAACCACAAAGAAUGCCAGGAAAUAGAUUGGAAUGUUACACUCAUUCAGUCCUUAGGUCCACGUACAAAAGAAUCUGAAUCUGAAGUUCAGAAAAUUAUAGAUUUGCAACACUUUGCAAAUAACCUGCCAGACGUAUUUACUGAUCACAAAGGCGUCACUAAAUCUUAUAUCCCCACAGUUAACGCACAAGAACGAGUAGAGGUACCAAAUAAAACUACUCAACUUCCAAUUACAAAUAAAAGGGGGAGAAAUCUGGUCACAGGGGAAAAGGCUUCUCCGCGGAAACAUAGAAAAUCAAAAUCUAUGACAGUAAACGCAAAUCAACUUCAAGUUGAUGCACACCAAAUAGAUGUUCAACAUCUAGAACCCAAUAAAAAUGUGCACACAAAUUAUAAUGUUGGGAUAUCAAAAUAAUCAGACUCCGUUGUUAUGGGAAAUCACACGGUGCCUGAAGAAAUUAAUGAAAUAUCCAUAAAUUAUAUUUAUUCAGGAGAAACAUAUAGUAGAAGCACUACAGUUGUCGACACAGAUUUCUCCUCAAAAAUUGCUGAAACCCUUCAACUGGAUCCAGAGCCAAAAUCUGUGAAAGAGUGCCUCAAGCGCUCGGAUUGGCCUAAAUGGAAGGAAGCAAUUGAGGCAGAAUUACACUCGCUUAACAAAAGAGAGGUAUUUUCUAAAAUAAUGCCUACUCCUCAUAAAGUCUUCCCCGUGGGAGCUAAAUGAGUUUUUGUUCGAAAAAGGAACGAAAACAAUGAGGUGGCGAGAUAUAAAGCGAGACUAGUUGCUCAAGGGUUUACGCAGAGACCCGGUAUCGACUACGACGAUACAUAUUCUCCUGUAAUGAGUGAAAUUACAUUUCGAUACUUAAUAUCUUUGGCAGUACAAAUGAAUCUAUCAAUGUAAUUAAUGGAUGUAGUGACCGCUUAUCUAUAUGGGUCACUUGAUGCAGAAAUUUAUAUGAAAGUCCCUGAUGGACUUAAAAUUCCGAAUCCUAAUAUAAGUCACAACAUGUAUUGUGUAAAAUUACAAAAGUCACUCUAUGGCUUGGAGCAGUCGGAAAAAAUGUGGUAUAACCGACUUAGUGAGUUCCUUCUCAGUAAAGGAUACUCGAAUAACAAUGAUUGCCCAUGCGUAUUCAUAAAGAAAUCCUCAAAUGGAUUUUGCAUCAUCUCAGUAUAUGUUGAUGAUCUCAACAUCAUUGGCAACACAACAGAUAUAUCUAUAGCACGCAAUCAUUUAAUGACGGAGUUUGAGAUGAAAGAUUUGGGGAAAACCAAAUUCUGCUUAGGUUUACAACUUGAGCAUUUUCCCUCAGGAAUACUUGUUUAUCAACCCGCUUAUAUUCAGAAAAUUUUGGAAAAAUUCAACAUGGAUAAAUCAUAUCCGUCCAAAACACCUAUGGUCGUCCGAUCCCUUGAUAUGAAUAAGGAUCCUUUUAGACCUAGGGAUGAUAACGAGGAGGUAUUGGGACCUGAGUUUCCAUACCUCAGUGCCGUAGGGGCAGUAAUGUACCUUGCAAAUUGUACUAGACCAGACAUUGCCUUUGCAGUAAAUUUACUGGCUGGACAUAGUGCAACUCCAACAAAACGUCAUUGGACGGGAGUAAAGAAUAUCUUCAGAUAUUUACAAGGUACUAAAGAUCUUGGUUUAUUCUAUCGGAAAAAUCAAGACAUGACCCUGAUUGGUUAUACUAACGCUGGAUAUCUUUCUGACCCCCAUAAUGCCAGGUCACAAACACGGUUUGUAUUUUUAUAUGGUGGAACUGCUAUCUCAUGGAAGUCAACAAAACAGACAUUGGUAGCAACUUCCACUAAUCAUUCUGAAAUAAUUGCAUUAUUUGAAGCUUCACGAGAAUGUGUAUGGCUCCGCAGAAUGAUAAAUCAUAUUCAGACAUCAUGUGGUAUCGGUUCAUUAGAAUCACCUACUAUUAUCUAUGAAGAUAAUGCUGCAUGUGUUUUCCAAAUGCAUAUGGGAUAUAUUAAAAGUAAUAUCACAAAACACAUCUUCCCAAAACUAUUUUUCCCUCACGAGUUAUAGAAAGAUGGAAAAAUUAAUAUUUUGCAAAUAAAAUCUUGUGACAAUCUUGCAGAUUUGUUCACUAAGUCUUUACCAACAACAACAUUUGAAAAAUGCAUUCAUGGCAUUGGUAUGAGACGACUACGAAGUUUGCAAAAUUCAGGGAGAGAUAUUUUCUAGAAAUAAAUUUAUGAGCUCUCCAACGGAUUUCUCAUGUAGUUUUGAAUGAGAUAAUUAUUUGUCCUAAAAGUAUAUAUCGAAUUCUAUUUGUUUUCUUUAUAUUUUAACAUGAUUUUUUUUGGAAAACAUAGACAAUAUAAGAUCAAGGAUUCUCGAAGUUACAAGAUCAAGACAAUCAAGAAAAUGCAAGAUUUUUCAGCACUCAAGACAAUGAAGAUUAAUAACAUCGUUGUCCAAGGGGGAGUGUUAGGAAUAAAUUAUCUUUAGAUUUAGGCUAAUUAGGCAAUUAGCAUGUUCUUUGAAAUAUUCUAUUUAGCAGUUAGGAUAUUGACUUUGUCCAUACGCUGUGUCUCUCAACCGUCGUCGUGCCUUUCCAAACAACGCAACUAUUGUAACCGGCAUGUAUUCACGACUGUUCAGGACAUAUAAAUACCGGCAGUCACCAUCAAUGAAAUCACUCCAUUCACUUUAACCAUUCUUUUCUCUUCAGUAACAACACACACCGUGAAUACCCAGGCCGCCCGCCUGCCAGUGGGACCCACACACAGCAAGGUUACAUGCAGCGAUACCUCCGAGGAGAAGGCGUCCACGUACCAUUCUCCUCCGUGCGGCCAGCAACACGUCGCUUUUGCCACGCGGCGGCCCUCCAUUCGCCUAGCCCACCCAUCCCCCGCGCGCCAUUGGCUGGUCGCUCGGCCCGCGCGCGCGGCCACCGCCCGGGCCCACGCUGUCAGCGAGACGGCCCCCUCGUGCGGCGACGCCACUCCGCUCCUUUAUUAAAGGCGCGCCUCGCGCUCGCUAUCCAUCAGGAGGUUUUUGGUUGCCAACAAGGUUCGGUGGGCAGGCCCAUCAGAAGGUUCCAGAAGCUUCGGGUGGAGUGGUGGGCACGGUGACGAUGGCGGUCCUCGCGAGGUCGGCCGCCGCCGUGGUCGCGCUCGCGCUCUCGCUGCUCGUGUCGGCCGCCGCCGGCGAGGUCUUCUUCCAGGAGAAGUUCGACGGUGAGCCGCUCCCCGGAUCCAAACCCCCCUUCCUACCCCCUCGCCGCGCGCGCGCUCCAGAUCCAGUCGAUCAACGCGCGCGCCUUACAAUUGUGUAUCCGUAUCACUUGCGGUUGAUCUGUAAAAUUUUCUCUCGGUGUCUGGAUUCUCAACUGUGAGUUGUGUUGGGCAGAUGGAUGGGAGGACCGGUGGGUCAAGUCGGAGUGGAAGAAGGAGGACAACACGGCCGGCGAGUGGAACCACACCUCGGGCAAAUGGAACGGCGACGCCGACGACAAAGGUAAUUAAUCCCCGUCGCCGGAUUCCCGUUUCCCUUUGUGCUGCUCUGACGGCGGCAAAUGGGACUGAGUUGGGGUACGUACUCUGUUACUGCAGGCAUUCAGACGUCGGAGGACUACAGGUUCUACGCCAUCUCGGCGCAGUACCCGAAGUUCAGCAGCAAGGACAAGACCCUGGUGCUGCAGUUCUCCGUCAAGCACGAGCAGGACCUCGACUGCGGCGGCGGCUACGUCAAGCUGCUCCCCGCCGACGUCGACCAGAACAAGUUCGGCGGCGAGACCCCAUACAGGUGCCCCAUCAUCUCCGCUAGAUUUUCCAAUCCAUCUACGAUCUGUUUAUUGCAUGGUUGAUUGAUCAUUCAUGCUCUUGUUCAAUUCGAAAUGCAGCAUCAUGUUCGGGCCGGACAUUUGUGGGUACGCCACCAAGAAGGUGCACGCGAUCCUCACCAAGAACGGCAAGAACAACCUGAUCAAGAAGGAGGUGCCCUGCGAGACGGACCAGCUCACGCACGUCUACACCUUGAUCCUCCGGCCCGACGCCACGUACAGCAUCCUCAUCGACAACGUCGAGAAGCAGUCCGGCAGCGUCUACGACGACUGGGACAUUCUUCCUGCCAAGAAGAAGAGGGAUCCUGAUGCCAAGAAGGUGAAGUUCAGAUAUAAUAAAACAGUCUAGUAGCCAUAAGGUGUUUCCGUGACAGAGGUGAUAAGUCAUUAACAUAACACUGUGUGUGUUUGCUGAUGGUUGCAGCCAGAGGACUGGGAAGACGAGGAGUACCUUCCUGACCCCGAGGACAAGAAGCCAGAGGUAGCUCUCCCUCUGUUGCUGCACAAUUUAUAUAUAAUGAUAAUGUUGUGGCAUGAGUACUGAUUUCUGGCCAAUGCCAUAAACACUGCGCUAAGCUAAAGUGUUCAUUGUAAUCUCAGAAUGCAAGUUUCCAUUAUUACAACCCUAACAGCACAACAUGAGUUUCCACAUUCUUGUGUUAUAAACUGUUAUUUUGUCGUUGAUGCUUUGCCUCUAGUGUUUUCCUGUCUGACUCAAAUUGUUUGCAGGGGUAUGAUGACAUUCCCAAGGAAAUCACUGAUCCUGAUGCAACGAAGGUGCACACUUGCCCAUUCUUAAAGCAAUUUUACUUUGUGUUCUGUUGCCUCUGAUAUGCAAUUUCUUAUAUGGCAGCCUGAGGACUGGGAUGAUGAGGAAGAUGGUGAAUGGACAGCUCCAACCAUCCCAAACCCUGAGUACAAGGGACCAUGGAUCCAGAAGGUAUAACUAUGACAGCAUGACUAGUGACUGAGUUGUUCUAGACAGGUAGCAAUGUACAUUACAAGUUCUGACAUAAGACUUUUAUGUAUUCAGAAAUUCAAGAACCCUAAUUUCAAGGGCAAAUGGAAGGCACCUUUGAUCGACAACCCAGGUCAACUGAGCUUGCCCACUGUUGGGCAUUCAGACUAACUGUCUGUCCAUUAGUCUUUUCUGCUCAACUAAUGUAGUGAAACAUCCAAGCUCAUAUGAUCUUCUUUUUUCUUUGUCUGUGCAGAGUACAAGGAUGACCCUUACAUUUACGCCUUUGACAGCCUCAAGCACAUUGGCAUCGAGCUGUGGCAGGUUAAUCGCAAAUUCUGUAAAGCAUGGUUGGCAAUUUGUGAUUUUCAGUUGGAACUAUGUAUACUUAUUUCUUCUUGGAUUGGUACUAGGUUAAAUCGGGAACUCUAUUCGACAACAUCCUGAUCACUGAUGACCCCGAGUACGCCAAGAAGUUUGCAGAGGAGACCUGGGGCAAGCACAAGGAUGUAUGCCAUCUAAUCACCAAGAUUUUUAGUUUUAUUUUGUUUUAAAUGUCUGAUGUAGACAACUAAGCCAAUGGUUAUUUUUCCUUAAAGGCUGAGAAGGCCGCCUUUGAUGAGGCCGAGAAGAAGAGGCUUGAGGAGGUAUAUAUGCAAACAUCUUCUGUUUGUUACUGCCUUCUACAUUAAAUCCAGUACUAACUAGUCAAUGUUUUCUGCCCGGCAGGAAUCCGCAAACUCUAAUGCCGAAGACAACGAUGACACGGCUGAUGUAAGCUGCAAAUCGAAUUAAUUUUAUCCUCAAAGUUUCUAACUGCUUAUAUGAUGGGUCUCAUCUUAACACAAAACUACAUUCUCUUACCUGCGGCAGGAGGACGAGGAUGUUGAUGGCAAAGCUGCCGGCGCCAGCGAUGAGGGGAAGGGGCAGCAGGUGUCUGCGGAUGAGAAGGUAGAGGAAAUUAGCAAGGAUGCUUCUUCUUCUGACAAGAAGGAUGAGCUUUAGAGUGUGGCAGGCAGGCUCUGUAUCUAAGCUUUUUCCUUGAGGCAGUAGAGCUUCCGAAGAACAUUUUCUCUGAAAGAUGAGAGAAGUAAUGCAAUCUCGGCUCUUGUAGUUUGUUAUGUGUCUUUUGUCGGUCAUAUGAAAUGGAAGGAAUAUAGCAUAGUCAUGGAUCUAUCUCGGUGCCUCGUCGUGUUUUUCUUUUGGAGCAACCGAUUGGAGCACAACCUUCUAAGUAAGUACAGAAGGAAUAAUUUACCUGUCAAAAAAAGUAGAAAAAAAAGUUCAGCUGAAAAACAGAAGAAUUGGCCACUUCUGGAGAGAAACAGGACGCAAAAAAAAAAAAUGAAGCACUUGCAGCGCAAUAGGUCUCAAACAAGCCCUGAAUGUUUUUGCCUCGUUUUGGAAAAUUCUGAUUUUUUUUCAAGAUGAAAUGUUUAUAAAAUGAUUAUUCUCUUUAAUCGGAUAUGAAUGUGCUUGCCCAGAUACUGCCAGUUGCAAAAUCACCAUCUCUCUGUUGAUUACAGAGCCACAAUGUUGUACUCAGUCCGUUAGGUUUUUCUGAUGCAAGACACUGCAGCUCAACAGUUUUCAGCAAAACUAAAAUGUUACCCCUCUCAGUACCAAAAUAUAAGAUGUUUUUGCAGUUCCGACUUCAACUACAAAAAAGUCUUUGUAUUUUGGUACAGAGGAAGUAUGUUCCACAAGGGAUGUACAAACUACAGUCGAACUGUUGAUUUGCAAGAUAACCACUACUUGUCUCGAAUAUCCCGCCUCUCCGAAUAAGCUAUACAUGCUACUGUAUUUUGGUAUGAUGAAACCCAAACAUACAUGUUCCAAACACAAACAGAAAACUGCUAGCAUAGAAGAAACAGAUUCAUACAGAGAGGGGGAAAAAGAGUACUGUCUUCUUGCAACUGAUGAAAUAUGUCGACGACGUUUAUCUCAUUUCUUAAAGAUGAAAUGCUCUUCAAAUGAUAGAAACAUUGUUGUAUAGAACAACAAACAGAUCCUGAAUCAUACAACUAUCAGGUUUAGCAGUUACGAAUAGUUUGCAAGUCUUUAGACCAAGUUGACACGGCAUCUUCAGACCAAGUCUUCAACAUCAUUCACUCUUUCACUUUUUCGGGGUGCCAAUGCCUCCACUUUUGGUGCCACUUCUUGAGAAUCACCUUUCUCCAAAGAUGGAGCGGCAUCCUCAACAUUGCUGCUAGAGGUCUUUGAGUCCUCAGCAUCGUCUUUGCUGGUUGUGCCCUUCACUGAUUCUUCAUUUGGUGCACUGUUGGGAACAUCAUCCAAAGAACCAUUCACUUCUUGAUCUUCAUCCAUAUUUGUCGAACGUUUAAGCACAAGGCCAUGAAAGCUACUGCAAUCUGUGGUAGAGCAGCACAGCUACAAUUAUUCCAUCAACCAUUUUGAUGCAUGACUCUGCCAACUAAGUUCUAUUCUGUUUAUAACAGACUAGUGCUUGCACAGAUUAUGAAGUAGUACAAUUCUAAACUACCAUACAAAUAAACUGCACAUUGAUGAAAUAUUUGUAACUAGCCAGCAUCAGAGGCGUAUAACUCUUCUCGAAUAGGAUAACAACUUAUCCCUCCAACAAACGCACUUCGAUUUAAUUUUCAUCACAGUACACAUAACAUUGUUAGGUUGAUCUCUUCCCGUGUGGGCCCAACGGCCCACCGGACCCUGAUCUACGCGCCCUGAUCGGGGGCGCCCAACCCGUUAUGGUUGGUGGGUCCCUGUGACACGCGCUAUAUAAACAGAGGUGAGGGUCGGGGCACGACUAACGAGGUUCGCCGCCGCCACACACCCCACCUACAAACCCAUCCGAUCUAGGGUUACUCCACCGACGCCACACCCUUCUCUGUCACCACUGCCGUCACCACCGCACCGACGGAGGCCGGCGGAAGUUCAUCAAGUUAUGGACAAGGUAACCUCCACUACUCCUACCGGACUCAUCUAACCUAGAAGAUCCACGGGAUCUAUCAAACAUGACAUAAGAUGCCAGGUCCUUAUUCGCAAGCACUGCCAUCAAAAAACACUAAGGUUAAUUCGACUUGCUGAAGCCCUCAAACUCAGUUGGGCUAGCCGCCAAACAUAAGAUAUAAACACCGCUUGGCAACCACAGUUGGAAUGUAAACUUCCUUGAUAGAUCUCAGAUUACAUGUACAAGGGUAUUUAUAGGAGAGAACUGCACGUCCCAUACAAGUGGUUGUAGUGGCCGACGUGGUCUAUCCUAGAUCCUAUACUUAUGCUAUGCAUAACGUUACAAGAUUGUCUAACAUCCCCCCUCAGCCGAAACAUCGUGGGGAAGGAUGUUCAGGAUGUAACGAAAAUCUGUAAAAACUGGUGAUGGCAGCCCCUUGGUGAAGACAUCAGCAAAUUGAGAGCUCGAAGGCACAUGUAGGACGCAAACUUCGCCAAGAGCCACCCGAUCGCGGAUGAAGUGUAGGUCGAUCUCAAUGUGCUUUGUGCGCUGGUGUUGCACCGGAUUACAGGCAAGGUAGGAGGCACUCAUGUUGUCACAAUACACGAUAGUGGCCCGUGUGGGAGGGAGAUGCAGCUCAUGGAGAAGUUGACGCAACCAACAGGAUUCAGCCACACAGUUGGCCACGCCACGGUACUCUGCUUCGGUACUGGACCGAGAGAUGGUGGGCUGUCUCUUUGAGGACCAGGAGACAAGGUUCGAGCCAAGGAACACACAAAAGCCAGAGGUGGACUUACGGCGGGCAACCAGCCCAAUCUGCAUUGGUGUAAGCAAUAAGAUCCAUGGAGGGGGACUUAUAUAGUUGGAGACCAUAGUGUGAAGUGCCCUGUAGGUACCGUAGAAUGCGUUUGACAAGUUGCAUGUGACUAUCACGUGGAGCAUGCACAUAUAAGCAGCCUUGUUGAACGACAUAGGCUAUAUCAGGUCGUGUGAGAGUUAGGUACUGGAGAGCUCCGGCGAGGCUGCAGUAUUUGGUGGGAUUAGAGAGUAGUUGGCUGUCCUGGGAGGAGGCCUUGGAGCUAGUGUCGAUGGGUGUUGAGACUGGCUUACAGUUUAGCAUCUUGGCGCGCUCUGGAUCUCUAGUGUGUAUUGUUUUGGCAUAGGAAGAGAUCCGAAGUGUUGGUGGUGACGUUGAUGCCCAAGAAAUGGUGGAGAGGGCCAAGAUCUGACAUGGAAAAUUCUGAUUUGAGCGAUGUCAUGACGGAGGCGAGGAUGGCGGGUGAGCUAGCCGUGAGAAUAAUGUCAUCUACGUAGACUAGCAAAUAAGCAAGAAAGUUGCCGCAUUGCAUGAUGAAAAGGGAGGAGUCACUCUUUGAAGCUUUGAAACCCAAAAAUAAGAGAAAGGCUUGGAACCGAAGGAACCAUGUGCGGGGAGCCUGUUUGAGGCCGUAUAAGGACUUGCGAAGAAGACAACCAUGAUCUGGCCGAGAGGAAUCCACAGAGCCCGCCGGUUGGGAGCAAUACACCGUCUCAUUGAGGUCACCAUGCAGGAAUGNNNNNNNNNNNNNNNNNNNNNNNNNNNNNNNNNNNNNNNGAAUGCAUUCUUGACGUCGAGCUGGUGAAUUGGCCAUGACUAAGAAGUGGCAAUGUUGAGCACCACGCGGAUUGUAGCCAAUUUCACUACCGGACUGAACGUUUCACCAUAGUCGACGCCUUCUUUUUGAGUGAAUCCGCGAACAACCCAUCUAGCUUUGUAGCGAGCCAAUGAGCCAUCAGGGUGGAACUUGUGACGAAAGAUCCACUUGCCCGUGACAGUGUUAACACGUGCAGGCUUAGGCACCAAAGACCAAGUAAAGUUAUCCAUUAAAGCAUGAUAUUCUUCUAACAUAGCUUGGUGCCAAUGGGGGUCUUUGAGGGCUGAUUUGUAGGUGGGUGGUAUGGAUGAAAUAGGUUGGGAUGUGGCAGCAGCAACAAACAAAUGUUUGGGCAUGAGAAAACCGGUUUUGGCAUGAGUGGACAUGCUGUGUACGUUUUGGGGUGGCCGAACCGGUAUUGCAUGGAGAGGGAUAGGUGGUGCAGGCGGAGUGGAUGCGUAGAAUGCGGGGAGGAUACGGUGGGGCCACCGGGUCUGUUGACAGGUGGAUCUGGUGAGGAAUGCGAGGAGGAGGCAGGCGAGCCAGUCGUGGCAGGAGAAUCAGGCGACAGAGAGGCAGGUGACGUGCCGCUGGGGCCGGGCGACGAGACCGAGGCGGAGGGGGCAGGAGAAUCGGCCUGGCGAGUUGAGGAGGAGCACACGGCAGCUGCGGAUAUGGGGGUAGGUGGGACACGAGGCGAAUCAGGAGGUGGUGGGCGUGGGGCCCGUACGAGGCUUGUUGGGCUGGAUCCAAGGAAAUCGGCCGGUGCAUGGGAUCUGCAUGGCGAUCCGGUGUGGACGUGGGAGUGGUGUGGUCUGGUGUGUGUGGGCGGUACGGAAAGACCGUUUCGUCGAAAACGACAUGGCGUGAAACGAUAACACGGCGUGUGGAGAGGUUGUAGCACCUGUAUCCUUUGUGCUCCAGUGGAUAUCCAAUGAAUAUGCAAGGGGAGGAUCGGGGGAUAGUUUGUGGUCCAGUGUGGCAUAUAGGUUGGGGAAACAUAAGCACCCGAAGACCCGAAGGUGGGAGUAGCCUGGUUGUACGCCAUGGAGGAGAUAGUAAGGUGUGUAUGGUGUUAUGGCGCGAGAUGGACGUCGAUUAAGGAGGUAUGUGGCGGUGUGUAAAGCUUCCACCCAAAAUGGAGGUGGUAAAGUGGCUUGAAGGAGGAUGGUGCGGACAAUGUACGGACAAUGGAGGUGGUAAUGUAGGUGGAGUCGGCGUCGACGGCGGCGCAGGGGUGGUGAAUAGAGGGACGAACUGAGAUCCGGGAGCGGGGGAAGAACCCUGGAAGAUGAAGGGUGACGAGGGCGCCCUUGGGGAGGCCGAGGCCGUGUGUGGGCGGCGGACGCCAUGGAGGACGCAGAGGCCGGCGUGGAGCCGGAGCUCGGGGCAGCGGAAGAGGAGGAGGCGGAGGCGUCGUGCUCGGCCAUGGGGUCCUGGGAAAACUGAUGCCAAGUUGGAAUGUAAACUUCAUUGAUAGAUCUCAGAUUACAUGUACAAGGUUGUUUAUAGGAGAGAACUGCACGUCCUAUACAAGUGGUUGUAGUGGCCGACGUGGUCUAUCCUAGAUCCUAGAUCCUAUACUUGUGCUAUGCAUAACGUUACAAGAUUGUCUAAUAACCACCUCAUCCUACAACAUCCAAAACUGUUCUGAACUCUCGUCGAUCAACCGAAAUGCAUCAUCUAUUAUCAUCUUCUCCCACUCACCACCUGCCUCCUCACAAGGUGUCGACGCCAGCAGAUUCUGGUCCUCGCGUCGGGGGGCAGGAGUGUAGAAGCUGACAACAGGAAUCAGGUUACAGAAGCCACGAUCAUCCUGCACCUUCGUCACCAACCCUGAUUGUGGAUCGAUUGUGAGGAUGCCGAUAACCGUAUCAACGAAAAUGACAUUUGGUCCCUCGGCAAAGCCCAUCACGAUCACUCUAUUAUCCGCAUCCCAUACCGGGGCAGCACUGGCUCUGGCUGGAAGCAAAUUUUCCAUGCAGAUGGUGCAUCUCACCACCCAUCGUGCAUCAGUGCCGUCAGUCGCCUCCCUUGCCCACAGUUUGAGGCGCAAACCCGACUCUUCACAGACACCCAGCCCACCAUCCUCGGCAAUCAUGAGUUUAAAUCUGCAGUCCCAGCCCAACCCAGCGUCAGGCUUGUAGCCGGGCUGGCAGUCCGGUGGGUCGAGGAUAGCCAGGCCGUGCCUCGCUACAUCGUACUCCAUGAUCAUCCCGGCGUCGGACAUGAAGUAGAGCAGAGAUCUCCCGACGAGCAGGCUGGAGUAUUCUUCAAAGAACAUGAUGAACCGGCUGAGCGUCGAGGUCAGCUCGCCCCACGUGCCGGUCUCCGACGAGUACACGCCGGCCGAAUUGACGUACUCUUCGUAGUCGUCAACGUCUUCGUUGUCGACGGCGAAGGCGAAGACCACGCGGAAAGGGCCCCCAAGGCAGUCGCGGUGGUCGCACCCGUCCACUGCGCAGAGCACCGCCGCGGCUGGCCAGCUGCCGUUGAACGCCGCGGGCACCGGAAUGCGCUGCUGGGCGCCCGUGAGUGGCUCCCACAGGAGCAGCUCCCAGGUACGAGUGUUGAUGCGCUUGGAGAGGAAGAGGGCGCGGCCGUGGCGGCAGUCGACGGCCCGCCAGGAGCGCCAGUCCGGGGCGGCGAGGGAGAAGGGCGACGCGGUGGUGUGCACGAAGUGGGGGAUGUCCUCGUCUGCCGAUCCGUGGAGGAAGCCGAGCACGGGGGGUGCGGGGUAGAGCUCGUGGAGGCGGCGGCGGAAGACGGGGUCGGAGACAAUGCCGCCCCAGGCCUUGCAGACGAGGGAGGCGCGGAGGAGGCAGGCGGGGUCGUUGGGCGGGAGACGGAGGAGGAUAUCUUCGACGAGCUCGUCCGGGACCGCCGGCGGCGAGGUGCGGCGGCGUCGCGUCGGCGGCAGUGCUGAUGCCAUGGCGCCUGGUUGUCGCUGGGUUUGAGUUUGUGAUCUGUGGGGAAGGGAUCAUUACCAAUUUAUUAAUUCCUACGGGGUUCGUUCACGGGCCGGACCGGGAUGGGGACGGGAGGUCCAUUUUGAAUCGGAGCAGGAUCACCAGUUACAGUAUUUUUCUUUUUAAAUUUUUAAGAAAAUCAACGAAAUUUGAAUUCACCCUCCGCAUAAAAAAUAUAAAAACGUUUAGAUCACUGUGAGUUGAUAUAUAAAAGUCAACAAAUCAAGCAUAGAAAGUUUCCAUGGCAUGAAGUUAUAUAACACACUAAAAAAGUAAGAAAUUAUAUAAAGUUCGCUUUAGGGCCACAUAUUGUGAAACUGAUGUUAGAUAAUUAAUUACUACAUUUAUGUCAACUCUAGUAAUUAAUGUGUAUGCAUGCUUAUAAAACUUGAUCAAUUAAAUUAAUGGGUGACGUUACACGUCCAUUCACGGAUAAAACGAAAACAUCGGCUGCCUCUAGGGCCAUCAGAUUGACGAAAAAGAGCCAUCAGAUCUCUCCAAAUGUGUGCGUCAUGAAUUGCAACAACAACUUGAUUGUUGUGAUGUUCACUCUGCAACGGUGCUUUAUUGCAAAACCACCCAAUGUCGAUUUUUUAGCAUGACACACUAUUUUCUUAAGCGUUUUCUUUUUUGCAACGAAAGGCAUGUUACAGAAAAAUAUUUGCAAUAAAGGCCGUGUUAUAUGUUUUUUUUCAUCUUUCAUCCUUUUGCAACAUAAAUGAUAUUGCGGAAGUAUUUUUUUGCAACAAGGAUGAUGUUGUAGAAAUUCUGAUAAAAUUGUACAUAUGCUUUUGCAACAAUAAUGUAUAUCAAUUCAAAAUUUUCAAGUAAAUAUGUAAUCAAGAGCAAAAUAAAAGUCUUACACGGUUGCUCUUGAAGGCUGCGGCCGCGGGCAUCGGGGUGUACUGCUAGGUGCCCGUGAUUUGCUUCCAUAGGAGGAGUUCCUCGGCGUCUUCCUGGCCCUUGGAGAAGAAGAGAGCACGACUGUAAUGACAGUCCGGCGCCCGCCAUAAGCGGCUGUCCGGGGUGGCGAGGAAGAAGGAGGAGGCGGUGGUGGGGAUGAAGCGGGGAAUCUCCUCGUCGUACCCGUUGUGGAGGACGACGAGCACGGGGGGUGUCCGGUGGAACCCGUGUAGGCGGCGACAGAAGGCAGGGUGGCACGCGGCGUCGCCCUAGAUCUUGUAGACAAGGGAGGCGCGGAGGAGGCGGGUUGGUUCGUCGACCGAGAGGUCUAAGAGCAUCUCUCAGACGAGCUCGCCCGGGAGCUCCGGCGGCGAGAUGUGGCGGUUCUGCCAUGGUGGUCGCGGGUUUGGGUGUGGGUGUGGGUGUGGGUAUGGCAGAGGUGGAGCGGUUGACGUUUGGGCUCAACCAGGUUGGCGAAAAAUAGUUUUCUUUUUCUUUUGAUGAAAAGGAAGUGCUUGUCAAAAAUGUUGAUGAUCAACAUUUGGAUGAUGACUCUAGGUUGUUCGACAGGAAGAAUGAACUUAAUUCUGGAGUUGUUUGAUGAUCUAGGCAUGAGUAAUAAAAUGUUGGUCUCUGCUCUUACACCAAGUUCCCAGUUGCUGCUGAGAAAACCUAAUGAGUGUGUGCAGGUAUCUAAUUAUUGGUUUCUUUGCUUUCCUUAUAAACUCUAAUCUUGAACAUGUUGAUGCGGUGUGAGUAGUAACUAUUGUUCCGAGGACAUGGAAGAAGUCUUGUUAUAAGUAAUCGUAUAAAGUUGGUAUUCGUUCGAUAUUUUGAUGAUAUGUAGAUUGUUACUUCUCUUCGUGGUGUCAUGUGAACGUCGACUACAUGACACUUCAGCAUAUUAUGGGCCUAAGAAAGUCAUUGUGAAGUAACAAGUAGAUAAUGGGUUGUGAGAGUGACAAAAGCUUGAACCUCGGUUUAUGCGUUGCUUCAUGAGGGGCUGAUUUGGAUCCACACAUUUAAUUCUAUGGUUAGAUUUAUCAUAAUUCUUUGUUCAUAGUUGUGGAUGCUUGUGAGAGAGGAUAAUCAUAAUUAAGUUGGUUGUUUGUUUAAAUAAGAACAACACCUUAGCACCAGUCCACCCACAUAUUAAAUUAUCAAAUUAGCGAACGCGAAUCAACUCAAUAUGAUGAACAUGACUAGACAGAAAUUUCCAUGUGUCAUUGGGAGCGCUUGGUUUAUAUAAGAGUAAUUUCAAGCCUGUCUUCUGCUACAAAAAUGAUUGGGCUACCUUGCUACACCUUUACUACUAUUGCUACUUGUCACUUGUUACGAAUUAUCUUGCUACAAAACUUUGUAUCACUGUUACUUACAACACUGUUAAUUUUGAUCGGCCCAUUUAACACAUGCAUUAAAUCAAUCAAAUCAGAUCUUUUCUAAAACAACGCUAAUGACCCAUAAUUAUAGGGGAUCAAUCGUAGUCCUUACAGGAGACAUUUUACUCAUUUGCAGUUAAUUUUGGUCGGCCCGUUUGACGCGUGCAUUAACUCAAUCAAAUCAUCUCUUUCCUAAAACAACGUCAUACAUCUCUAUUCAUACUCACUUCUCACUCCAUCGACAAACCCUAUAUUACGCCCGCGAGCAUCUUACAGGCGAUAUUUCGCUGAACUGCAGCCAAUUUUGGCCGACCCAUUUGACACGAGCAUUAACUCAACCAAAUCGCCUCUUUGCUAAAACAUCGCCAUACAUCAACUUCCCCAAAUGAAAUCAUUACUUGCCAAAACAUCAACCUACUAUUAACUCAAUCAAAUUGGUUAUUUUCUAAAACAACGUUAUACGUCUGUACUCCUAAAGUGGUGGUGGUGCCUCACUUACCAACACUCCAUCGACAAACCCUAUAUUAAGCCCGUGAACGUCUUAGAGGCCACAUUUCCCUCAACUGCAUUCUAAUUUGGCCGGUCCAUUUGACACGUGCAUUAACUCAAACAAAUCGACUCUUUCCUAAAACAACACCAUAAGUUAAGUUCUUCAAAUCAAAUCAUUAAUUACCAAAACAUCAACCUACUAUUAACUCAAUCAAAUCAUCUCUUACCUAAAACAAAGUCAUACAUCUAUAUUCCUAAAGCCUCAGUUGGUAGUCUCGUCUCAGUUCCCACCACUCCGUCGACAAACCAUAUAUUACGCCCACGAGCGUCUUACACGUGACAUUUCGCUCAACUACAAUCAAUUUUGGCCGACCCAUUAGACAUGUGAAUUAACUCAAUGAAAUUGGCUCUUUCCUAAAACAACACCAUGCAUCAACUUCUCUAAAUUAGAUCAUUAUUUACCAAAACUUCAACCUACUAUUAACUCAAUCAAAUUGCUAUUUCCAAAAAAAGUCAUACAUCUCUACUCCUGAAGUAUCAGUCGGUAGUCUCGCCUCACUUUCCACAUGUCCAUCGAGAAAUCCUAUAUUACGCAUCCGAGAGUCUUACACGGGACAUUUCACCCAUCUGUUGUUAAUUUUGGUCGGACCAUUUAACAUGUGCAUUAACACAAUCAAAUCGGAUCUUUCAUAAAACAACACUGAUGACCUACAAGUAUAGGGGAUUAAUCGUAGUCCUUUCGAUAAGUAAGAGUGUCAAACCCAACGAGAUGCAGAAGGAGAUGAUAAGCCGAUUUGUUUUAGGAAAGAACCGAUUUGAUUGAGUUAAUGCACGUGUCAAAUGGGCCGACCAAAAUUGACUACAGUUGAGCGAAAUGACACCUGUAAGAUGCCCUCGAGCGUAAUAUAGUGUUUGUCGAUGGAGUGGUGGGAAGUGAGGCAAGACUACCAAAUGAGACUUUAGGAGUAGAGAUGUCUGACAUUGUUUUACCAAAGAGCCGAUUUGACUGAGUUAAUAGUAGGUUGAUGUUUUGGUAAAUAAUGGUUUGAUUUGAAGAAGUUAAUGUAUGGCAUUAUUUUAGAAAUUAGAUGAUUUGAUUGAGUUAAUGCACGUGUCAAAUGGACUUGCCAAAAUUGACUGCAUUGUGCAAAAUGUCAUAUGUAAGAUGCUCACAGGCGUAGUAUAGGGUUGUUCAUGGAGUGGUGUAGAGAUGUAUGACGUUGUUUUAGAAAAGAGCCAAUUUAAUUGAGUUAAUAGUAGGUUGAUGUUUCUGUUAUUAAUGAUUUGAUUUGAAGAAGUUAACAUACGACAUUGUUUUAUGAAAAAGUCGAUUUAAUCGAGUUAAUGCACAUGUCAAAUGAACCAGUCAAAAUUGAAUGCAGUUGAGCGAAAUAUAACCUGCAAGACGCUUGUGGGUGUAAUAUAGGAUUUGUCGAUGGAAUGGUGGUAAGUGAAGCGAGACUAUCAAUUAAGACUUUAGGAGUAGAGACUACUUCGCUGGCGUCCCAUACUUUGGUGCAGGGUGUGAUUUAUUCUACUGUCACAAGAAAAAGAAUGUGAUAGAGAUAACUAACCAGCCUGGUCACAAGGAGGUUCAAAAAAUUUACCCAAUUAAUUAAUGUGCGGUACCAUCAGCUUAUAUACAUGUUUUUAGACCUUCUUUCGGUUUUUCUUUUCCAUCUUUGAUUCUUCAAUUUUCCUAUUUUAUUUUUGAAAUCAAAUAUUUUUUCCAAUCACAAAUAUUCUUCUACAAAUCCAUGAACAUUUUUUAACAACUCAUGGGACUUCUGAGUCCGAUUUACUGAAGAAAAGCUUGGCAUGCUCGUCUAUUCUUUUUGUUCCGCACCAAUUAACCACAUGUAUAUCAGCGUGCGUUGAUGCAUGCUAUGGUCUAAUUAUACAAACACGUUAAAAAGGGCAUGGAGCACAAAAUGUUCAAUUCUGAGAACGAACACAUACACAUACACAUAUAUAUACACGCUCCAUCGGUGAUAUUCAAAACACUCAGUACCUCACUACUUGUUAAAAAAAACUAGUACAAGUUCAAGUAUUAUGAUACACAGGGAGUAAAAAAUACUCCCUCCAUCCCAAAAUUCUUGUAUUAAGUUUGACUAGAAAUGGAUAUAUCUAAAUACUAAAAUGUGAUUAGAUAUAUUCAUACUUAGCCAAAUGUAAGACAAGAAUUUUGGAACGAAGAGAGUAGUAAAGACCACCACUGGUAAAGACGACCUAUAUUGAUUUGAUCCAAAAGCAAACUACCCAAGUCCCAGCCGAAAGGUGGUUGCCAUAUCUCAUCACAACAUGAAAUAAAAGGAAAAGCAAAAGCGACGAGCAACCAUAUUUCUGUCUGUCCAAGUGUACGUCAUUGUUAAGCCUGUACGCUGUAGCUGCAACCAAAUAUUUUCUGAUACACACUACACUAAACUACACUGUAGCUGGCUGUAGUACCAUAUAAAAAGAAAUCCUUCCUUUCAACAAAUUACUAACUACAAGUUGGGUGUUGAUUAUAUGGAUACGGUGUCUCCACUGAAUAUAUAUAAUGACCCUACAACUCAAAAAGAGCUACAAUACAAAUGUAUAGUUAAUAUGAAAUGAAGGAAAUGCCUAAUCUAAUCUUACGCGCUAAAAUUCUUAGGUACACUUUGUCUUUGACUUGCCUAAUCUUAGGUGUGUCUAGGACCAAACACCUACGCACUUAACUUUGAGUUAUGGCUAGGAACCAAACAGCCGGAAACACUUUCAAACGUUUUUCAUUUUUUCAGACAUAGUAGCAAAAAACCAAGCGUUGUUGUUACUCAAAUGAAUGAUCACUCGCUUACCACAAACAGACCCUGAAUCGUUCCGGUCGCACAUCAACUUUUAGGUUUACCCAAUGGCAAAUACGUACCAUUUUACCAGUGCGGCUUUGCAUCAGAAUUCCAGUUGCAACCCUAUCUUGAGACCAUGCCUUCAGCAGCAUUCACUUCUCCAAAGGCCAAAGCCUCUGCUUUUGGCGCCUUGAUUCUUGUCAAAGUUCUGGCCCUGAUAAACUAAGGUACAUAAACUGCCUGCUGAAUCCAUGAGCAGGCCAUGAAAAAAGACAGAUAACUAAUACUCAUGUUCCCCAACUGCAGAGAAGAAAAAGAUUCAACUCAAGGCGCCGAUGACUGACGAAACAUCCAGGAUCAGCAUAGCACUAGCAGCACACAACAGAUUGAAAUGUUAGUUCAUCUGAUAUACAUAUAUAUAUAUAUAUAGAGAGAGAGAGCUAAACUUCUGUAAGAGGCAUGUAAUUCUACCGUAAUGAAUUGAGUGAGACAGAACAUAAUACGUAUGGAUUUUACAUAAAAAGUAAAAUUUCACACAUGCACAAGAACAUGCAAAAUGGUUUAUAUGACCCUCCAAGACCAAUGCAAAUGACAUCCCAUCACAACAAAGAGCAAACAAUAUAGCCUUUACAGAGCAGGGCAAACAUUCCAAUUUGAUAUUGAACAUGGCAAACAUUGACAAAAAAAAAAACUAACAUAUCAAAAUGCAGAAUGACGCCAACUUUUAUCUGGCUACUUGUAUACGGAUCAGUAGAUGAGCAACAUAAAACAGCUAAUGCCGUGUCGGAGGCAUAUCUUCACAAUUGCAGUAACUUUAUAUGUAGCUGAAUCGUAUUUCACAGACAGUGGACAGUCUGUUGCUAGUCUCUUUUCAAGAAGUGUCAGCAGAGACCUGACAUUACCACAUUUGAAGCCUUUGCCUACAACCCCAAGGUUAUUUACAGUACUCAUAUAUCAUGAUGGUAUACGAGUACUGUAAAUCAUUAAGAAAUAGAAACAGUAAGAGAUCCAUACAAAUGAUUAAGUGAUCCAACUUAAUUAUUAUAUCAUGAUGAUGAUAGAUAGAUAGAUAGAUUGGUUCAUUCAAUACCAACUAUUCACAUUAUUGCAUAACUUAUGUAAGACAUGAUUGAAAAGAGGGGCUCUUGUGUAGUAAAGGCUACCUUGUGCGAGUAUACUAUUAAGAUAGAUCCAUAUAUCUUCAAACUGCCAUUGCUAUUCCAAGUGUAUAGAAGAAAGAUAAAACAACACGUAUAUAAAUUUAAAAGGCAAAUGGCGGACAUCUGGCACCAGACACAAGUUCAAGAUAUCGUCAACCCAUGGCACAAGUUUUUUUUAAGAAAUGAAAGCAUUUUCUGCUUUCAGUAGCAUCAUCUACUAUCUAUUAAUAUAUAACUAAAUAAGAAUUAUUAGCAAAACAACAUUGAAAUGGUCUUCUAUGGAACGGCGAUGAGAAUUCAAGAGAUAAGUCCAAAUAUCAAUUAGUUCCUUCCAAGUCCCAAUUCCCAAACAAGACUUACUAGUUUGCAUACGCAGGACUACAUGGCCAUUUUUCCAAGGGAAUAUAUGACUAACUGGGGGCAGUGGCAGUGCUUCGCUAAAACUAUGGGGUAGUUGAUCCCAAAAGUUACUUGUGAAUAUUCCAUAGAAUGAAAUUUCAUGCAAAAACUUAGGGAGAAUGCAAACUUAAGAGAAUAUAAGGUAUUUCACUACACAGUUGUGCAGCCCUGGCACCACUACUGGUCCAAAGAAAGGGGCAAUGAUAUACUAUACCUUCUUCAGAAUCACCUUUGUCCGAAGAUGGGGCAGCAUCCUCACCAUUGCUAGCAGAGGUCUUUGACUCCUCAGCAUCAUAAUCUUCGUUGGAUGUGGCCGUCACCGAUUCUUCACUUGAAGCACUCCUGGGGACAUCAUUCAAAGAAUCAUUCACCUCUUGAUCUUUAUAUGCACAUUCAUAUUUGUGGAACGUUCUAGCACACCCCAAAACGAAGGCAUAAAUUUUCAGUCUAUAAUAGUUUAUAGAUAACACAAGACCAUGAAAGUUACAGCAAUCUGAGGUAGAACGGGACAGCUAAAAUUAUUCCAUCAGACAUUUUGAUGAGAUGAGGUGACAAAUAUGUUCUGUUGGUUGCUGUUCAUAACAACAGACUAGCCAGCACCAGAGGUAUGUAACUCUUCUCAAAUAGAAUAAGACCUAUCCCUCCAAUAAAAUACACUUUGAUUCAAUGUUCAUCACAAUGCACAUAUCAUAGCAAAAGAUGUCAGGUCCUAACUCUCAAGUACUGCCAUCGAAAAACACAAAGGUUAAAUAAACCCACUGAAUCCCCAGAACCACGUCAAAGUCCUAAAGUAAGCAAGGGCACAUGGAAAUCAACAACUGAUCGUAAAGAGUACCACUAGUGGGAAGUAUUUUUUACACAAUCACAUCCGUACAAAUGUUUCAGUGUAGCUUGGAAUAGGGGAGGCGUUUGAGAGUAGAACCCUUACCUGAUAUUGAGGUCAUGGUUGACACAUUCAAAGGUGUUAACAAAGCCCCCCUCCUUGUCAAGCAGCUGCUGUGCCUCAUCUACUGUUUUCUCCUCCUCUUCCCCCUCCUCAUCACCUACCUCCUCACUAGGGAUCGGCGGCAGCAGAUCCUGACAUUCGCCACGGUCCACAGGAGUGUAGAAGCUGACAACUGGAAUCAAAUUACAGAAGCCACGAUCAUCGCACACCUUCUUCACCCACUCCGACUGUAGCUCGAUUGUGAAGAGGCCAGCAACGGAGUUAACGAAAAUGACAUUCACUCCCUCGGCAAAUCCCAACACAGUCACUCUAGUCUCUGCAUCCACGAGAGCAGCAUCAGGGAGCAAAUUUUCCAAGUGGAUGACCCGGCUCAAGACCCAUAAGACCCAUUGUGAAUCAAUGCCGUCACUCUCCUCCCUUGACCAUAAUUUGAGUUGCGAACCAAAAGCUUCGCUGACUCCUAUUCCACCAUCUGCCGACACCAUGAUGUUAAAUGUCUGCUCGGGGCCGUCGUGUGGCGGGUUGAACCCAGUGAGGUCGUGGCUGGCCAAGUCAUACUCUAGGAUCCACCCACUGUCGGACAUGAAGUAGAGCAGAGAGCCCCCAACGAGCACGCUGGAAUGAGAUGUGAAGAUCAAGCAGGACCGGUGGUACAUCUGGGUCGUCAGUUCACCCCAUGCGCGAGUCUCUGACGAAUAGACGCACGCCAGCGUGAGACCGGGACACCGCAACUGGUGGUAGAUGGGAACGGUGAAGACGAAGACGACGCGGAAGGGAUCCCCGCGGCAGUCGCGGUGGUCGCAUCCGUCCGCUGGGCAGAACACGGAGGCGGUCCGGUACCUGUAGCCGUCCUUGAACAGCGGGGGCACCGGCACGCGCCGCUCGAUGCCCGUUCUUAGAUCCCACACGAGGAGCUGCUGAGCACCGGAGACCUUGGAGUUGGAGAGGAAGAGGGCGCGGCCGUGGCGGCAGUCGAGGGCGAGCCAGGAGGUGAGGCCUGGGGCGGGGAGGGAGAAGGACGAGGCGGUGGUGGAGAGGAAGCGGGGGACGCGCUCGUCCUCCCAGUUGUGGAGGAAACCGAGCAAGGGGAGCGCCCGAUGCCGAUGCAGCCCGAUGAAGCGGCGGCGGAAGUGGGGGCUGGAGACGGUGUGGCUCCAGGUCUUGCAGGCGAAGGAGGCGCGGAGGAGGCAGGCUGGGUCGUCGGGUGGGAGGCGGAGGAGGAUUUCUUCGACGAGAUCGUACGGGAGCGCCGCCGGCGAGUCGGGGCGGCUUGGCGGCGGCGGCGCUGCCAUGGUGUCGCUCUCUGGGUGUGGGUGUGGGUUGGGGUUGGGUUGGGAACAGGUUCGGCUCAACCGGUUGGACUCUCGAGCUCUACUGUGCCACUCUUUUUUUUUAAUAAAUACACUAGCGGUAGCGGUAGUCACUGAUUGAGUGUCAAGCAUAUUAUGGUCACUGAACUUUACACGAUACGCUUAAGGGCUUGUUCGGUUAAUCCCAGUCAGGAGGGGAUUGGAGAGGAUUGAAGAAGAUUGAGAUGGAAUUUGACUUAUAAGGGAUUUAAUCCCUCUCAAUCCCCUCCAAACCCCUUCAAUUCUUUAAAAACCGAACAAGGCCUAAUAUUGUCAUUAAAUACGAGUUGCCGUGUUUAUAUGAUCAUUGGAUCAUCGUAGAGCUCCGUAUUUUGUCUCGUUGACUGGUCAAAUAGUCUUCUCGCCCUGCUCCUUCUCUUCCUGUCGCUGUUGUUGCUCGCGCCUGCGGAGGUAAUCGCCGCUGCUCCUCCUCUUCAUGUCGCUGCUGCUGCUCACACCUGUGGAGGUAACUGAUGGAGAACGUCGCAUGGGAAACAAAAAAUUUCCUACGCACACGCAAUACCUAUCAUGGUGAUGUUCAUCUACGAGAGGAGAUUUCCGAUGUACGUACCCUUGUAGAUCGCACAGCAGAAGCGUUAAGAAACGCGGUUGAUGUAGUGGAACGUCCUCACGUCCCUCGAUCCGCCCAGCGAACCGUCCCGCGAUCCGUCCCACGAUCCGUCCCACGAACCAUCUCGCGAUCCGUUGCACGAACCGUCUUGCGAUCCAUCUCACGAUCCAUUCCGAUCUAAUGCCGAACAAACGGCACCUCCGCGUUCAGCACACGUACAGCUCGAGGAUGAUCUCGGUCUUCUUGAUCCAGCAAGAGAGACGGAGAGGUAGAUGAGUUCUCCGGCAGCGUGACGGCGCUCCGGAGGUUGGUGAUGAUCUAUCUCAGCAGGGCUCCGCCCGAGCUGCGCAGAAAUACAAUCUAGAGGAAAAACCGUGGAGGUAUGUGAUCGGGCUGCCGUGGCAAAGUUGUCUCAAAUCAGCCCUAAUACCUUAGUAUAUAUAGGAGGAGGGGAGGGACCUUGCCUUGAGGCUCAAGGAGCCCCAAGGGGUCGGCCGAAGGGGGGGGGGGGGGGAGGAUUUCUCCUCCAAUCCUAGUCCAACUAGGAUUGGAAGGUGGAGUCCUUCUCUAUUUUCCCACUUCCCCUUUUUUUCUCUUUGAUUUUCUUUCUCUCCUGCGCAGGGGCCUUCUUGGGCUUGCCCACCAGCCCACUAAGGGCUGGUGCAGCACCCCUAAGGCCAAUGGGCUUCCCCGGGGUGGGCUGCCCCCCCGGUAAACAUCCGGAACCCAUUCGUCACUCCCGGUACAUUCCCGGUAAUGCAGGAAACUUUUCGGUAAUCAAAUGAGGUCAUCCUAUAUAUCAAUCUUCGUCUCCGGACCAUUCCGGAAACCCUCGUGACGUCCGUGAUCUCAUCCGGGACUCCGAACAACAUUCGGUAACCAACCAUAUAACCCAAAUACGCAUAAAACAACGCCGAACCUUAAGUGUGCGGACGCUGCGGGUUCGAGAACUAUGUAGACAUGACCCGAGGGACUCCUCGGCAAUAUCCAAUAGCGGUACCUGGACGCCCAUAUUGGAUCCUACAUAUUCUACGAAGAUCUUAUAAUUUGAACCUUAGUGCUAAGGAUUCAUAUAAUCCCGUAUGUCAUUCCCUUUGUCCUUCGAUAUGUUACUUGCCCAAGAUUCGAUCGUCAGUAUCUGCAUACCUAUUUCAAUCUCGUUUACCGGCAAGUCUCUUUACUCGUUCCGUAAUAUAAGAUCCCGUGACUUACAUUAAGUCACAGUGCUUGUAAGGCUUGUGUGUGAUGUUGUAUUAACGAGUGGGCCCCGAGAUACCUCUCCGUCACACGGAGUGACAAAUCCCAGUCUUGAUCCAUACUAACUCAAUGGACACCUUCGGAGAUACCUGUAUAACAUCUUUAUACUCACCCAGUUACGUUGUGAUGUUUGAUAUACACAAGGCAUUCCUCCGGUGUCAGUGAGUUAUAUGAUCUCAUGGUCAUAGGAAUAAAUACUUGACACGCAGAAAAACAGUAGCAACAAAAUGACACGAUCAACAUGCUACGUUCAUUAGUUUGGGUCUAGUCCAUCACAUGAUUCUCCUAAUGAUGUGAUCCCGUUAUCAAGUGACAACACUUGCCUAUGGUCAGGAAACCUUGACCAUCUUUGAUCAACGAGCUAGUCAACUAGAGGCUUACCAGGGACAGUGUUUUGUCUAUGUAUCCACACAAGUAUUGUUCUUCCAAUCAAUACAAUUAUAGCAUGGAUAAUAAACAAUUAUCAUGAACAAAGAAGUAUAAUAAUAACUAAUUUAUUAUUGCCUCUAGGACAUAUUUCCAACAGUAACCGCCGUCCCCGUGUUGUUCUGCUGGCCGCGGGCGCCCCCGGGGCAGCUCAGGCGGGUGUAAGGGGGCCCGACCGGCUCCUUGACGUCGCUGACCGCGUUCAGGCGCGGGCUGUAGGCCGCCACGACGGAGGGAGGAGGUGGAGGAGGGGGAGGCGGUGGCGGCGACGCGCCCGCCGUGAGCUGGAUCUUAGGAGGCAACUGGUGCUGCGACGUGCUAACGGGAGGCGGCGGGGUCGGUGAUGGAGAUGGAGCCGUCGAUGGAGCUGGCGCGGGCGGCAUGUCGGGGUCGUUGGGGUCGCGGAGGAGCGGGAGGCUGAGGGACAGCUCCUGCUCCGGCGGCUUCGGCCCGCGGUGGAGGAGGCGGGGAGCGGUGGUCUUCGUCGAUGAAGAGGAAGAACAAGACGACGACGCGUGCUGCUUCCGCAUCCGGAGCAGGUCCCCCCACCUCCUGGCCGGAACCUUGGGCUCCUCCACCGCCUGCUCCGCCUCCGCCCUCGGCAUCUCCUCCGACCUCGGUGUCUCGGGCUACUGCGUUGUCGGCGCCGGGGCGAGCGGAGGCUACGUGGCCGCCGCCGCCACCUCCGAGGAAAGCCGCUCGAAGACGGGAGGCGGAGCGACACGAGCUUGCCCCCGGAGAAGAGCUCGUUGGGGGGCAGCAUGGUGGAGACGGUCGAGCAGCCGGCGAGGAGGAACUCGAAUUCGGUGCUGGCCUUCUCCGCUCUCCACCUCCUCCAGCGUCCUUGCCACCGCCGCACCCGUCGGCGUCCUCGAGGCUGAAGGAGACGCGCGGGGCGAGCCACUACAUCGGGGCCGAGGGCGACAACGACGGGGCCAGGGGCGCGACAUCGUAGUGGAGGCCAUUGAUCGGAUCUAGGCGACACAGGGUUCGCUGUUGCGCGUGCGUCGGAAUGGGAGCCCGAGCGAGUUCUCUUUUCUUCUUCCUCGCUGUACAUCCGGCGAGUACUCCGAGAAGGUGCUGGACUGCAUUGAUCCGCCAUCGUUCGCAGGGGCGGCCACCUUGAACGGCGCCAGCAGCCUACGCGUCCUCGCGGAGAUGAUGGCCACCGGCUCCACCACGAGCUCUGGCCGCGCUAGGGCUGGCCCGUCCCGUGUCGGCCCGGCCUGUUUGGCAUAUGGUUGUAGAUGCUCUUAUGCAAGAAAAAAAAAUCUCAUUUCACGCGUCCAUCGACACGAGGCUGAGCCCAACCACUCCACACCGCCGCCGCCUCUUGCCGCCGGCGCUCCCGGACGAGCUCGUCGAAGAAAUCCUCCUCCGCCUCCCGCCCGACGACCCGGCCUGCCUCCUCCGUGCCUCGCUCGUCUGCAAGACCUGGAGCGGCAUCGUGUCCCACCCCGCCUUCCGCCGCCGCCUCCACGAGCUCCACGGCGCACCCCCUGUCCUCGGCUUGCUCCACAACUUCGAGAACCAGCGCAUCCCGCACUUCUUCCCCACCACCGCCUCAUCCUUCUCCCUCGCCGCUCCGGACCGCCGGUUCUGGCGGGCCAUGGACUGCCGCCACGGCCGCGCCCUCUUCCUCUCCAAGGGCCAGCGGGACACGAUGGAACUCAUCGUGUGGGAGCCAAUCACGGGCGCCCUGCAGCGCGUACCGGUGCCCGCUGCCGCGGCCUUCAAGAGCGACCAUCCGACGGCGGCCGUGUUCUGCGCAUCGGACGGAUGCGACCACCGCGACUGCCUCGGGGGCCCUUUCCGCGUGGUAUUCGUCUUUGGCUUGUGUUUCUGUGACGACGAUGACAAUGACCAAUGUGUCACGUCAGCGUGCGUAUACUCGUCGGAGUCUGGCACUUGGGGCGAGCUGACCUCGAUGGACGAACAGUUCGGCAACUUUGGAGAUCAUUCCAGCGUUCUUGUUGGGAGGUCUCUGCUUUACUUCAUGUCAUAUGGGGGGUUGAUUCUGGAGUAUGACUUGAGCAGGGACAGCAUGACUUGGUUGGACACACCAUGUGAGCACUACCCGAAUCCGGAGCAAAUGAACCUCAUGUUGAUGGAGGAAGGUGGACUCGGAGUUACCGAAGUCUUGGAAUCCCAUCUCAAAUUGUGGUCAAGGGAGGUGAGUGACGACCCUCAUGGACGAUGGGUACUCAGCCGGGAUAUCUACUUGGAAAAUUUACUCCCAAAUGGUGCUCUCGAGGGUUAUGUGUAUUUGUUGGGUUUUGCCGAGGGAGCGAAUGUUAUUUUCAUGAUCACGGUUGCUGGCCUCUUCGCAGUCGAACUACAACCAGAGCGGGCGAGGAAGGUGUGCGAUGGUCAUGGCUUCUUUAAUCUGAUUCCAGUUGUCAGCUUCUACACUCCACAUUGUAGGCUCCAAGCACUUGGGGGCAUAGACCACGAUCCACCACCACGCCCGAACCCUACUCAGGGCGUGGGUGGGUGGCAGGGGGGAGGGGACGAGAAAUCACUAGAGCAGGCACAACAGCUGUUCGAUAAGGGGUGGAAGGCUCUCAAGGAGACGGACUUUGCCAAUGCCAUUAACUGCUUCAGCCACACCCUCAAGAUCAGGUUAGGGUUCUACUUCCAAACUCCAUUAAUUCUCCCAGACAGGCUGUAGCGUAUGUAUGGUGGAUUGUGUGGAAGAAUAACUUACAUUUAGUUCAGUGUUUUUUUUUCACGUGUCCGUAGUCACAUUAAACCUUUGACAUUUGUAGUUAGUUUAGUAAGAUUUAAGAUGUUAGGUAAUUACAAAGGGUGGUGUUUUGGUCUGCCGUGUUGACUAGCGUUGACGGUGUGUGUUGGUAUUUGAGGGAUUAGUGAGUACAGUUAGACAGCGUGACCUGAUGCUCCUGUGCCUCACAUCUCUGUUAUGAUAUAUGUACUACAGUGAGCAUCAUAUUAGAGUCUGAAUGCUUGAUGGAUAUGUACUAUCGUAUUUGACAAGAGUUAUAUUCCUCUCCAGUACUGGCUAGAUGCAAAAUUUCAUCGAUGUGCAGUUUAUAUAUAUAUAUACAGUACUUCAGAAUUGUAUUUCAUAAUCUGAGCAAGCACUAAGUUGUUAUAAAUGACAGUCAACAUAGCACAGCUAGCACCUUGUUUUGGUGGAAUAAGGCUGGUUGUGUUGUUCUACCUUAGAUUAUAUUAAUGUUCAUGGCCUUAUUGUUAACUGUGUGUAGUUCAUAUAUAUGUACGGUACUUCAGAAUUGUACUUCAUAAUCUGUGCAGUUCUACCUUAGAUUACAAGGUGCUAACUAUGUGCAGUUUAUAUAUACGUACAGUUCUUUGGAAUUGUACUUCAUAAUCUAUGCAAGCAGUAUUUAGUUAUUAUGGAAGACAGUCAACAUAACACAGUCAGCACCUUGUGUAUUGAAAAUGGUUGAUGGAAUAAUGGUGGUCAUGUUGUUCUACCUUAGAUUACAUUAACGGUCAUGGCCUUAUUAUUAUUAUGUUAUAAGCUAGCUUAAAAACAAGACAUUGAUAAAUUUAUGUCAUGAUGUCAUGUAGGGUAGUACAUUAUGGUGUACUUGCUCCUGAGUGUGCUAGCACGUUUUAUGGAUAUGGACGUGCCUUGCUAAGUAAAGCUCUCAAAGAGUCCAAUCCUUCGGGUAUUGUUUCAAAGAAUGCAUCAAAUAAAGAAUCAGCCGAAAGUACAGCCACAACCAGCAAAAAUGCUGCUGCAAGGAGCUCGAAGACCUGUAGCAAUACUGAGCAUGUUCCACCUCUGGAGAAAGGAGAUUCUGAAGGUAUGCUGUGUAUCACUUGUACCACUGUUGGGUGAAAUAUAUCACUGCAUUUUGCAUCGUUCUCUAGGUUUUGUAUGGAGAUUCUCUUGUAUGGAAUGUUUUCUUAGUAAACUGGGUGAUUAGUUGACCCCACAACGUGGCCACUGCUACUGCCCCAGACAGCCAUAUACUCCCUCCGUCCCAAAAUUAUUGUCUUAGGUUUGUCUAGAAAUGAAUGUAUCAAAAUACUAAAACAUGAUUAGAUACAUUUAUAUCUAAACAGAUUUAAGACAAGAAUUUUGAGACGGAGGGAGUACAUUGAAAGCCAUUAUUAUGCUUUUUAUUUAUAUAGUUGAUAACAUCCUACUGAUGACAGUUAUUUCUCAUCGUUUGUUCAUGCCUACUGAAGAGUAUACCUUAAAAACUGCCAAUCAGUACUGUACUCAUGCUAAUGCAAACUAAUAGUCUUGUUGGGGACUUGAACUGUUUGCUGUUUGAAGUAGUAUCAAAUCCUCAUCAUCAUUCCACAUGCGACCAUUUAAUCAAUUGUGUUUUUCUAAUUGUUUUUAAGGUGGGAUCUUUAUACCAGAUGAUGUUGAAGAAAACAGAAAAAAUGCUUUUACUGCUUACAGCAAAGCUUUGUAGGGCAUCCUGGCCCGAUUGGUUAGAUUCGCGUGCGCUGCCCUUAAUUACCAGGCACGCCAACUGUCAGGGUUUCGUCUAGACAGUGUCGUCGAUGUAUGGCGGUUUGUUCGGUAAGGAUGAAUGCUCGGGCUCGGCGGUUCGGAAUGGUAAAGCGUAUACACCGUGAGUUUACCUAGGUUUGGGUCCUUCGGGGAGGGGGUAAGACCUGCUCCUGCCUCGUAAUCUUUAUUAUCACGGUGGUCGCUGGGGAUAUGGAGGAUCAUUGCUGAGAUCUAUCCUAGUGGUUACAACCCUACACCCUGUGGUGGUGGGGUUGCUUGAAGAUAGAUCCGUCCUAGGGUUUUCUCUCUCUCCCCACUUGGGUUUUAUCUAGCUGUCCGGGUCCGGGUUACAAAGUCUGGUUCUUGAAUCCCCGGGAGGGAGGUCCCAGAGGAACGCCGGGGUCUCCCGGGACGUGGUCACGCGUCCUUGGAGGAUGAAGGUCUUGAUCUUCGGGUCCCUCGUCGCCGCCGGUUGGAGAGCAUGACUGAAAAACGCAGACUGACACCAUGCGUAUAACUUGCUUAAAUGCUUGAACAACAACGUUGCGCUGCUUGUAAUUAGUGAGAAAAACAGCACAUUAUAGGGCCGUUAAUAGCACGCUAUAGCGUUCUGAGCAAUGCCUUGCUAAAUAAAUCAUCAUACAAUGUCUCCCUAAUCUAAUAGCACGCUAUAGCAUGUUAUAGCAUGCUAAUUGCAUAUUUUCAGGGCCAUGCUAUUUUGUCUUAGCAUGUUUUUUUCGUUGCUUGUAACCCCUUCUCUCUACUUCUCUUGGUCUUCUCUGUAAUCACCUGCAACUUUGGCCUUUUUGAAAUGAUAAUUCAGGAAUUCCCCCGCGGUGACCUGUAAAAAAAAAACCUUGUUGGAUCGCGGCUGCAUCUCGUUGCUUUUGUCACUACUCCAAUAGCAUUGUUUGUCACGUUCAUUGUGCUUUUCAUCUUGGGCUCUGUGCAUCCUUGAUGGACAGGCCGGGAAUAAUAAAACCAUCUUUCAUGUUCUGAUAUUUUUCUUUUCUUCUCUCUGGUAAAUGCUGAUGUGAUCGCUGGUUAGGGAAAUACUUGAAUGAGAGAGGACAGGGGGAUGAGAACAUGACAAGCAAUGAAGAUUCUGAUUUGGAUCUGGCAUGGAAAAUGAUGAAUAUGGCAAGAGCGACAGUUGCCAAGAUCCCAGACAAGACAAUGGAGAAAGCUAAUUAUUUUAUGCUCUAGCUGAAGUCUCCAUGAAAAGAAGUAAUCUCAGUUACCUUAGUCACCACUGUGUUAGCCUGGUGAGCAUUCAUUCAUGGCCUCACAUUUGAUUUCACUUUUGCAGAUGACAGAGAGAACUCACUCAGUUACUAUAUCAAAGCUUUAACCAUCUUCGAAUAUUUGGUUAGGCCGGACCAUCUUGGAAUCGUCCACCUGUAUCCUCGUGGUGAUAAGAGUGGCAAUAACUGCCAUAUAGCAGUACUAGUAGCAAUAGUACAAAUUAGCAUGUUAGUGUAUUAUACUAUGUUUUCAAAUAAUUUGAGCUGAUCCAAAUCUUGCACGGGGGUGCCUUCACCUGCUUAAAUACACGUGUUAGUGUACAUUUGGGGACAAACUGUGAUCACAAGAGAAAAAUGUACGUAGAUAAUGCUGGUGUAUUCUAAUACUUUGGUUUUUGAGUUUGAUUCUUCCUUUGCUUGAUUACCUUAAUUCCGUUCUAGAAACUUCCGCAUAUGUUUGGCCUUUGAGUUAGCAUCCAAGGUUGGGGAUGCAAUCCCAUAUUGUGCAAAGGUUAUUUUAGUAUGCAAGUCACGUAUACAGAAUCUGAAAAAUGCCAUGGAAGAAGGACGCGCAGGAAGUUUCACUCCAGAAGAUGAGAUAUCUUCCCUUGCUAGAUUAUUGGCCCGACUACAGAAUAAGGUGAACAGACUCGAUUUUAUUCAUAUUAACAAUUUGGUUUUGCUCUUGAAUCUAGUGCUCUAUGGAGGAAGAAGACGUUUCCCUUGCUUGUAAGAAACAAUAACAUCUCUCUUAAUUUUUUUGGUUCAGCUUGAAGAACUGGAGCAAGCAACGUCAACCCAAGCGCCGGCAUAGAUAAUAUUGUUAAGAGGGUGGUCUCGCAGGCAAGUGAUGGACAGAAUGUUAGCUAUGCUGUGGCAAGAGCUGCAGCUUCGACGUGACAGGUGGCUGGAUCAAACAACAGCUUCCAUUCAGCAACUAUGUCUACGGCAGCGGCAACAUGAAGCACUAGAAGUAGCGUAACUGAGUUAGUGAGUUUGUGAUUGUUGGCAUAGACAUGAAACGAGCUAAUGACAAGUCAAUCUCCGACAAACCAUCUCCAAAGAGACUUGCAGAAGAUGAUUAACCAUCUGUGAAUGAAAUGUGAUAGCAGCUAGAUGGAAAAUCUGAAAUUUCCUGAUAUGCAUGGAGCAUCUUAACAAGAUGUUACUUCGCCCUGUUCAUGUACCCUCAAUGGUGAAUACCUAUCUGUUGAAUUGUAUACAAGUAGGAAGAUAGAAGAUGCCGUCAUUCAGUAUUUGAUCUUGUCACUAGGUAUUUGAAUGGAUCAAUGACAUCCAUCCAUCACCUUGUAUAUCCAAUCACAUUGUUUCCCAUGCUCUGCAAAACCUUGUGAUGUUUGCUGUUUGCUCUUUGCUCUGACGACAUAAUCGUAUUUGAGAAACCAUUUUGGAUGUUCUUUACUGUGUCAAAUGUCUUUCUUAAGAACUCAUAUUAAUUAAUUUAUGUCUUGCCUUUCUUAAUUGAUCAGCUACAGAAGUUGGCCUUGUGUACAUAUCAGCUGUACAAAUAUCUCAGUUUGCUGCUAAUGUGCACCAGAAAGCGACUAAAACUCGAUUGCUUCGCCAACAGAAAGCGACCAGGUUGCUAUCGCUUCUUCAUCUGUAAAUGCUGCUAUAGUUUGCAAUUUUCGUGCAUUCGAUCCAAGUCAUUUAUUAUCUGCAUGUUGCAAGGAAACAAAAAAAAAAUGCGGAUUGCUUUGUCACCUCAAACGAACAUCUGAGAGACGUUUAUGCUUGAGAAAGAGGGUACUCUACAUGUUGCAUCCCUUGAAAGGAAACAAUUGACAGUUCAAUUUCCUGUUUUUCCUUGGUUUCCAAGACUCGAUUUCUCAGUUCUUGCGGUUUGAAAGAUGCAUAGCGACGUUCUCAAUUGAAAGAAAAAAUAAAUUUGAAAGAUGUUUUGAAUGUCGACAUUUGCUUUCAUUCGUAACAUAUUUUUUUUCAUGUCUACCAUCACUUGCUCAAAAGAAUGAUCCCUUAUAGAUUACACAUGCUGCCAUGUUGCAAACAAGCUCAGAUAUCUGGCGUUGCUAAACUGAGCAAAAAUGCAUAGCAUAACCAUAUUGGCCACGGAAUCUACUACAGGCUCAACAUCAUAUUGGCCAAGGAUGUACAAGUACAUUGCUGCAAACAAACCGAGAUCUCUACAAUCAAUUGGCAGAGUGAGCAAACAAAAGAAAUGCAAGGGUGUUCCGCCAGAAGACCUUGCCACCGACCAUCCUGCUUGCCUCAGUUCUUGAGGAAGCCAAGCUGUGGCUUUCCGAGGGUGCGAAACAUUUAGGGAAAAUUUUCUCAAGCAAGUAAUUGUUUAUGUGUUGUAAAAGCCUUAACUCUAUUUUUCCCUUAUUUAAUUGAUGAGGCAGAUCUUAUGCCUCCGUUUCAAAAAACAAAAAAUAAUCACUUGCUCAAAACAAUGAUCGCUUAUAGAUUACACAUGCUGCCAUGUUGCAAACAAGCUCAGAUAUCUGGCGUUGCUAAACUGAGCAAAAAUGUAUAGCAAAACCAUAUUGGCCAUGGAAUCUACUACAGGCUCGACAUCAUAUUGGCCAAGGAUGUACAAGUACAUUGCUGCAAACAAACCCAGAUCUCUACAAUCAAUUGGCAGAGUGAGCAAACAAAGGCACAUCAGAACGUAACUACAAUGAAUUAAACCGAUGGUAUGUACUACCGGCCCUAUAAGAUGGCGGCCAUGGAUGUAGGUGACGGCGGCCACGGCAUCAUGCUGCACAUCCGGAUCAUCUCAGGUGAGAAGGCUGGACCGCUGGACAAGGCAACCCAUAGAUGGCCUCGUCGGCCGCCGGCUCCUCAGGCUUCUCCAUCUGGUGGUGUUGGUCUUUUCUGUCUGCGGUGAUGAUGCUCUGCACGAGCCCGGCGGCUUCCUCCUCCGGCUGAGCUGCUGGCAGCGCGACCACGUCGUCUCCAGCUGGCCCAACCGUGACGUCGUUGUUGUGAUAUAAGCUAGAGAAUUCUUGUUCCACGCUGUGGAAGAAGUUGCUAGGCAGCGGCGUCUCUUGCACCUCCGGCUGAGCUGCCGGCGCCAUGGCCAGAUGGCCUCCUGGCCCAACCAUGACGACGCUGUUCUGGUGGUAGAAGCCAUCCACAGUGUCGAAGAAGUUGCUAGGCUCCAUCUCUUGCACCUGAGCAACUGCCGUGUGUGGCACUGUGUCACCUGAUCCGUAGCAGUUGUAUACGGCUUGCUCGGAUGCCAUGUGGUGCCAGAGGUUGUCCAACAACUCCGUUGCGUCGAACAGAGUUUCAUCUGCACUAGUGUGGCGAUGACGAUGGUACUCGUCGGCGUCCUCGGUCGUCGUGGGGGAAGCGGAACGCAGGCUCUCCGCCGGCAGUGGCUGUUGGUGUUGGUCUUGGUCAAGCGUUUGCCGAGGCCGCGCCCUCGCCGUAGUAUCCUCAGGGACAGGGUCGUUCCUCUUCCUCUUCUUGGAGCUGAUUGUUGUUGACACCGCAGCCGUCGUCUCUUGCCCGUCGCCGCCGGUGCGAACUGACGGGAGGAUCUUGCAGAGCACGAGAUCGCCGCCUCCGUGCUCCUCGGAGAUGCCGUACUCGUACAUGAUCCACCCGAGCCUGACGUUAUUCUUUUUGCCCGACUCGCUGCGCUUGACCAUGCAGUAGGAGAAGUCCUGCAUGUAGCCACCGACGGCGCUUCCUCCCUCCACCGGCUUGGCGCGAUGCUCCGAGUGCCAGUGCUUCCCGACCACGCCUUCGAUCGUGCGCGGCUUCCUGGUUGCGCCGCCGCGGGCGUUCUUCUUGCGGCUGCCGGGGUGGCGGUGGCGCACGCGAGAGAAGAAGUACCACACCGGCUGCUUGUCGCCGUUUCCGGUGCCAGGAGCCUUUUGGAACGCGCUGACCAGCUUCUCCGGCUCGGCGGAGUAGACGUCUACUUCGUGGAUGAAGCGGCCGGUGGCGCCGGGGAGGGGCUCGCCGUCGAUCUGGCGGCGCAGGUACAGGUCGGUGAGUUCUUUGUGCUGCGGGCAGAAGGUGAAGCCUGGUGCAACCUCAACAUCACGGCGAGAAGUAGUCAUCCCGGCGAGCGAGCGAGCAGAGUUCUCUUCUGGCUGGGAUGUAGACCUAGCUAAUUAAGCCCGAUCGAUCGCUAAGCAAGAUUUGCACCUAGUAGUAUGGACUGGAAGCCCCCUCCUUUUAUGACACGGCAAUACGUUGGCACACCGUCAAGCUCUCGGUUUGACACCAUGAGCGUACGUACAUGCAUCAUUGACCAAAUCGUGACUACGUACAUGCAUUGCAUGCAUGAUUGCACGCGGUUACAAAUCCGAACAUCUCCGGUUUGACAUCUAGACUAGAUAGUCAUUUUGGAUACUAACUGCUAAGCAAGACAUACGUAUACCCACAUUGUAUUCCAUACAUACGAUGGUCUGUAGUGUACACUAUGAGAUGGAUAUACGUUCUUAUUUGUACGUUUUGUGGAAGGGGUGUAUCGAAGCACACCUCAUAUAAAUAAAGUCUAUUCAUCACCUAGGAUGUAAAAUAAGUGAUUCUUCACCCAGUUAAUUUUACGGCUGUUUAAUAAAUAAAUUACAUUUGGAAUACCAACAGUUACAUUUAUAUUGAUAUAUUACGUAAAAUUUGAUGUAAAAAAUAAAAAAUAUAAGUCAUAAGACCAGUUAAAACGCAUUUCAUGUAUAUUUUACACUACGUUUUUAUGUUUGUAAUUUUACGUGACAUAAAUAUUUUUUAUAGUGAGUAUAUAUUUUCUUACGGUCUCUUUUUACGUAUGAAAUAAGAAAAGAAAUUAUGAAACAUAAAAUUACGGUGCAUUGAUGCGAAAUUAAAGGGGGUGAAGAAUAAUUAUUCUUCAUCCAGACACACACACACACAAACACACACAUUAGCAAAUAUGCACGUGCGUUGCAACGGGUAGUUAAGAUUUCUUACCUGAAACAUUAUCAUUUUAACCCAAUUUUCAUUCUGAUUCGUCAUUUUAAUGGUGUGCACCUACGACCACACUCAGGCAUCAUCGCCGUGGUGUCGUUCGGCAAUAAGGAGGCCGCGUUUAUAAAUUAAGUAUAUUCAAAAUGCGUAUAUGUAUAGCCAUCACAUGCAAUAGAUGAAACAUAAAUUAAGACUGUACUUAUCAAUUAAACUAUGACCUGAAAAAAUUCAACUAUUAACAUUCAUUAAUGUCAUAUGAAUAGUACUUCUGAUAUUAUUAAAAUAAACUUUCAUGUACUUCUGAUGUUCAUCAAUUUUUUAAGUGCAUGUACAUCCUAUAAAAAUUGUUUGGGUAUUCACUACAAAAAAAGUGCAGUUCAUUGAUAAGAACACUCGUAGAUUCUGCCAAAAAAAGACACGUACGUAAGGUAUUAGGUUGUGAAAUAUGUGCAAAGAGAGAACGUAGUGCAAGUACAUCAUGUCCAAGCAUUAUAACAUUACCCAAACAUUGACGUUUAAAUUUACAUGUUAUAAUACAGAUCGUCCGUACGAAAUAAAGAUAAAUAUUAAUUAACAUUGUAUCUUAUAUAGUAUUUUCAAAAUAUUUAACAUGUAAAAUAACAACAUAUUCGAACUCUACACAUUUUUCUAAUCAAAUUUCAUAUAUAACAUGUUUAAAUUGGAUUUAUGAUUUAAAAGAUAUUGUUAUUUGAAAAUACAUAUUUAUUCUGAAUAGACUCCGUGAUUAUUAAUGCAUAUACCCGGGGUGUUUAUGCGAAAGUAAAAAAAAUGAUUUGUUUUGCCUAAAAGAUGGACUUCUUGUUAUUUAUUGUAAAAGUAAGGGCUUUUGUGUAAAAUAUAAAAAACGGUUCAGUCUCACUUAAAGAUGGACUGUGGGUUGAUUCCACAAAAAUAGAAGGGGCGUUAUGCAAAAAUACAAUUUUUUUUAUUCAUGUCACUAAUGUCCGGACUGCGGGUUUAUAUGGGAAAAUAUAGGGGGGUUUCUGUAAAAUGAUCGAUGACGUACCACGAGAAGCAAUAUUUGAUUUAUUAUUAUUAGGUAGAGAUAGACUCUUUUUUCGAACCGAGCAAUAUCAUGCAUCUAUUAUAGCUUAUCAAAACCACUAAAAAAUAGUUACACCACACAAGCGCCCCUCAUAAAUCAUACAUUGCUCUUUUUCCAUCUAUAAGAGCAUCUAUAACCGGACCCCUCAAACCCUCCAACGCCCGGGCAGGCUGCCAGUCACGAAAAAUCGGCUCCGACGGGCCUCUUAAACAUGCCUCAAACGCGUGGGCUGAACAGAACCCCCAUUUCCAGCCCAAAUAUGGGGCAAAUAUGAGGACGCCCGGGCGCGCCCGGGCACGUCCGCCACGUUAGACCCGGCAACCCGAGCCUAUCGCAAAUUACACUAAAUCCACCCCGCAGAACUGCCGGAUCCAGUUCCUAUUUUCCUCUCUUCUUCCUCCAUGCGCCGUUCGUCUCGUAGCUCCGUCGUUGUGCGCGCUCCGUCUCCUAGUAGCCUCUCCCACCCCAGCCACUCAGUGAAAGGGAUCAUCUCUCCCGACCUCUCCGUGCAUGACGUCGUCGCCGGCCCGAAAGACACCGUGGUACGUCCGGCAACUCUCUGGCUGUGCCUUGCGCUAGAUGUGUUCGACAAUGUCUGACCGGAUUUGUUGCUCAAAUUUUUAGGGGAAACUAUGGAUUCCGAUGCUUCGUCCAGCGAGGAGGAAUACUUCCGCAUCCCACAAGUUGGAGAUAGGUUGAUCUGUGCUCUUCAAUACGGAGAAGUCGGAGUUCGCCUUUAUUUUGCUUUUUUUUACCUAGGAGAGAGAGUAAUAGUUAGUGUUUCAACCUUGUGAGAACUUGGUCAUUUCCUACUAUGAUACCAACCAGAAUGAUGAGGAGUUCAUCUUUUUAUGCUAUUUUACCUAGAAUGAUGAAGAACUUUUUAACUAGUAUGUACAAUAACGAGGAGUAAUAAAACAUGUCGUGUAAUGCUUUAUGUACGUACUAGCUAGCAUCUAGUUGACAUCGACCGAAAACACAAACAAGCAUAAGGAACCAAAGAUGAUGGACACAAAAAAAAAGGGAGAAACACAAUAUGAAACCCCUAAACCCUUCAAAAACCUCUAAACCCCUCUUUAAAAUGAAAAACAGCGCCUCGCAGCUGCUGACGCGUGGCUGCCCUUUAGUCUUGGUUGGUGCAACCAACCGGGACUACAGGUCCCCGCUCCUUGGCGCCCCAAAGCGGCCAUGUGGAAUCCCGUUAGGCCCGGUUCAUAACACAACCGGGACUAAACAUUUCGAUCUUUUGUCCUGAUUGUUUAGUCUCGGCUGGAAAACCGAGACUGAAGACCCUGUGAAACGGGGACUAAAGGCCCGUUUUCCACUAGUUUAUGUGUCUAAUGUGGGAACAUUAUAAUAAACUAUACAAUAAAUAUGUCCACUGCCUUAGUCAUUUGACGUGAAUGCCAUCAAUGUACAAACAUGAUAGCUCAUUUUGUGAAGGAGUAUUUUCAAAUUUGCCAUAUUCAAAGUUUGGUAUUUUUCAUAGUAACUAGUACACACACUAGUAGGAGAAAACAUACUAGUAGCGCUGGUUUUACCCCUACCAAUAAAGCUCGUGGCAGCGCUACUGCUAACGCGCUACAGCUAAGUAUAUAGUAGUAGCGCUUUUCCACGCAGCACUACUCGUAAGUACAGUUAGUAGUAGCGCUUUGCGAGCCAGCGCUACUACUAACUAUCUAUAGCGCUGCUGAUAACCAGCGAUGCUACUAAUCCCCAACCAGCGCUACUACUAAGGUUUCCUCAUUUCACAUUUUUAUUCCUCAUCUACGUAUUUGUGCAUUCUCUAUACACUAGUUACAUCAUAUCAUAGUAAACAUACAUUAUUCUCAUCAUAUCAUACACAUACAAUAGUCUCGUCAUACCAUCAUCAUAAUCAUCAUCAUUAUCCAACACAAAUAUCAUCACAUGUCGAAAAUAGCGAUACACAAUUUAUGGCACACCCACAAGUUUCAUCAUCCCUAUCUAAAUCAUGAUGUAUAAGAGAAGAGUGAUCAACAUAAGCAAGAGCGCGACUAUGUAGUACUUCUUGAGGCACCGGUUUUGCUCCCUCUCUUAUAGUAGCAUCCACCUCAAGUAACUAUUUUCCGCUUGGGCUCUGCUGUCGAACCCUCUGUGGCUAGCCCCCGGGUACCUGUCCACCCGGGCCUGAGCGUCUGGCUAGUGGUCGUACACUCCUGGAACCCUCCCAAUGAAUACGACGUAGCAGUCUUUCGCCAUUUCCGAUCUGUGUACCUGCAUUGUAAGUUGAUGAAUUGAAUGAUAAUAUGCAACAUAAUUUACUUGAGAAACACAAAGAGGCAUAGUUAGCAAAAUACAAGCAACCUAUAGUAAACAUAAAUAACAAAGUUCCUCAUACACAAGCUAAUUAACUCGAGCGAUGUAUACCCUAUUUCAUAGAAACCCGGUAGUACUAAUUAGAAACACACAUUGUCAUCAUCAAUCACUCCUCUAUGUCUGCGCCCCAAUCUUCAUAGUCAGGGAUGAAUGACCUGAGCUUGUUGAAAGGAUUUAGGUCCGUACGAUGAGCGCAUAGCAGUUCUCAGACAUUCUCCUACCUAAUUGGCCCAUGGAAGAACAUCUCUGUUUGUUGGACGACAUACUUCAUGAUCACUUGGGAAAGUUCACACCGUAUGUGAUAAAACUCGGCUCGGAUUCGAUGAUCCAGUGUCCUUCCUAUGCUUGUGGCCAGUUGAUAGUCUCGGCAUCUCCGGAAGAAGCUGACAUGUGAAGGCGUUGUAUAUCCCUUCUGUACUCGAUCAUGUGAUGCGUGAGGUAGAAUCCAUCAGCCUUACUACCAUUCGGUUGCUGGAUGCAGGAGAAGUCGGUCAUAUGGCCGAAAGCCGAUGCUUGAUUCUUAUACUUUUUCACCUGGAUAUAUCCACCAGUAAGGUUGAUGGUUAAAAUGGCACUAUCAAGAACACUCUUUAUAUGUGUGUAAUCCUUUUUCUUGAUGUUCUUAAAUGAGUCCAUGUACAUAGCAUGGGAGUAUUGUUGGUAUAGACAGAUGAGGACGCCCCCCCCCCCGCCGUUGCGAAAAAUAGGUACACCUAAAAUUACCCUCAAUGCUUGCGAAGGAAUGAUCAAAACUUACGAAAGGAUAUCCUCGGAUGACUUAUGUGGGAUGAUAAGGCAGGAGAAUCAUUUCCUUUUCCUUAUUAGCGAUCAUGAAAUCGCAGAUGUACUUUUUCGCCUAGUCACGGCGCUCUUUGCAGACUACCAAGAAGCUCUCGUGUAUAUAGUACGGGUCCGCGACACAGAUAUAUUCUAUGUUCUCGUGGGUGAUGAUGUAGUUGAGAUACAACGCAUACAGGCGGAUGAACUAAAAAUCCAGCUUGGUCAUGUGGAACAUAUCAUUGAUGUAGUCAAAUCGUAGGAUGAACUUAUCCGCGGUCCAUCUGUCGACGUAUGACGUCGCACCCAGAACCUGAGCCACAUAAAGCGAGUAUCCUGGUUUUUCCAUGCUGAGAAGUACUCUUCUCUCUAUGGCCAGCACAUCAUCAUGAAGUCUCCUUAAUUAGAUCAUUGUUCAGUAUGUUCUCUAGCGCUUUCUGGGGUAGGAUCGGGUUGCCGGCGACAUGGAAACGAUCCGUACCCACGAUUCAAAAAUUAGCUUGUUUUUGUUCAUACAAUAUACGGAAUAGGGCCACCAACAAUUCAAAAAAAUUUAGAUUUUCUUCUUCUUCUUUUCAACAUCAACAUGGCUCAUUUUUUUAGCUUUAGUUUCCUUUUUGACACUUCAACUACUCCAUUAUCCGCGCGUUCGAAAACUUGACCCUACUCUAAAUGGGCGAAAACUUGCUGGUUACAUUGAGGAAUGCAGAAGGGCUCGUGUACGGCACUGAUGACCCACAAGUAUAGGGGAUCUAUCAUAGUCCUUUCGAUAAGUAAGAGUGUCGAACCCAACGAGGAGCAGAAGGAUCUAAGAAGUGGUUUUCAGCAAGGUAAUAUCUGCAAGCACUGAAAUUAUCGUUAACAAGUAGUUGUAUGGUGAGAUGAUUCGUAGGAAGUAGCAAGUAACGACAGUAGCAACGGUGCAGCAAAGUGGCCCAAUCCCUUUUGUAACAAGGGAGAAGCCUGGACAGAGUCUUAUAGGAGGUAAAACGCUCCCGAGGACACAUGGGAAUUUCUGUCAAGCUAGUUUUCAUCAUGUUCAUAUGAUUCGUGUUCGCUACUUUGAUAGUUUGAUAUGUGGGUGGACCAGUGCUUGGGUACUGCCCUUACUUGGACAAGCAUCCCACUUAUAAUUAACCCCUCUCGCAAGCAUCCGCAACUAUGAAAGAAGAAUUAAGACAAAGUCUAACCAUAACAUUAAACUAGUGUGGAUCCAAAUCAGCCCCUUACGAAGCAACGCAUAAACUAGGGUUUAAGCUUCUGUCACUCUAGCAACCUAUCAUCUACUUAGUACUUCCCAAUGCCUUCCUCUAGGCCCAAAUAAUGGUGAAGUGUUAUUAGUCGACGUUCACAUAACACCACUAGAGGAAAAACAACAUACAACACAUCAAAAUAUUGAACGAAUACCAAAUUCACAUAACUACUUAUAGCAAGACUUAUCCCAUGUCCUCAGGAAAAAAAGUAACUACUCACAAAGCAUAAUCAUAUUCAUGACCAGAGAGGUAAUGAGUAGCAUCAAAGAUCUGAACAUAAACUCUUCCACCAAGUAAUCCAACUAGCAUCAACUACAAAGAGUAAUUAACACUACUAGCAACCUUACAAGUACCAAUCGGAGUCGCGAGACGGAGAUUGGUUACAAGAGAUGAACUAGGGUUUGGAGAUGAGAUGGUGCUGAUGAAGAUGUUGAUGGUGACGAGUCCCCUCCGAUGAGAGGAGUGUUGGUGAUGAUGAUGGCGACGAUUUCCCCCUCCGGGAGGGAAGUUUCCCUGGCAGGAUCGUCCUGCUGGAGCUCUAGAUUGGUUUUGCUCAAGUUCCGCCUCGUGGCAGGGGUGAAUCCUCUAAAAAGCCUCCUCUUGAAUUUUUCCAGACCGAAACCCUUCUUGUAGCAAAAGGGAGGAGCCAGUGGGCUAGCAGGGAGCUCACAAGCCCCCUAGGCGCGGCCAGGGGGGCCGCGCNNNNNNNNNNNNNNNNNNNNNNNNNNNNNNNNNNNNNNNNNNNNNNNNNNNNNNNNNNNNNNNNNNNNNNNNNNNNNNNNNNNNNNNNNNNNNNNNNNGACGCCAUUUUUUCGUCGCUACAUCGUCACAGUUUUCAAUUUACGACGAUCUCACGACGAAAUACCAAGCGUCGAAAACUGAGCGUCAGAAAUGAACAGCAGCGAUGUUUUGAUAAAAAUCGUCGUAACUUUUACGACGAUUCCUGGGUUGUCGUAACCUUUACGACAAUCCUAAAUCGUCGUUGGUAAUCAAACUCAGUCCUACGUGGCAAAAUUACGACGAAAUCAACGUCAGGGUUGAAAUCAACCCAACCCAUUUCAAUUGAUCACAUGGGCUGGUUUUAUUUUUUUGGCCUUUUCUUAUUGGGCUUCUUUUUGGGCCUUGGCCUAUUUACAACCAUUUUAGUAUUUUUUUUUCGAAUUUUUUUUAUCAUUCUAAUUUGGGCCCUGACCUUUUCAUGCCCAAAUACAUUUGAUCCAGUUUCAGUUUUGACCUUUUUUCAUUUUUAAAUUCAGCAACUUUUUGUUUCAAAACUUGGUUUCAUUUCUAUUUGUUGGGUCUUUUCAACCAAAUUAUUAUUCCAAUAUUAAAUCCAACACUAUUUCAUAUUCAAAUCAAGAAAACUCCAAGUUGAAUUAAAAUCAUCCAUCAUAUAACAUCACAUAAUACAUCUCCCAGGUUUGCACAAUCAAAAUACACACUUUUUACACUAACACCAGCAUGGCUGAUAAACUAGUAAACUAACACUACUACAAACAAAGUUUCACUUGCUUCCAGCAUAAGGCUGGAAGCAAAUCAAAAGGAGCACUUGCUUCUAUGGUUCGGUUGGUUGUAGUCGCGUCCAGACAUGGAAGGAUGUUGCUGAUAGCAGUCUUUGUGAUGGUCUGCUCAUUCGUCCAUUGCGUGGCAUGUAUCCUUUGAAGCACUGCAACAACAACAAAAAGCUUUUGGACUUACAGAAGCAACUUGGUUAAGUUUUUUGCGGACAUUCUACAGCAGAUCGGACGGGGUACCUUCCCACUUGUUGAAUUCCAGCUCUUUUUUGUUCAGAAUCUUGUCAGCAAUCUGAAAUAAAUAGAGAACACGAUUACAAUAUUUAUCAAUGGAGGAGCAGGUAACUCUCGCUCACACCACAAGCAUAUAUUAUAGUCUCCGAUGAUGCCAGCCUGAUUUGCUUUGGAUAAGCAAAGAUAAGGAUUCAUGCUCCACAACGAAAUGGCCAGCAAUAGAAUGAAUGUACAAGUAUUUGAAUGGCAGAAGAACGAGAUGAAACAGACUGCAUACAGUAAGUCAGUAAUAACAUACGGAUCUGACUACAGGUGGGCUGAUCCGGCUACUGAAGCAAUUUCAGCGCUGGGUGGACUAUUAGAUUGCACAUCUUCAAAGAAGAUUCCAUCUACCUUUAAGGAGUUAAUUAAAUUCGCACCAAGCAAGCCUACACGCGAGACUUUGCAGGACAAGAGGAAGCCAACAAUGUUGCUCAGCAGGCUGGGAUAUUCAUCUCUGGCCAGAAAAGCAACACACACACACACACACCAUGAAGGGGACGGGGGCAGGUGAGACAGAAGGACAUGUCAAUUAAAUAAACGUGUCAGCAUCACUCCUUACUCAGGUGCACACAUACAUGUCAGUCAAAUAAAUUUGCAUCUUAAUAGCAUUGAGUGAUGACGAUACACACACUAAAAGAACUACAGUAAGCGAGUAAGGGAAAAAGACUUGGUAUUUUUCUUUCGAAUCUCAUGGCAAGCUAUACUAGACGCUAAUGAUCACUCGACUCCAAGAAAUCCAACAUCGGACUAAUUGAUCCACAGACAAGGGAGUCCGGUCCAAUUUAUUCUAAAAUUAGUAGUUCAUUUAUAACGUUCCGAUGAGACUGAGAGCUGUAAUCAUCGCUAAAUAAAAAGGUAAAGUUCAACUAAGCUUAGUGAUGUCAUAUUUGCGAGAUGAAACUGCUCUGUGUACUAGCAUUAGAUGGAAAUCUACAGUAUGCAUACCAUUGUUGUUUGCGAAAAAGGUAACAAAGAAAGAAGCAGGCUAGCUCUCCACCCCUAAAUGCAUUACAAGAGCUGUGGGAUAUAAAAACCUGCUAGUAGUCAUUCAUUCACACCAGCAAGAUUAUUAUUACAUUUAAACAUGAAUGACAGAUCAUGGAGCUGGCUGGGAAAUUCAUCACCUAAUAAUCCUGAAAAUCAGAAAAGAUAAAUCAAAUCUGGUCCAUUGUUUUUGUUUCAAGAGUUAUGUGUUGGUUUUAUAAUUUGGAAGUGCCAAAACCCACAUCCUCUCCAAAGACAUAAGAGCUGUCAAAAUGGAACUCAUCUUCAGUUCACUUGAUUGUGCGCAUAACUAAGUCAAAUGGAUUGGUGAGCUGGGAAUGUUCAGAUAAGCAUAUAUAUAAGUCAUUGCUUUCUCAUACACUAGCUUACAAAAUGAUAAGCAUAUAUAACUGAACGCAUAUAUUUAUUUUUUCUCUAAUUUUAAGAGCGUGUAUUCUACUAGGAACACUAGCAUACUGACAUGGUGUACAUCGAAAAUUAAUGUUGAUAGCCGAACAUAUUAUUUACAGUGAAAAGAAGUGUCAAACAUAUACCUGCACCUAUGAAAGAGAAACACAGUACAUAAGAAAAGCUCAGAGAUUUAGUGCAUAAAUAACAUGGACUUGGAAAAAGUUCAGAGAUUCAUAAAUUGUAAGGACAACAAGCAAGCAAAUCUGAGGACAGAACUUGGCUGCCGAUGGGGGUGUACGCAUAGUUCAUGCUAUAUUCAGAAAUUCAGUGUAUGCAAGAGCACACAUUUGAGAUCAGAAAUACAUCCAUUUGUGCUACAAUGAAAGAAGAGUAGAAAAAAGGAGAAAUGUGAGGACAUAACUUCCCUGUCGAUGGGGUCUGCUGACUCAUUGUAGGCUAGCGCGAUGGAGGAGGGGCGAAAGAAGAGGGCGACGCCGCUGCCGACGAGCACGACGAGGGAGGUGGCGGCGGUUCUGGAGAAAUUCGAAGUGACCACCACCCAGCGGAUCUGCUCCAUGGUCGUGCACUUGAGCAUCAACCUGCACCACCACAUAUGCUGGUUCUGCUCCAUGGCCGUGCACUUGAGCAUCAACCUGCACCACCCAGCGGCACCACGGCCACCAACGCCGGCGGCUUCGAUCUGGAGCAGCGGAUGCACUUAAUUAAAAUUAGGAAGAUCAUAUAGAUUAAAUUAGCACAUCUCAGAUUUCUUCAACAAGCAUAAUCACUCAAAUGUUUUUAUUAUUAUUCUUACACCUCAAAUAGUACAUGAAUACAAGUGGGUUAAGAUUCUUGGGUAAAAGCAAAUAUAGGGAGACCAAACUAUGCUAUGCUAUACAACCAUGCCACACCAAACUUAGACCAACACAAUAAUAUCUAUUGGUCAACGAGGACAACAUGACAUAUUUGAGACACACAUUUGACCACCACAUUCACGUGCACUAUCUAUAUUAAUAGUCAACUGACACACGGUUAGUCUAUGUAUGGGCUGCAACUACUGACCAAUAGAAAGACUCCACAAAGGGCUACACGGUACAACAGGGAUGGGCAGCCAUACCAGCCAAGCAAGAUGGAUAUCAGAUAUUAGAAGGAGAGGAAGAAGAGUAAGCACUGUCCAGGUUUCAUCGUCUCCUCCUUGCUCCCAAAUAGUCAGACCAGCAUCUUGUCUUCCUCCGAGUGUCUUCAUCUCUCUAUCUGCAAUCAACAAAGAUCCAAAAGAAAUAAGUGAAUCUGGUACCUGAGCAACCAUCACUAGAUCGAAAGGGGACAGACUGGAGCAAGAAAAUUAGCCUACUCGAGGGAGUGAAAUCUGAACGUAGGAGCAGCAAGAGUAGGACCAGCAAAGAGUACAAAAGAAGAAAGGAGAGUUCUUCUUCCUCUACCAUUUCUUUAGCAAUCACACAAAGAAGUCAACCGAGAUGCACAUACAAAAGCUAGUCAUUCAUAGGUGCUUACAAAUCACCGUAGGAACAUCUAACUCUGUUCUUGGAAGCAACAGUAUAAAAAAGACAGGAUAUACAUCCUUCAAUAAGGAAAUAAAAUAAAACGAAUCAGGUUAUUUAUACAGCAACAAUACACCAAGAUUAUGCACAGGGGUGAACGUUUUCAGUACACACACAUGCACAUGAGACUAAAUUAAUUUACUAAAUCAGAAACUUGAGCGUCAGAAAAUUUGGGAAAGGUAGGGAGACACCACUAAUCUGCACAUAUGCUGGAUCUACUCAUGGCCGCGCACUUGAUCUGGAGCAGCAGAUGCACAGCCCCACCUAGGGUUUGACCUGCAAGCCAAAAGAACACACACAAAGGGGUUAGAGAGUUUGGGACUGAAAUCCAUGGAGGAAAAUGUCGAUUGAAUCUUAAACCUGAACUAGUGAAUGUCAUAAAAGAAAAAGGAAGUUCAGAACAGAGCCACCACGACUGGAUCUUGCGGGCGCACUUGCCUUGUUGCCGAGGCUGAGCACGUCGCCGAGCGCGUAGAGCCGGAACUGGAUGCGGUGGCCAUGGGAGUCCGGGACGGGGCCGCGCCAGCCGGGCUGCUUCCAGUCGUUGACCCCCUCCUGGAGGCCGCCUUCGCCGCCGGUGUUGGCGUUGCCGCCGGCGCCCGAGAACCCCUCGGGCAGCCCCUUCUCCUCAGGCGAUUUGUUGGCCACCACCCAGUGCAUCCACGGAACCCGCUCGUCCGUGUCGAUGUCCUGCACCACCAGCGCCAGCGACCGCGUGCCGCCGGGCACCCCGUACCACUCCAGCGGUGGCGAGAUGUCCUUCUUGGCGCCUUGCCCCUCCAACAUGUACUGCCGCGGCAGCCUCCCGUCGUGCGCCGACACCGGCACGCACACCAUCCUCAGGGUCUCCUGUGCCAUCUCGGUCUGCCUGCCUCUCUCCCUCUGCUUGCCGCUGCUGAUUGUUGCUCGUGCGAUGAGUUUGCUGGAUUGUUCAAGGGAAGUGGGGAUGGGGAGGAGGUGGUGGUGGCGAGGAGAUGGGGACGAGGGAGGACUAGAUCGGGAGGGGGGCGGGGACGGGGUGGAGGUGGCGGCGGCGGCGAGGAGAUGGGGACAAGGGAGGAAGGGUGCGAUGGGGGGAGGGAUGUGAGCUAGGAUUUGGGUUACGGGUGGGGUUAUCUUUUUUUAUUUUCUAUAGAUACAUGGAUGGAUGGAUGUGAGAUGGUGAGGUAGAUGGAUGGAUGGAUGGGUGCCAUGUCAUCAAUCCAUGCGAAGAGUUCUGAUUGGUUCGAAAUAUCAGUGAUUUAAAAUAGUUUUUAAGUACUAAAAAUAAAGGAAUUUUUUGAAGCAUCUAUCAAAAAUAUUUUGGAAAAGGGCAUCACACAAAUUUUCACUAGAGUUAGACCAUAUUUUAUGGAUGAGGACCAAUUUGUAUGCAUUUCUCAUCUUUCUAGCUAUUUUUAACCAUUUUUCGAGUGGAAAAAAAGUUUUUUUUUUGAAGAACCUACCAAAUAUUUGUUGCAAAAUUGGACUCCAUCAAUUUUCUAAAAUACUAGUACAUAUUUAAUAUACAAUUGACCAAAUGGUUGGAUGUCAAAAACUUUUAUCCACCUCUCGUGAAAAAAACAAUUCUCCUCAUUCAAGUGGAUGCGGGUUAAAUUUGAACUACAGCUGCCUCAUAGUUUGCUAUUUUUUUUUUCAAAAAACAUUUCUAGAUAUUAAAAUAUCUAUUUCUUCCUAGAUACUUCAAAAUAUUUGCAAAAAUCAAGCCCUAGCUACGAACGGUCAUACCCGCCGUGUUGACCGCAUUUUGAAAUGGCCAUGAAAAACUCAAAACAAAAUCAAAAAAUAUAAAAACUUUGCAUUGUGUCAUUAUAUGUGACAAAUUAUCAGGAAAAAUAAUAAACUUGUAAUACGACAAUUAUUUUUAAAAAGUAUUCUUAGAAAUGGGUUAUCAUGUGUGAAGAGUAAUGGCUUUCAAGCCAAAUGAUCAAUCUUAUGGCCACAUUCAUGACAUAGUUUGUUGAAAUGAUAUAAUAUUAUGCACAAGGGUGCAUAUUGGAAUGUCAAACAAUGUUGAUUAAAGAAGUUUUCAUUUUCCUUGUAUGUAAAAAUCAUUUUCCAUUUUUCAAGUGUCCAAAAUGAGUUUAUUUGUGAAGGACCUACCAUAUAUUUGUUUCAAAAUUGGACCAAAUCAUUUUUCUAAAAUACUAGGCCAUAUUUAAUGUACAAUUUACAAAAUGGUUGGGUGUUAAAAGCUUUUAUGCACCUCUCGUGAAAAAGGCAAAUUUAUGUCGAUUGAGCUGAAAGCGGGUUAAAUUUGAAUUGCAGCUGCAUUAUAGUUUGCUCUUUAUUUUCCCAAAAAUCAUUUAUAGGUAAAUAAGUAUCUAUUUAAUCAUAAAUACAUGGUGUGGUGGCUUGACGUCGAGGUUUGGAUGGUGUGGUGGCUUGACGUCGAGGUAAAUAAGUAUCUAUUUUCAUCAACUAUAAAGCAAUAUAUAAUGUAGUUGCUUCAUAAAGUGAAAAUAUUACCAAAAGCAAAGAUUGGAUUAUGAGCUCACAUGGAAUGUUAGAUGGGGCUAAAAUUUUGUGGAGAGAUAUGUUUUUGGCACAUAGAAUAUGUGGAAAAAAUUCAACUCAUCAGGAUAUACCUAUCUAGUACUUCCUUCACAAAGCUGUUAGCUGAACACAAACUUUGGAAAUUUGCUGAGAAAUAUUUACUAGGAAAAUGGUUCCGAAAGUUUUCAUGACGCAAUGAUUUGGAUAGGAAAGAGGGCUACAAAAAUAUGAGGGUAAUCAAAGAAAUAGAAAUAACACUUCCUUCACAAAGUGCUAUUCUGAACAGAAUAGGAAAAUGAAUAUUGCUGAAUUAUUUUUGAACUAUGGAUGGAAGGGUUUUCACAUAUUUGACGAAUAUAUGAUCCAAAGUAUUUAUGAGAAUUUUUAAAGAAUUUUUGGAAUGGCAGAAUAGUAGGUUGCUUCACAAACUAGGCGGGUUUGACGCGUGACAUAGAAUGGACCCACAAGUGACAUGUCAACAUAGUUAGAACAUGUUAUGACAUUUUUAUAAUCGUCGUAAAAGUUAUGACGAUCUCAUCUUAUGCGGUUACGACGUUUUUGACUCACAUCGUCCUAAUUUAUAUGUAGAUUUGAUCCCCUCAAACGGUUUACGACAAUCUCGGAUGAAAUCGUCAUAGAUUUAUGACGAAUUCCUCAACGACGUCUUAAAAAACGUCAUGUAUGAGCAUAUUUCUUGUAGUGGCUGGCGCCCUUCCGGCACUUCUUCGGCCCAGUAUUUUUUAUAAAUCCCAAAAAAAAUCCACAUUGAUUUUCACGGCUUUUGGAGUUGCGCAAAAUAGGCAUCUCAAACUUGCUCCUUUUUUAGGCCAGAAUUCCGCUACUGCGACAACAAACCUUCCCUGGUACGGCGCCAGGAAUCCUGCUGCUACGGCUACGCCUUUAGGGACUUCCAUGGCAAAUAUGCAAAGGAUUUCCCCGCGGCCUCGGAGCCUUGCGUUGGUGUUCCCUUGAAGAGGAAAGGGUGAUGUAGCACAGUGGCGGUAAGUAUUUCCCUCAGUUUUGAUAACCACGGUAUAGAACCAGUGGAAGAUCUCGUCAAGACACAAGUACCUGCACAAACACAUAGAGCUUGCACCCAACGCUAUGAAGGGGUUGUCAAUCCCUUAUUGAUUGUUUGCAAAGUGAGAACUGAAAGCAACAAAGUAAACAAGCAAAGUAAAAGUGAAAGUGAAAAUGAUAGUUGUGAAUAGACCCGGGGACCGUAGUGUUCACUAGUGGCUUCUCUCAUGAAAGCAAGUAGACAGUGGGUAAACGAAUUACUAUCGAGCAAUUGAUAGAACCGCGCAAAGUCGUGACGUUAUCUAAGGCAAUGAUUAUAUCUAUAGGCAUCACGUCCAAAACAAGUAGACCGAUACUUUCUACAUCUACUACUAUUACUCCACACGUCGACCGCUAUCCAGCAUGCAUCUAGUGUAUUAAGCUGAGAAGAACAGAGUAACGCCUUAAGCAAGAUGACAUGAUGUAGAUGGAAAAUCUCAUAUCUACGACAAAAGCCCAUAUUUUUACCCUUGAUGGCAACAACACGAUGCGUGCCUUGCUGCCCCUUCUUUCACUGAGAAAGGUCACCACACGGUAUGAACCCAAAACCAAGCACUUCUCGCAUUGCAAGAAUCAUAGAUCUAGUUGGCCAAACAAAACCCAAGACUCGGAGAGACUUACAAGGAUAUCAAAUCAUGCAUAUAAGAAAUCAGCAAAGACUCAAAUAUAAUUCAUAGAUAAUCUGAUCACAAAUCCACAAUUCAUCGGAUCUCGACAAACACACCUCCAAAGAGGAUUACAUCAGAUAGAUCUCCAUGAAGAUCAUGGAGAACUCUGUAUUGAAGAUCCAAGAGAGAGAAAAAGCCAUCUAGCUACUAACUACGGACCCGUAGGUCUGAAGUGGACUACUCACGAGUCAUUGGAGAAGCGAUGAUGUUGAUGUAGAAACCCUCCAACUCCAAAGUCCCCUCCGGCAGGGCACCGGGAAGGGUCUCCAGAUGAGAUCUCGCGGAAACGGAAGCUUCCGGCGGCGAAAAAGUGUUUUCGUGGAUGCCCCGAUUUUUUCUGGAUUUUUAGGGAAUUUAUAGGCCAAAGAGCUAGGGCAGGGGAGCGCCAGGGAGGCCACAAGCCUGCUUGCCGCGGCCCCCCUGGCCGCGGGAAUAGGGCUUGUGGGCUCCCUGUGAGCCCACUGCCUUGGCCCUCAAGCCUCCCGAUCUUCUUCCGUUCUGGAAAAAAUUAUUUCGGGGAUUUUAUUCCGUUUGGACUGCGUUCCAAAAUCAGAUCUGAAAAGAGUCAAAAACACAGAAAAAACAGGAACUCACGCUUGGCACUGAAUUAAUAAGUUAGUCCCAAAAAAGAUAAAGAAAGGUAAACAAAACAUCCAAAGAUGACAAGAUAACAGCGUGAAACCAUAAAAAAUUAUUGAUACGUUUGAGACGUAUCAAAUUCCAGCUGUCGGCAUUCUCCCUCUUCAUGUAAACCUUCCAAAAUAAGAGAGAAAAGGCAUAAGUAUUGUACCGUGAAGUGAAAUAACAGCCCAAAAAACAAUAAAUAUCAACAUGAAAGCAUGAUGCAAAAUAGACGUAUCAGGCACCAUAUCCAUCUAGCGAUUUAUCUCACGUCAAAUAAGAUAGAAAUAGCAAGCAAAAACAGUGAUAACCAACGACAUAUCAAAUAGGGAUAGAAAUAUAUAGCAAGCACAACCAAGUUCACGGUACAACCAACGACAUAAUUAAGUUAAAAAUAUAUAUAUUAUAAAAAUCCGUAACACCCUAGGGCAAGACCGGGACCGAGACUUCACCACCAUCUUCACUACGCCUUCUCUUCAAUGCUCCCUCUCCAUGCCGUCAUGGCCGAUGUAGUAGGGGAGGUUGUGCAUACCAUCGCGGGUGGGGAAGAUGCAAUCGAAGUUUGUGUAGAUGUUGUGGAUUGUGAAUGCGAUGAAUUCGCAUCCACACCAAAACACCUUGCCGAGGAGGUAAGACGCAUCAAAACUGUUGGUGAAGGUGACGGUGAGCCCUAUUAGCGGAGUCGUGGAGUUUGGAUCCACAUCAUCCGGUUGAAACAUCACCGGCGAGCCCGCCGGGAGGUGGGCGAAGCCCGCACGGAGGAACCACUCGGCAAACCCCCUUGAACCCCUCCAGCGUGAGAAUGACCACACGCGAAGCAUCCUCUCCACGACGACGCAGGGCGAGCACAGUCUCUCCGGCACGGUCGGUGGGAGCUCCAAGGUGGGGCCGUUGUACUGCAUCCUCCCCUCGCUUUGAGAGUGCUCUGGGUUUGGGGGUGGCGCAAAUGGAUGUGUGGAGAAUAGGUGGAGAGGUGGUGGAGGGAAAGGGGAAGGGAAGGGGAGUGGCACCAGCCGCGCUUUGGAUUUGCUACGUUCAAAUGAGCCGCGUCGAUCGAUACGCCACUUUAAUUGCCAACAGGUUUUAAUUGUCACGUUGAACAGAUGCGAGUGGAUCGAAAAGUGUGAAACAAUGCUCUACAUCGAGGAGACACGCGUGGGAGAUGAUACGAACCAGCGGGAGCAACCGUCCCUGCGUCUGUGGCGGCUCGCGUGAAAAGAGGCCGGUCAGCGUCCGUGGCAACUCGCGUGAAAAAGAGGCAGGUCAGCGUCCGUGGCAGCUCGCGUGGAAAAGAGGCUGGUCAGCGCGUGGCGACGAGUGGCGGCGCAUGAAGGUAGGCUAGCUACGUGCAUGCAUGCAGGCUAGCUGGACAUGUCGCGCAUGCACAACAGGCUUCUAUCGGUGCGGCGCGCGCAUGACCCAAUUCUAACCAUGGCCCAACGGGCUAACCGCGACACCAUCCGCCGCGACCCCACUCAUCAGGUCCAACGGGCGACAUAGUCAACCCGGCCCCACUCGUCAGAGUUAAUGGUCAAAGCACUGACCCGACGGCAUCCACCGUUUGUGACCAGUUCUGAGGGUUUCCCUAUAAACAAAAUGCAUGCAUGCAUGCAUCAAAGUCGAUCAUAUAAAAAUUUGGCAUGAACUUGCCUAAAAAUAGGACAUAUCGAGUUUGCUCGAAAUUCGCCGAAACGGAAAUAAAUCAACAUUUCGGCAAAACAUAAGCAACUCACAGGGCAUGUCACUCACACAAAUCCCUUCGCAUGGCAAACACACAUAUUCCCAUUAUUGAAAUGCACAACUUUUUACUCACCUAUAUCCCGAGAGAGAUUGUGCACGGCUAAACAAAUAGCUAGCUAGAUCUAGUUGCUGUGAGGAGAGAUGACUGUAGCUAACUAGUGGAGAGGGAGAGAGAUGAUCUAGCUAGAUCUAUAUGUAUGAAAGGAGGGAAACCAAAUAAAUGUGGAACAUAUCUAGAGUUAGAAGAGGUCAUUUAUGGAGGAGAAUUAGGAUGGAGGGGGUAUUAAUGGGGAGAGAAGAUAGGUAAAAGGAAGAAAUAAGAAGGGCAACAAUGGUGGAGAAGAAACUAAGAGAGAGAAGAGGAGAAAGGAGGGGAGACGACAAAGGGGGAGGAAGGGGGAGAGAGGGGGGGUGUGUGGGUUAAAAUCUGCCACCAGCCACGCGUAGUAGUAGCACUGCUUUCCACCAAGCGCUAUUGUUAUUGGUCUUAGUAGUAUCGCUUUUCUGGGGCGGCGCUACUGCUAAGUGCGCUACUGCUAUUAUGCUUAGCCGUAGCGCUGAAUCCCGCCAAGCGCUACUGCUAUUACCCUUAGCAGUAGCGCUUUUUACAAACGCGCACUGCUACUACUGCUACCGUCGGUGGGCUCGUCGGGUCCCGUUUAGCAGUAGUGUGUUUUACAAUUCCAGCGCUACUACUAAGUGUUUCGCAGUAGGGCUUGGCUGAGCCAGCCCUACUGCUAAGUAGCAGCAGCGAGUGUUUAAAUCCAACACUACUAAUAGGGUCCUACCUAUAAGGUUUUUUCCAACUAGUGACAUAAAAGAAGCCCAUGCGAAAGUAUUGGAUUUUUUGAACUUUUAUUCAUUUUCUUUCGUUUUUUAAAAAACUGGGUCAAAAUGAUCAGCAUGACUAUUCAUAGCAAGGUGUUGAAUCUUUCAAAACUAUAAGUGGGUCUUCCAUAUAAGGACUACUUGUGUACCUAAAACAUGUUUUGUUAUUUUCAAGGAUAGAGCUAUCACACACUUGGAGUUCAAAUUUGAAUUACUUUUGGGAAAUCGACAUAAAGUCAUUUAAAUAUGCGAAAUAGGCUACAAAAAUGGAAAAUCCAUGAAACUUCGGAACCGUGAAUAAAAUAUGGUCUACUUACUCUGAUAAUUGGAGUGGCGCCAUUUUGCACCCUUUUUUGUACUUUCUUCACAAAAAAUACUCAUUUUUCACAAUUAGAAAAUGGAAAAAUAUUUUUUUGUAAAAAAAGAUGAAAACUUUAUUUGACGACAUUUUUUGAAAUGGCAAGAUGCGCCUAACUUUCUAAUUUGGGCACAUUAUAAUAAAGUAUGCAAUGAAUGUGAUCAUUAGCUUAGUCAUUUGACUUGAACGUCAUCAAGUUCAAACAUGAUAGCUCAUUUUGUGAAGAUUUUUUUUAUUAAAUUUGCCAUAUUCAAAGUUUGGUAUUUUUCAUAGUAAUAACUAGUACACAUAAAAGGACUUCAUGUGAAAGGAUUGCAUUUUUGAACUUUUAUUCAUUUUCUUUCAUUUUUUCCUAAACUAGAUCAAAAUGGCCGGCAUGACUAUUCAUAGUAAGGGGUUGAAUCUUUCAAAACUAUAAGUGUUCUUGCAUAUAGUGACUACUUGUGUACCUAAAAACAUACUCCCGCCGUACCAUAUUUUUUUGUCUUAGGUUUGUCUAGAAAUGAAUGUAUCUAAAUACUAAAUGUGAGUAGAUACAUUCAUAUAUAUCUAGACAAAUUUAAGACAAUUUUUUUGGAGCGUGUAUUUUGUUAUUUUUACGAUAGAGCUAUCACACAAUUGCAGUUCAAAUUUGAAUUACUUUUGGGAAAUCAACGUAAAUUUAUUUAAAUAUGCGAAAUUGGUUACAAAAGUAGAAAAUCCAUGAAACUUGGUAAUUGUGAAUGAAAUAUGGUGUACUUACUCUGAUAAUUGGAGUGCUGCCAUUUUGCACCCUGUUUUUUGUACUUGCUUUACAAAAAAUACUCAUUUUUGACACUUAGAAAACGAAAAAAUAAUUUUUUGUACAAAAAGAUGAAAACUUUAUUUGACAACAUAGUUUAAAAUGGCAAGAUGCACCUAUGUUUCUAAUUUGAACACAUUAUAAUAAAGUAUGCAAUGAAUGUGAUCAUCCCCUUAGUCAUUUGACUUGAAUGCCAUCAAGUUCAAACAUGAUAGCUCAUUUGCCGAGUUUUGUUGUUUUACCGAGCGUUUUCACCAUGACAUGCAAAGUACCUGUUUAUCGAGUUUUGCUUUUUCGUCAAGUGUUACUCUCGGCGUAUAUGAAUUUGCCAAAUAUGCGCGAUUUGGCUCUCGGCAACGAGCCUGGCACUCUGCGUAUAGUGAAAUUUGUUUUUUUGAGGGGAAAUAGCACCGCACUUUAUUUAAUUCGCGCAAGGAAUGUCAUCGGAAAGUACACUUAAAAGAAAUUCUGUUGGAACACCCACCCAAACCUGUGACCUAUUGUCACCUACAACAACUUUUGUAAGCUUGUGCGUAGCACCAUUCCCGGAUCGACGGACCCAUGUCACCUUGGCUUCCUACCUUGACCUUAACAACUCCUUGAUCUCCUCUACCCAGUGACCCAGCGGAGAUAAAUUAUUGGAGGAUUGAUUAAUCUGCCGUACCACCUCCUUGCUAUCAAGCUCAACGUGAACACGCUCAUUGAUGGGGUUAUAGUCCUAGGGUAGGGUCAUAAGCCUACCUUAUAGGUCCUACCCAAGGACCACCCUUCAUAAGGGACAAGGCCCUUUGUCAGCUCCGACUGAACUAAGGAAUUCCCAUCAUCCAGUCGGUAACAGACAUCCGACCAUCCAGUCGAAGGCGAGCAUUCGGAGCGUAUCGAUCGGACCGACUGGAUUUCACUCUGUACAUCGUAACCCCCCAGGAGGGAAACGGUCGUACGUUUCCUCACACUUUUAUUAGCAUUUAGGCCGUACGUUACCUGUAACGUAGGUAUUUAUUCGCCAUUAUUCCACUCCUGCGCACCGACCGUUGUGAAGGGCAGCGCACUCUAUAUAAGCCACCCUUCCCCAGUGGUGCAAGGGUUAGCAACUCAUUGCAUUCCAUAUUUCCACUCGACAACAAGCUCCCUGAGCACUGAGACGUAGGACUAUUACCUCCACCGCAUGGGGGCCUGAACUCAUACAACCUCGCCGUAGCUAAGGCUCUGCCCAUCCUUUUCGUACCCUACACAUCUACUGUCAGGCUUAUACCCACGACAGUUGGCGCCCACCGUGGGGCAGGCGUCUAAGCGACUUCCGGCGAGUUAGUGACUACUUCCUUUUGUCAUGUCGUCCGGUGGAGGUUCGAGCAUGGGUCACCAGAUCUUCUUCGGCGCUCUCUCCUUCAUCAUCAACGAUUCGGCGUGGCUUCGGGAUGCUCCUCUCGACCUCGAGGCGCUUCCCCAUCGUGGGGCUACACACUUCCGUGCCGGCGCCCGUGGCAUUCUUCUUCUCCAACAGUCGGCUUCGGUGUUGACCUGCACCGCCGUCACGCACCGCAGCAAGCGGUCUCGCCGUCCGCGGCUCCAGCGUUGGGUGCAUCACGCCCAGGCGCGCCAGAACGCGUAUUCACAAGUGGCGGUUCUAGAGUCCGUUGUGGUUGCCCCGCUGUCCCAGCACUCGGACUCGGUUCCGACUGAGUUUCCUUCCGAGUAUGCGGGUCGCGGGCCCGCAGCAGAAGUACACAUGGCCAACUCCCAUGAAGAUCCUCGUCAAGCUGGCCGGAGCGGGCGCGAGGUCGGCGAAACGUCCGGCGCGCGCCGUCCACCUCGCCGUUCUGCCAGUCGGCACACUCGGCGGAGCAACGUGGAGUUGUUCCGCACACCCCUCCUCAACUUGGCUGCGGCUGUCAAGAUAGCCGAUUCCCUCCAGCCGACUGAUUCAGAGGCUGGUAGAGGGAUCGAGCAGAUCCGAGCCCUGUUGCACAUGGCGCAGCAGCAGAAUUCGGCGGUCUCCCAGUCACACAACAGGAUCCAUAAUAGUUCUGUUCAUGCGAAUACGCAUCGGUCGGUUCACAGCCGUGGUUCCCAUCAGCGGCACAGGGGAGGCAGCCGUUCCAUGAAUCACGAAGAUCGCCGCCGUUCACGCACCCCUCCGCGGGGUGGGCCCUAUGGGUCCCGACAUCAUGAUGAUCGGCGUUCAGUCGGCGACACUUACGACCCAAGGCCCGACGCAAGAGGGCGUAUCGCCCAACGAAGGGUUGACAGGGGCCGAGCCCACCGCAAUGGUCACGAUAUGGACCGUCCAAGUGGAAGCAGGACCAUCGUGUCUGGUCCCGAGUGUUUUAGUCGAGCCAUCCGCUCGGCUGACAUCCCGCCCAACUUCCGAUUGGCGACGGGAAUCAGCAAGUUUACACGAGAGUCCAAGCCGGAAACAUGGCUAGAUGACUACCGAGUGGCGGUCCAGAUCGGAGGAGGGCACGACCAUGUCGCCAUGAAGCACCUCCCUCUAAUGCUCGACGGCUCGGCGCGAGCGUGGCUGAAUCAGUUGGCCCCCUCAAGCAUCUACAGUUGGGCAGAUCUGGCCCGAGUGUUCGUCAAGACCUUCGAAGGGACGUGCAAGAGCCCUGCAGGCAUCGUGGAGCUCCAGCAUUGCGCCCAGAAGCAGAAUGAGCCCCUGCGUGACUUCAUUCAGCGUUGGACAACUCUCUACCACACGGUGGAGAAUGUCACCGAGCAUCAAGCAGUCUGCGCCUUCAAGGCAGGUGAGCGGUACACGGAUCUGUACCUAAAGUUCGACGGAACAGGUGACAUCUCCAUGAGCAAGAUGAUGGAGAUAGCAGCUCGCUACGCAAAUGGCGAAGAAGAGGACCGCAUCCGAAGCGGCAAGCACAAGACAGUCGGCGACGGAGAUGGAAGCAACACUCGGAAGCAAAAGCAAAAAGUUCAAUCCACUCCGCAGGCAGAAGCUGCAGUCGUGACCAAUGCCAAGUUCAAGGGCAAAGGGAAGGCACAGUUUACCCCCAAGAAGAAGUAGUUCAAUAAUCCCAUCCUGGACCAGCCAUGCCCGGUUCAUACGAAGAUGGACGAAGAGGGCAACCCCAUAUAUCCAAAGCAUACCACUCGACAGUGUCGCCUCCUGAUCCAGGGGUUCGGCGAAGGGCAACCGAGUGAGAAGGUCAAUGAACAAGAUGAGGAGGAUAAGGAGGAUCCGUUCCCCCAAGUCCAUGCGACACUCAUGAUUUUUGCUGACGUCGAGAGCAAGCGUCGACUAAAGAUGGUGAACAGGGAGGUGAACAUGGCCACCCCUGCCAGCCCCAAGUUCCUCAAAUGGUCUCAGACUGCGAUCACCUUUGACCAGUCGGAUCAUCCAGCACAUGUACCCACCCUAGGAAGACAAGCUCUGGUCGUCGACCCGGUGGUAGAAGGAGUCCGACUGCGCAAAGUCCUCAUGGACGGCGGUAGCGGUUUGAACAUCAUGUACGCCGACACUCUCAAGGGGAUGGGCAUUCCGAUGUCCAAACUCAGCGAGAGCAGCAUGCAGUUCCAUGGAGUCGUCCCUGGACGGAAGGCCAAGUCACUCGGCCAGAUCGCGUUGGACGUCGUGUUCGGCUCCGACAAGAACUUUCGCAAGGAAAAGCUCACGUUUGAGGUGGUGGAUUUCCAGAGCGCUUACCACGCAAUUCUGGGCCGCCCAGCGUAUGUGAGUUUCAUGGCCCGUCCAUGUUAUGUAUACUUGAAGCUGAAGAUGCCAGGCCCGAAAGGCGUGAUCACCAUCACGGGCAAUCGACAGCGUGGCGAAGAGUGCCUGCAGCAGGGAUCAAGAAUCGCCGACCAGCAGAUGGCCGUCCUCGAGCUCGACGAGUACAAGAAAACAGUCGACCCCGCCGACCUGAUGCGCUCAAAGAAGCCAUCUUCUGAAUCCGCAUUCCACUCGGCGAGAGAGACGAAGAAGGUCAGCAUUCACCCGACGGACGACACUGUUGCCCCGACGAACAUCUCCACCACCCUCGAUCCUAAAUAGGAAGCCGAGCUCACCCAAUUCCUCCGUGAGAACUGGGACAUCUUCGCAUGGAAACCCUCUGACAUGCCAGGUGUACCCAGGGAGUUGGCUGAGCACCGACUGCAUGUGGACCCCGUCGCUCGGCCCGUCCGAGAGCGCUUGCGCCGGUCUGCCGCGCACAAGAGGAAAGCAAUCGGGGAGGAGGUGGCCAACUUCAUUCGCGAGGUUCACCACUCCGAGUGGCUCGCCAAUGUUUUCAUGGUGCCCAAGAAGGACAAGUCGCUCCGAAUGUGCAUCGACUUCAAGCAUCUCAAUAAGGUCUGCCCGAAGGACCAUUUUCCGCUCCCCCGCAUAGAUCAAAUUGUCGAUUCGACUGCGGGGUGCGAGCGUUUGUCUUUUCUUGAUGCCUACUCGGGCUAUCAUCAGAUCCGUCUGUAUGGCCCCGAUGAAUUAAAGACAGCCUUUAUCACCCCAUUCGGGUGCUUCUGCUACAUCACUAUGCCAUUUGGUUUGAAGAAUGCAGGAGCUACCUUUAUGCGCUUGAUCCAAAAAUGCCUUCUCGACCGGAUCGGUCGGAAUGAGGAGGCAUAUAUGGAUGAUAUUGUAGUCAAGUCACGCAAAGGUUCCGACCUGCUGACUGACUUGGCAGAAACAUUCGCCAACCUUCGUAGGUACGAUAUCAAGCUCAACCCCGCCAAAUGUUCAUUCGGCGUUCCCAGCGGAAAGUUACUCGGUUUCUUCGUUUCCGAACGAGGGAUCGAUGUCAACCCCGAAAAGAUCGGGACCAUCGUUCGAAUGGAGAGGCCGGUCAGAAUACACGAUGUUCAACGGCUCACAGGUUGCCUAGCGGCUUUGAGCAGGUUCAUCAGUCGACUCGGCGAGAAAGCACUUCCUCUGUACCGACUCAUGAAGAAAUCAGAUACUUUCGAGUGGACAGACGAAGCCCAAGUCGCAUUCGACGACCUCAAAGUCCUACUUUCCAUCCAGCCGGUUCUUACUGCUCCGCUCAGUAAAGAGCCCCUUCUUCUGUAUAUCGCGGCUACAAAUCAAGUUGUCAGUACUGUUCUUACAGUCGAACAAGAAGAAGAAGGCAAAGCAUACAAAGUUCAGCGGCCAGUGUACUACGUCUCCGAGGUCCUGACUCCUUCCUGUUGGGGAACGUCGCAUGGGAAACAAAAAUUUUCCUACGCGCACGAAGACCUAUCAUGGUGAUGUCCAUCUACGAGAGGGGAUGAGUGAUCUACGUACCCUUGUAGAUCGUACAUCAGAAGCGUUAGUGAACACGGUUGAUGUAGUGGAACGUCCUCACGUCCCUCGAUCCGCCCCGCGAACAAUCCCGUGAUCAGUCCCACGAUCUAGUACCGAACGGACGGCACCUCCGCGUUCAGCACACGUACAGCUCGACGAUGAUCUCAGCCUUCUUGAUCCAGCAAGAGAGACGGAGAGGUAGAAGAGUUCUCCGGCAGCGUGACGGCGCUCCGGAGGUUGGUGAUGACCUUGUCUCAGCAGGGCUCCGCCCGAGCUCCGCAGAAACGCGAUCUAGAGGGAAAACCGUGGAGGUAUGUGGUCGGGCUGCCGUGGAAAAGUCGUCUCAAAUCAGCCCUAAAACCUCCGUAUAUAUAGGUGGGAGGGAGGGGACCGUGCCUUGGGGCUCAAGGAGCCCCAAGGGGGUCGGCCGAGUCCAAGGGGGAAGGCUCCCCCCCAAACCGAGUUGGACUUGGUUUGGUGGGUGGGAGUCCUUCCUUCCCUUCCCACCUCCUCUUUUUUUUCUCUUUGAUUUUCUUUCCUAGGCGCAUAGGGCCCUUUUGGGCUGUCCCACCAGCCCACUAAGGGCUGGUGUGCCACCCUCAAGGCCUAUGGGCUUCCCCGGGGUGGGUUGCCCCCCUCGGUGAACUCCCGGAACCCAUUCGUCAUUCCCGGUACAUUCCCGGUAACUCCGAAAACCUUCCGGUAAUCAAAUGAGGUCAUCCUAUAUAUCAAUCUUCGUUUCCGGACCAUUCCGGAAACCCUCGUGACGUCCAUGAUCUCAUCCGGGACUCCGAACAACAUUCGGUAACCAACCAUAUAACUCAAAUACGCAUAAAACAACGUCGAACCUUAAGUGUGCAGACCCCGCGGGUUCGAGAACUAUGUAGACAUGACCCGAGAGACUCCUCGGUCAAUAUCCAAUAGCGGGACCUGGAUGCCCAUAUUGGAUCCUACAUAUUCUACGAAGAUCUUAUCGUCUGAACCUCAGUGCCAAGGAUUCAUAUAAUCCCGUAUGUCAUUCCCUUUGUCCUUCGGUAUGUUACUUGCCCGAGAUUCGAUCGUCAGUAUCCGCAUACCUAUUUCAAUCUCGUUUACCGGCAAGUCUCUUUACUCAUUCUGUAAUACAAGAUCCCACAACUUACAAUAAGUUGCAUUGCUUGCAAGGCUUGUGUGUGAUGUUGUACUACCGAGUGGGCCCCGAGAUACCUCUCCGUCACACGGAGUGACAAAUCCCAGUCUUGAUCCAUACUAACUCAACUAACACCUUCGGAGAUACCUGUAGAGCAUCUUUAUGGUCACCCAGUUACGUUGCGACGUUUGAUACACACAAAGCAUUCCUCCGGUGUCAGUGAGUUAUAUGAUCUAAUGGUCAUAGGAAUAAAUACUUAACACGCAGAAAACAGUAGCAACAAAAUGACACGAUCAACAUGGUACGUCUAUUAGUUUGGGUCUAGUCCAUCACGUGAUUCUCCUAAUGACGUGAUCCAGUUAUCAAGCAACAACACCUUGUUCAUAAUCAGAAGACACUGACUAUCUUUGAUCAACUGGCUAGCCAACUAGAGGCUUGCUGGGGAUGGUGUUUUGUCUAUGUAUCCACACAUGUAAAUGAGUCUUCAUUCAAUACAAUUAUAGCAUGAAUAAUAAAUGAGUAUCUUGAUACAGGAAUUAUAAUAAUAACUAUAUUUAUUAUUGCCUCUAGGGCAUAAUUCCAACAGUCUCCCACUUGCACUAGAGUCAAUAAUCUAGCCCUCACAUCAUCAUGCGAAUUACAUUGUAAUAAAUCUAACACCCAUACAGUUCUGGUGUUGAUCAUGCUUUGGACGUGGAAGAGGUUUAGUCAGCGGGUCUGCUACAUUCAGAUCCGUGUGCACUUUGCAUAUAUUUACGUCCUCUCCCUCGACGUAGUCGCGGAUGAGGUUGACGCGUCGUUUGAUGUGUGUGGUCUUCUUGUGAAACCGUGGUUCCUUUGCUAAGGCAAUGGCACCCGUGAGAACAAGGUUAUUGGAUUCAGUGCGCUUGGCACCACUCCAAGAUCCGUCAUGAACUGCUUCAUCCAGACACCCUCCUUAGCCGCCUCCGAGGCAGCCAUGUAUUCCGCUUCACAUGUAGAAUCUGCUAUGACGCUUUGCUUGGAACUGCACCAGCUUACCGCACCCCCAUUAAGAAUAAAUACGUAUCCGGUUUGCGACUUAGAGUCGUCCGGAUCUGUGUCAAAGCUUGCAUCAACGUAACCUUUUACGGCGAGCUCUUCGUCACCUCCAUACACGAGAAACAUCUCCUUAGUCCUUUUCAGGUACUUCAGGAUAUUCUUGACCGCUGUCCAGUGAUCCACUCCUGGAUUACUCUGGAACCUACCCGCCAUACUUAUGGCCAGGCUAACAUCCGGUCUAGUGCACAACAUUGCAUACAUGAUAGAACCUAUGGCUGAAGCAUAGGGGACGGAGCGCAUAUGCUCUCUAUCUUCAUCAGUUGCUGGGCACUGAGUCUUACUCAAUUUCGUACCUUGUAAAACUGGCAAGAACCCGUUCUUGGACUGUUCCAUUUUGAACCUCUUCAAAACUUUAUCAAGGUAUGUGCUUUGUGAAAGUCCUAUCAGGCGUUUUGAUCUAUCCCUAUAGAUCUUAAUGCCUAGAAUGUAAGCAGCUUCUCCUAGGUCCUUCAUAGAGAAACUCUUAUUCAAGUAAUCCUUUAUGCUCUCUAAAAACUCCACGUUGUUUCCAAUCAGCAAUAUGUCAUCCACAUAUAAUAUUAGAAACGCCACAGAGCUCCCACUCACUUUCUUGUAAAUACAAGAUUCUCCAACCACUUGUAUAAACCCAAAUGCUUUGAUCACCUCUUCAAAGCGUUUGUUCCAACUCCGAGAUGCUUGCACUAGUCCAUAAAUGGAUCGCUGGAGCUUGCACACCUUGUUAGCAUUCUUAGGAUCGACAAAACCUUCGGGUUGUAUCAUAUACAACUCUUCCUUAAGGAAACCAUCAAGGAACGCCGUUUUGACAUCCAUCUGCCAGAUUUCAUAAUUGAAAAAUGCAGCUAUUGCUAACAUGAUUCUGACGGACUUAAGCAUCGCUACGGGUGAGAAUGUCUCAUCGUAGUCAACUCCUUGAACUUGUGAAAAACCCUUUGCCACAAGUAGAGCUUUAUAAACGGUCACAUUGCCGUCAGCGUCCAUCUUCCUCUUAAAGAUCCAUUUGUUCUGAAUAGCCUUGCGGCCCUCAGGUAGUACCUCCAAAGUCCACACUUUGUUCUCAUACAUGGAUCCUAUCUCGGACUUCAUGGCUUCUAGCCAUUUGUUGGAAUCUGGGCCCACCAUUGCUUCUUCAUAAUUUGCAGGUUCAUUGUUGUCUAACAACAUGAUUGAUAAGACGGGAUUACCGUACCACUCUGGAGCAGCACGCGGUCUCGUCGACCUGCGUGGUUCGACAGAAACUUGAACUGGAGUUUCAUGAUCAUCAUCAUCAACUUCCUCCUCAACCGGCGUCGCAACGACAGAGGUUUCCCCUUGCCCUGCACCACCAUCCAGAGGGAUGAGAGGUUCGACAACCUCGUCAAGUUCUAUCUUCCUCCCACUCAAUUCUCUCGAGAGAAACUCCUUCUCGAGAAAAGCUCCGUUUUUAGCAACAAACACUUUGCCCUCGGAUUUGAGAUAGAAGGUGUACCCAACUGUCUCUUUUGGGUAACCUAUGAAGACACACUUUUCCUCUUUGGGUUCCAGCUUUUCAGGCUGAAGCUUUUUGACAUAAGCAUCACAUCCCCAAUCUUUAAGAAACGACAACUUUGGCCUUUUGCCAUACCACAGUUCAUAUGGUGUCGUCUCAACGAAUUUUGAUGGUGCCCUAUUUAAAGUGAAUGCAGCUGUUUCUAAUGCAUAACCCCAAAACGAUAACGUCAAAUCAGUAAGAGAUAUCAUAGAUCGCACCAUCUCUAAUAGAGUACGAUUACGACGUUCGGACACACCAUUACGCUGUGGUGUUCCAGGCGGUGUUAACUGUGAAACAAUUCCACAUUGUCUUAAGUGAGUACCAAACUCGAAACUCAGAUAUUCACCCCCACGAUCAGACCGUAGGAACUUGAUCUUCUUGUUACGAUGAUUUUCCACUUCACUCUGAAAUUGCUUGAACUUUUCAAAUGUUUCAGACUUGUGUUUCAUCAAGUAGACAUAACCAUAUCUACUCAAAUCGUCAGUGAAUGUGAGAAAAUAACGAUAUCCGCCACGUGCCUCCACGCUCAUCGGACCACACACCUCGGUGUGUAUGAUUUCCAAUAAGUCACUUGCACGCUCCAUUGUUCCAGAGAACGGAGUCUUAGUCAUCUUGCCCAUGAGGCAUGGUUCGCACGUGUCAAGUGAAUCAAAGUCAAGUGACUCCAAAAGUCCAUCAGCAUGGAGUUUCUUCAUGCGUUUUACACCAAUAUGACCUAAGCGGCAGUGCCACAAAAAUAUGGCGCUAUCAUUGUUAACUCUAACUCUUUUGGUCUCAAUGUUAUGUAUAUGCGUACCGCUAUCAAGUUCAAUAUGAACAAUCCUCUCACAUUAGGUGCAUGACCAUAAAAGAUGUUACUCAUAGAAAUAGAACAACCAUUAUUCUCUGACUUAAAAGAGUAACCGUCUCGCAAUAAACAAGAUCCAGAUAUAAUGUUCAUGCUUAACGCAGGCACUAAAUAACAAUGAUUUAAGUUCAUCACUAAUCCUGAUGGUAACUGAAGUGAAACUGUGCCGACGGCGAUUGCAUCAACCUUGGAACCAUUUCCUACGCGCAUCGUCACUUCAUCUUUCGCCAGCCUUCGUCUAUUCCGCAGUUCCUAUUUCGAGUUGCAAAUAUGAGCAACAGAACCGGUAUCGAAUACCCAGGCACUACUACGAGAGCCGGUUAAGUACACAUCAAUAACAUGUAUAUCAAAUAUACCUGAUUUUUCUUUGGUCGCCUUCUUAUCUGCCAGAUACUUGGGGCAAUUGCGCUUCCAGUGACCCAUACCCUUGCAAUAGUAACACUCCGUUUCAGGCUUAGGUCCAGCUUUGGGUUUCUUCGUCGGAUUGGCAACAGGCUUGCCGCUCUUCUUCGAAUUACCCUUAUUGCCUUUGCCGUUUCUCUUGAAACUAGUGGUCUUAUUCACCAUCAACACUUGAUGCUCUUUACGGAGUUCAGACUCUGCGACUUUCAGCAUCGCAAACAACUCGCCGGGAGACUUGUUCAUCCCUUGCAUGUUGUAGUUCAACACAAAGCCUUUAUAGCUUGGCGGCAGUGAUUGAAGGAUUCUGUCAGUGAUAGCCUCUUGCGGGAGUUCAAUCCCCAGCUCAGCUAGACGGUUUGAGUACCCAGACAUUUUGAGCACAUGUUCAUUGACAUACGAGUUUUCCUCCAUCUUGCAAGCAUAGAAUUUAUCGGAGGUCUCAUACCUCUCGAUCCGGGCGUUCUUCUGAAAGAUAAACUUCAACUCUUGGAACAUCUCAAAUGCUCCAUGAUGCUCAAAGCGACGUUGAAGUCCCGGUUCUAAGCCAUACAAGACUGCACAUUGAACUAUUGAGUAGUCCUUCUUAUGUGCUAACCAAGCGUUCUUAACAUCCUGAUCAGCCGUAGCGGGUGGUUCAUCUCCUAGCGCAGCAUUAAGGACAUAAUCCUUCUUCCCAGCUUGUAAGGUUAGCUUAAGAUUACGAGCCGAGUCUACAAAGUUGCUUCCAUCAUCUUUCAACUUAGCUUUCUCUAGGAACGUAUUAAAAUUCAGGAUGACACUCACGUGAGCCAUGAUCUACAACACAAAUAUAUUCAACGUGGACUUAGACUAUGUUCAAGAUAAUUAGAGUUUACCUUAAUCAAAUUAUUUGCUAAACUCCCACUCAAAAAGUACAUCUCUCUAGUCAUUUGAGUGGUUCACGAUCCACUUACACUAGCUCAAGUCCGAUCAUCACGUGAGUUGAGUAUAGUUUCAGUGGUAAGCAUCAGUAUGCUAAUCAUAUCAUCUAUAUGAUUCAUGAUCGACCUUUCGGUCUCAUGUGUUCCGAGGCCAUGUCUGCACAUUCUAGGCUCGUCAAGCUUAACCCGAGUGUUCCGCGUGCGCAACUGUUUUGCACCCGUUGUAUGUGAACGUUGAGUCUAUCACACCCGAUCAUCACGUGGUGUCUCGAAACGACGAACUGUAGCAACGGUGCACAGUCGGGGAGAACACAAUUUCGUCUUGAAAUUUUAGUGAGAGAUCACCUCAUAAUGCUACCGUCAUUAUAAGCAAAAUAAGGUGCAUAAAAGGAUUAACAUCACAUGCAAUUCAUAAGUGACAUGAUAUGGCCAUCAUCACGUGCUUCUUGAUCUCCAUCACCAAAGCACCGGCACGAUCUUCUUGUCACCGGCGCCACACCAUGAUCUCCAUCAACGUGUUGCCAUCGGGGUUGUCGUGCUACUCAUGCUAUUACUACUAAAGCUACAUCCUAGCAAAAUAGUAAACGCAUCUGCAAGCACAAACGUUAGUAUAAAGACAACCCUAUGGCUGCUGCCGGUUGCCGUACCAUCGACGUGCAAGUCGAUAUUUUCUAUUACAACAUGAUCAUCUCAUACAUCCAAUAUAUCACAUCACAUCGUUGGCCAUAUCACAUCACAAGCAUACCCUGCAAAAACAAGUUAGACGUCCUCUAAUUUUGUUGUUGCAUGUUUUACGUGGUGACCAUGGGUAUCUAGUAGGAUCGCAUCUUACUUACGCAAACACCACAACGGAGAUAUAUGAGUUGCUAUUUAACCUCAUCCAAGGACCUCCUCGGUCAAAUCCGAUUCAACUAAAGUUGGAGAAACCGACACUUGCCAGUCAUCUUUGAGCAACGGGGUUACUCGUAGCGAUGAAACCAGUCUCUCGUAAGCGUACGAGUAAUGUCGGUCCAAGCCGCUUCAAUCCAACAAUACCGCGGAAUCAAGAAAAGACUAAGGAGGGCAGCUAAACGAACAUCACUGCCCACAAAAACUUUUGUGUUCUACUCGAGAAGACAUCUACGCAUGAACCUAGCUCAUGAUGCCACUGUUGGGGAACGUCGCAUGGGAAACAAAAAUUUUCCUACGCGCACGAAGACCUAUCAUGGUGAUGUCCAUCUACGACAGGGGAUGAGUGAUCUAUGUACCCUUGUAGAUCGUACAGCAGAAGCGUUAGUGAACACGGUUGAUGUAGUGGAACGUCCUCACGUAACUCGAUCGCCCAGCGAACAAUCCCGUGAUCAGUCCCACGAUCUAGUACCGAACGGACGGNNNNNNNNNNNNNNNNNNNNNNNNNNNNNNNNNNNNNNNNNNNNNNNNNNNNNNNNNNNNNNNNNNNNNNNNNNNNNNNNNNNNNNNNNNNNNNNNNNNNGAGAAAACCUUAUGCACUUUCCAUCCCUCGAUGAGGAUAUUGCAACAACUCCUAUUCCCCUUUCCCCUUAAACUCCCAUUUCCUGUAAUCAAUCAGUGAACUAUUAAUCUCUGCACCCCUCAACUCCCAUUCUUCAUCUCUAAUUCCCACGAACCAAAUAUGCUUAGGAUAAUAGUUGUGAUGGAAUUAAACUCUGUAUGCGCUAUAUAUAUGGACACCCUAUGAGGUUAGUACAGUUGCCUUGCACAAAUCCUUAUUCUACACUACUCAUCAACACAAACAUAAUAAGAGUCGUUAAAUUCGUUGGAUCAAUGAUGUAUAGCAGCACGAACGCAUCCAAUUAGGUGCUCGCACGGCACACACCUUCUCUCCGCUCCGUAUGUACGCAUCGAUCACUGCCGUACGUUCGCAAGAUCCACGAGUCAUACGGAGGACCAAUCAGUUCAUGUUGCGCGCGCAGUGCGUGAUGGCGGAGCAGCCGCGCGUGUAAGGGUUCAUCUGCUGCAUGGACCCGCAGUUGGUGUAGUAGGACGCCCCGCGCUUGUUGCAGACGAUCUGGUCGGCGCGCAGCGCCGCGUAGCUGAUGUACCUGGCCGUCGGCUUCCGCUCCAGCGACCUGCGCAGCGCCUCGCCGGCGCCCGUCCCCGUCCCCAUCUCCUCGUCCUCGUCCACGCCGCACUCCCCGAUGAUUCCGUCGCAGGCCGCAGCGCGCGACAGCAGCAUGGAGGCCAGCUCGCCGGCGGAGGCCGGGGCCGGCAGGCAGGUGACCGCGGCCGCGGCCGCCAGGAGCGCGAGCGAGGCCACACUGAGCCUUGCCAUGUCAGUCUUCUAUCCGGUGGCUGGUUUCUUGCGGGUUUGAGUCGGUCGGCUUGUCGGUCUGCAGCUAGGAUGGAUCCCUCCCUGCCUUCUUCUCUCUUUGAAGGGAUUGGGAGGAGGAGGGGAUGAAGAUAGGAGAGGCGGGAGAAGGGGAUUUGGAGAGGGGGAGGCUGGACGGGCGAGGAAGCAGGGCGGCCGCACGUCGGCUUGGCCUCGGCCUCAUGUGCUAAUUUUAGGUGCAAGAAGACCCUUGUUUUACGGUGUCCAGUGGUACGUGCCAUGCCUACCCUUUUUUGCUAAUUUUAGGUGCAAGAAGACCCUUUUUUUGCUUUGAGUUGCAUGUGCAGUCCUUUUUUUUUUGAGGGUGCAUGUGCAUACCUUCUGAGGUGCCCGUUUCGAGUGUCCUCUCCCAAAAAAAAAACUACGCCACCACGAGGCCAUCUCCGAGCCUGGCCGCGCCGCUCACCCCGCUAUCGCGGCUCCGCUUCCUUCUGGCCGCCUCCAGCCGACCACCGUGGUGCCACUUCCCUCCACCGAAUCCAUCAGACCGGCCGCGCUGCUCCCCUCCGCCGUCCUCCACCAGAAAGGAGAAGCUUUCCCAGAAAGGGGCAAAUAAAGACUCACCCCCACCCCGUAAAAAGAGAGGCAACUAAAGACCAACGAAAAAAAUAGUGCGUUAUAAAAUAUAACAAGCCCUUCUAGUUAUAGCACGCUAAUAGCAUGCUAUAUUUUAAAAUAGUGUUUAAAAAAUGUCAUAUCUAAAAAUAAAGUAUUUUAUCAACUAUAUUUUUCUCAGGAAUCAUACAUGCACAAGGGCCAAAUCGAAACCAUUAACAAAAGGGAAAUGCUUACAGCCGGAGCACCGGCCGAACCGUUCGGCCGGUCGCUCGCGGCUCAAGCGCCUGGCAGCAGCCAUGCAACAUUAUUUUAGUGCAGAUUUGUUGCAAUCAUGUACAAAUUUGAUACAUUGGCCCACACAUGUAACAUUUUUAGUGUAGAUUUGCUACAAGCAUUUUCUAUUUUGUUGCAACUUGUUCAAUAAAAAAGUUGCAUCCACGUUUGGUUGCAACUCGAGUUCGUUUAAUUUUUUUGCCACAACUGGGUUUGAUUUUUGCUACAACCGUGUAAAUUUUUGCUACAACCAACAUCAUUUUUUGCUGCAACCGUUCACUAAAAAAGUUGCAUACACGUUCGUCAGAGUUUCCAACCCGAGUUCACCGGAUUGUUUUGCUACAACCUUUUUUUUGUUUUGCUACCACGCAUCAUCAGCUUUGUUUUUUUUGCUACGAUCAUGUAGGGACACCCUUAGGCUUGUUCGGUUAAUCCCAUCGAGGAGGGGAUUGAAGGGGAUUGGGAUGGAAUUUGACUUGUAGGGGAUUUAAUCCCUUUCAAUCCCCUCCAAACCCCUUCAAUUUUAAAGGAACCGAACAAGGCCUUAGGUGUGGAAUGAUGGCCUCUGCAGUGAAGUCAAGAAGGAUAGAAGGGAUGGAGACAUGGAGGGAAAGGAGGUGCAAGAAGAGGCGAUGCAAAGUGGGGCGGCGGCGGCGGCCCAAUCACAAGGUCUCACAGUGAUGGAUCCCCUUCCCCUUCCGUUCUCUCUCGCGGGUUGAUUUAGGUCAUUCAUGAUUUGUUACGACAUUGAAUCAUCCCAANNNNNNNNNNNNNNNNNNNNNNNNNNNNNNNNNNNNNNNNNNNNNNNNNNNNNNNNNNNNNNNNNNNNNNNNNNNNNNNNNNNNNNNNNNNNNNNNNNNNGUUUUGUCUAUGUAUCCACACAUGUAAAUGAGUCUUCAUUCAAUACAUUAUAGCAUGGAUAAUAAACGAUUAUCUUGAUACAGGAAUUAUAAUAAUUACUAUAUUUAUUAUUGCCUCUAGGGCAUAAUUCCAACACCUUCUGCGCAGCAACGAGGACAAUCCUCGGUUUUACAGACUCAGUCCGCAAAGUUGCUACUAUCAAUUUUCAACUAAAUUUUCUCUAGGAACAUAUAAAACAGUAGAACUAUAGCUCAAGCUACAUCAUAAUUCGCAAAGACCAUUAGACUAUGUCCAUGACAAUUAGUUCAAUUAAUCAUAUUACUUAAGAACUCCCACUUAAAAAGUACAUCUCUCUAGUCAUUUGAGUGGUACAUGAUCCAAAUCCACUAUCUCAAGUCCGAUCAUCACGUGAGUCGAGAAUAGUUUCAGUGGUAAGCAUCUCUAUGCUAAUCAUAUCAACUAUACGAUUCAUGCUUGACCUUUCGGUCUCUUGUGUUCCGAGGCCAUGUCUGCACAUGCUAGGCUCCUCAAGUUUAACCCGAGUGUUCGUGUGUGCAACUGUUUUGCACCCGUUGUAUGUGAAUGUUGAGUCUAUCACACCCGAUCAUCACGUGGUGUCUCGAAACGACGAACUGUCGAAACGGUGCACAGUCGAGGAGAACACAAUUGCGUCUUGAAAUUUUAGUGAGAGAUUACCUCAUAAUGCUACCGUCGUUCUAAGCAAGAUAAGGUACAUAAAGGAUUAACAUCACAUGCAAUUCAUAAGUGACAUGAUAUGGCCAUCAUCACGUGCUUCUUGAUCUCCAUCACCAAAGCACCGGCAUGACCUUCUUGUCACCGGCGUCACACCAUGAUCUCCAUCAUCAUGAUCUCCAUCAACGUGUCGCCAUCGGGGUUGUCGUGCUACUCAUGCUAUUACUACUAAAGCUAUGUCCUAGCAAUAUAGUAAACGCAUCUGCAAGCACAAACGUUAGAUUAAAGACAACCGUAUGGCUCCUGCCGGUUGCUGUACCAUCGAUGUGCAAGUCGAUAUUAACUAUUACAACAUGAUCAUCUCAUACAUCCAAUAUAUCACAUCACGUCGUUGGCCAUAUCACAUCACAAGCAUACCCAGCAAAAACAAGUUAGACGUCCUCUAAUUGUUGUGGCAUGUUUUACGUGGUUGCCAUGGGUAUCUAGUAGAAUCGCAUCUUACUUACGCAAAACACCACAACGGAGAUGUAUGAAUUGCUAUUUAACCUCUCUCCAAGGACCUCCUUGGUCAAAUCCGAUUCAACUAAAGUUGGAGAAACCGACACUCGCCAGUCAUCUUUCAGCAACAGGGUUGCUCGCAGCGAUGAAACCAGUCUCUCGUAAGCGUACGAGUAAUGUUGGUCCGAGCCGCUUCGAUCCAACAAUACCGCGGAAUCAAGAAAAGACUAAGGAGGGCAGAAAAUCGCACAUCACCGCCCACAAAAACUUUUGUGUUCUACUCGAGAUAACAUCUACGCAUGAACCUAGCUCAUGAUGCCACUGUUGGGGAACGUCGCAUGGGAAACAAAAAAUUUCCUACGCACACGCAGUACCUAUCAUGGUGAUGUUCAUCUACGAGAGGAGAUUUCUGAUCUACGUACCCUUGUAGAUUGCACAGCAGAAGCGUUAAUAAACACGGCUGAUGUAGUGGAACGUCCUCACGUCCCUCGAUCCGCCCCGCGAACCGUCCCGCGAUCCAUCCCACGAUCCGUCCCGCGAUCCGUCUCACGAACCAUCUCGCGAUCCGUUGCAUGAACCGUCUUGCGAUUCAUCUCACGAUCAGUUCUGAUCUAGUGCCGAACAGACGGCACCUCCGCGUUCAACACACGUACAGCUCGACGAUGAUCUCGGCCUUCUUGAUCCAGCAAGAGAGACGGAGAGAUAGAUGAGUUCUCCGGCAGAGUGACGGCGCUCCGGAGGUUGGUGUUAAUCUAUCUCAGCAGGGCUCCGCCCGAGCUCCGCAGAAAUACGAUCUGGAGGAAAAACCGUGGAGGUAUGUGGUCGGGCUGCCGUGGCAAAGUUGUCUCAAAUUAGCCCUAAUACCUCAGUAUAUAUAGGAGGGAGGGGGAGGGAAGAGGCAGCCUCAAACCCUUAAGGUUUGGCCGAAAUUGGAGGUGGAGGAGUCCUACUCCAAUCCUACUUGGAGUAGGAUACCACCUUCCCACUUGGAAACUCUUUCCACCCUGUGUUUUUCCUUCUCAAACCUUAUGGGCCUUAGUGGGAACUUAUUCCAACCCACUAGGGGCUGGUUUAUCUCUUCCCAUAGCCCAUGAGACCCCUUGGGGCGUGACACCCCUCCCGAUGGUCCCCGGCACCCGUCCCGGCACUCCCGGUACACUACCGAUGAGCCCGAAACUUUUCCGGUGACCAAAAAAGGACUUCCUAUAUAUCAAUCUUUACCUCCGUACCAUUCCGGAGCUCCUCGUGACAUCCUGGCUCUCAUCCGGAACUCCGAACAACUUUCGAUUACCAACCAUAUAACUCAAAUACGCAUAAAACAUCGUCGAACCUUAAGUGUGCAGACCCUGCGGGUUCGAGAACUAUGUAGACAUGACCCGAGAGACUCCUCGGUCAAUCUCCAAUAGCGGGACCUGGAUGACCAUAUUGGAUCCUACAUAUUCUCUGAAGAUCUUAUCUGUUGAACCUCAGUGUCAAGGAUUCAUAUAAUCCCGUAUGUCAUUCCCUUUGUCCUUCGGUAUGUUACUUGCCCGAGAUUCGAUUGUCGGUAUCCACAUACCUAUUUAAAUCUCGUUUACCGGCAAGUCUCUUUACUCGUUCCAUAAUACAAGAUCCCGUGACUUACACUAAGUCACAUUGCUUGCAAGGCUUGUGUGUGAUGUUGUAUUACCGAGUGGGCCCCGAGAUUCCUCUCCGUCACACGGAGUGACAAAUCCCAGUCUUGAUCCAUCCUAACUCAACGGGCACCUUCGGAGAUACCUGUAGAGCAUCUUUAUAGUCACCCAGUUACGUUGUGACGUCUGAUACAGACAAGGCAUUCCUCCGGUGCCAGUGAGUUAUAUGAUCUCAUGCUCAUAAGAACAAAUACUUGACACGCGGAAAACAGUAGCAACAAAAUGACACGACCAACAUGUUACGUUUAUUAGUUUGGGUCUAGUCCAUGACAUGAUCCUCCUAAUGAUGUGAUCCCGUUAUCAAGUAACAACACUUGCCUAUGGCCAGGAAACCUUGACCAUCUUUGAUCAACGAGCUAGUCAACUAGAGGCUUACUAGGCACAGUGUUUUGUCUAUGUAUCCACACAAGUAUUGUGUUUCCAAUCAAUACAAUUAUAGCAUGGAUAAUAAGCGAUGAUCAUGAACAAAGAAAUAUAAUAGUAACUAAUUUAUUGUUGCCUCUAGGGCAUAUUUCCAACACGAACAACAUUAGCUAACCACACAUAUAACUCAACUAUACUAAAACAUCGUCGAACCUUAAGUGUGCAGAUCAUGCGGGUUCGAGAAUUAUGUAGACAUGCCCCGAGGCACUCCUCGGUCAAUAUCCAAUAGCGGGACCUGGAUGCCCAUAUUGGAUCCUACAUAUUCUCUGAAGAUCUUAUUGGUUGAACCUCAGUGUCAAGGAUUCAUAUAAUCCCGUAUGUCAUUCCCUUUGUCCUUCGGUAUGUUACUUGCCCGAGAUUCGAUCGUCGGUAUCCGCAUACCUAUUUCAAUCUCGUUACCGGCAAGUCUCUUUACUCAUUCCGUAAUACAAGAUCCUGUGACUUACACUUAGUCACAUUGCUUGCAAGGCUUGUUGUGUGAUGUUGUAUUACCGAGUGGGCCCCGAGAUACCUCUCCAUCACACGGAGUGACAAAUCCCAGUCUUGAUCCAUAUUAACUCAACGGACAUCUUCGGAGAUACCUGUAGAACACCUUUAUAGUCACCCAGUUACGUUGCGACGUUUUAUGCACACAAGGUAUUCCUCCGGUGCCAGUGAGUUAUAUGAUCUCAUGGUCAUAGGAACAAAUACUUGACACGCAGAAAACAGUAGCAAUAAAACGACACGAUCAAUAUGCUACGUUCAUAGUUUGGGUCUUGUACAUCACAUGAUUCUCCUAAUGAUGUGAUCCCGUUAUCAAGUGACAACACUUGUCUAUGGUUAGGAAACCUUGACCAUCUUUGAUCAACGAGCUAGUCAACUAGAGGCUUACUAGGUACAGUGUUUUGUCUAUGUAUCCACACAUGUAUUUGAGUUUCCAAUCAAUACAAUUAUAGCAUGGAUAAUAAACGAUUAUCACAAACAAAUAAAUAUAAUAAUAACUAAUUUAUUAUUGCCUCUAGGGCAUAUUUCCAACAGUCUCCCACUUGCACUAGAGUCAAUAAUCUAGUUCACAUCAUCAUGUGAUUUUAACGAAUCCAACACCCAUAUAGUUCUGGGGUCUGAUCACGACUUGCUCGUGAGAGAGGUUUUAGUCAACGGUUCUGAAACUUUCAGAUGAGUGUGUGCUUUACAAAUCUUUAUGUCAUCUUAUAGAUGCUGCUACCACGUGCUAUUCGGAAAUACUCCAAAUAUCUACUCUACUAUACGAAUCCGUUUUACUACUCAUCGUUAUUCGGAUUAGUGUCAAAGCUUGCAUCGACGUAACCCUUUACGACGAACUCUUUAACCACCUCCAUAACCGAGAAAUUCCUUAGUCCAUUAGAUACUAAGGAUGACUUUGACCACUGUUCAGUGAUUCAAUCCUGGAUCACUCUCUGUACCUCUUAAGAGACUUGUGGCAAGGCACACAUCAGGUGCGGUACAUAGCAUGACAUACUGUAGAGUCUACGGCUAAGGCAUAGGGGACGACCUUCGUCCUUUCUCUUUCUUCUGCCGUGGUCGGGCUUUUGAGUCUUACUCAAAUUCACACCUUACAACACAUCCAAGAACUCCUUAUUUGCUGAUCUAUUUUGAACUCCUUCAAAAACUUGUCAAGGCGUGCAUUUCAUUUGAAAGUUCUGUUUAGCAUUUUGUUCUAUCUCCAUAUAUCUUGAUGCUCAAUGUUCAAGUAGCUCUAUCCAGGUCUUCCUUUGAAAAACCCCUUUCAAAUAACCUUUAUGCUUCACAGAAAUUCUACAUUACUUCCGAUCAACAAUAUGUCAACCACAUAUACUUAUCAGAAAUUCUAUAGUGCUCCCACUCACUUCUUUGGAAAUACAAGUUUCUCAUAAACCUUGUACAAACCCAAAAACUGUGAUCAUCUCAUCAAAGCGUAUAUUCCAACUUUGAGAUGCUCUACAACGUAACUGGGUGAUUAUAAAGAUGAUCUACAGGUAUCACCAAAGGUAUCUGUUGAGUUGGCAUGGAUCGCGACUGAGAUUUGUCACUCCGUAUGACGGAAAGGUAUCUUGGGGCACAGUCAGUAAUACAACAUCACAAUAAGCUCACAAGCAAUGUGGCUAAGGAGUUAGUCACGGGAUCUUGUAUUACGGAACGAGUAAGGAGACUUGUCGGUAAUGAGACUGAACUAGGUAUGGAGAUACCGACGAUCGAAUCUCGGGCAAGUAAUAUACCGAUGGACAAAGAGCACUACAUACGGGAUUACCUGAAUCCUUGACAUCACGGUUCGACCGAUAUUGUGACAGCCCGAUGCCGACAUCCAGAAGAUUCCCCUUUUUCUUUCCGUUUUCGUCGUGUGUCUAUUUUCUUUUGUUGCAUCAUCAUCGCAUCAUGCGCAUCAUCAGCAUUGCAUCGGCACCCCGUUGCCGCCAGUUUUCAAAACUUGCAUCCGUUGUUUAGUUGCCGGUUCACGUCGUUGUCCGUUCUGAGUCCGACCACACACGCACGCGCCCGUGGCACCGUCAAAACCAUGUUUUUACAGUGUGCGUAAAACUUUCUCCGAUCGGGUUGAGAUUUGAUGUACGGUCUUAUUUUAAUAUAGCCAGGCCGCCUAUCGAAUUUCGUCGCGAUCGGAGUUCGUCUGGUACCCGAACGGUCGACCGUAGCGGCACCGUAUUCGGUCUAUCGUCGGACGUUUUAUCGGUGUUUUAAAUUACGUUGCCGGGUGCCCGUUUCCCUCUCGUCAUAGCCAACACCCCUCUACACUGCCUAAACCUAACCCACCUAACCCUAGGACGUUUCCGGAGCGUCCGAUCUCAAUCGGAGGGUCCGAAAACGCCCGAAACCCUAAGCCUAGCCCUUUCCUUCUAUAAAUGGACAGCGAAUCCUCCCUCUCCUCGUUUUCAGUGCCCUAACCCUAGCUAGCCAGCCUUCCACCUUCUCCUCGCGCCGCCGGGCCCACGAGCCGCAACCGGCCCGAUCGGGCCAAUCGGGACCGUGCAGCACCAGCCGCCGCUGGCUCCUCCCUGCCUCCCGAGCUCCUCAUCGCUGCCCCCUCGCCUCCAGGGUGCCGAGCCGAGCGCUGUCGUCCCUCGCAGCCUCCGUCGGAGUUCCACCGGAGGAGCCGCCGCCACUGGAGGGCCCCGCCUCGUUCCCGCCGGCAGCCACCGCCCCAACGCGCCCCUUAGUGUGAGCCUUCCUGUCGCGUCGCGCCGCCAUGCGAUGCCGCCUCGAGCUGCGUCGCCCGGAACGGAUCCUUCCCGCCCGGAUCCGCCCAUGGCCGCGGGACCUAGUCUUCCUCGCCUGCCGGCUCUGCCCCUUCGUCGGCGUUCGGCCCAGUCGCUGCCGUCGCUCCUGCGUGUCUCGGGAGGGAGACGAGGGAACCGCCCGCGUUGACCGCGCCGUCCCCGCACCGGACAGGUGGGCCCUGCUCCAGCCGCGACCCCGAACGGGCCUCCUUCGGCCCAGUUCGGCCCCCCUGCCGCGCACCUCCCAUGUCGGCCCAGCUCGCCCCUGAGCCAGGCCACCUUCGGCCAACUCGGCCUCCAGCCGGGCCAAGGCCCCAAGGUGAGCCCCGCUGCGCCCCUUUAUUUUGUUCGCAUGUGUGUAGUAUUAGUAUGUGGCGCCAAUGCUUAGUUUCGGCCCGAUAGCCAGAUCUGGCCCGCGUAGGAUUUUAUUAAUUUUGGCUAUUUAAUUCUUUUUCAGAAAAGGGCAUAUUUUCAAACGUGUGUAGUUUUAAAUCCGUGUGUCGGAUCGGAGAGUAUUAUAUAUGUAAAACGUGUAGUUUCUCGCGUAGAACCCGAUUAUAAGACUUGCAUAAUUAUUUGACGUAGUUUUACGUGCCAAACGCCUAGUUUAGCGUGUUGUCCCAAUAGAGGAACGUCCCGUAUUUAUUUUUCUUGCGGUCCGGAUUGCUCGAGUGCCAUAGGUAAAAUGCCCAUGUUUUAGGGACCAUUUUCCCAUGCAUUUUAGAGCGGUCAUUUGUAUUUUUGCGUGUAGGNNNNNNNNNNNNNNNNNNNNNNNNGUAGGGAAUUGCCUCUAGUUUAUUUUCCCGUAUAUAGGUUAUUUUCCCGCAUUUGUGUGUGGCUUUAUUUGGUGUUGAACCCCACAUAUUUUAUAUGAUUUCGGGGUGAUUUUUCUAUGAAAUUAGUUUUAGCAUUAGAGCAAGUUAGUUCGCGCGAUAUUUUGCCGUGAUGCCCUUUUGUUUAAUUCGAAGGAUUUAUUUCGUGCUUCGUUUGAAGGAGUUGUCAACUAGGAAGUUGUUCUUGAGUGUUUAGACUAGCCCCUGGUAUUUUUAGUUGCAAUAGAAAUGCAUGUUUAGGUGUGUUUUGAUUGCCCUCAAGUUGCUAGAAAUAGUGAUGUUUUGGACGUGCUGAAAUAUUUCUAAGUCUGGGAUCUGUUAUUGUUUUGUUGCUGUCUUAUCUUGCUUGCAUCUUGUGAUCUGUAGCUCUUUUGAGGUUGGUCCAAUGGAGUUAGUUGUAUCCCUUAUGUUUCUCUAGCAUGCUGUAAAUUUUCAUGCCAUUUGGAGUCCUGUAGCUAUAGAUUUUGCUGCUGUCAAUAUUGCUUUAGAUCCAAAACUGCACUUUAAUGAGGUGUUAUUUUCACUAAGUCUGAAAUAGUGUGUGGGAUGCCAUUUUGUAUCUUCUUUUCCUAGUGCUCCUUGCUGCCAUGCUAGUUGUUGUUAGUUGGUUGUAUUAGUGCUUCUUUCCCUCUUUCAUGUCAUGCCUUGCUUGAGUUUAUCGGAGUUGUGUAGCUUGUAGUUGAGGGGUGUAGAAUAUGCUAUGUGGUUGAUUUUGGCAGAUUGUAAUCAUUUCUUAUUUUGCUCGUAGUUGUUGAACCGUAGCUCCGAUUUGAUCGUGUCCUACAUGAAACUUGCUUAGAAUCUCGUGUAGUUUCAUUUUAUCUUGCGGGAUGUAUGUUUUGAAGUGCUCGUGACCGCCGUUGCACACAUAUUGCAUUCAUGCCAUCAUAUCUUGCGGUGCUUGUAUCUUUUGAACCGUAGCUCCGUUGGAGAUGUUCUUUAUGUGUAGAUUGCUUCAAAUAACGCGUAGAAUCACGUGAACCUAUUUGUUUGCUGUUUAACAACGUGAAUCACGUGAAUCACGUGAUACACGGCGCGCCGGCGAAUCGUUCGGCCGGUCAGCGAGGCGGGCAGUGAAUCCCAACCCAAACACUAGAAUGAAUAUGAGCAACACCAUAAUUCUUUGGAAAACGCUUUCAUCCGGCGCGCCGGCGAAUCGUUCGGCCGGUCGCGCGCCUCGCUGGUAGAUGCUUGCAGCAUUUUUUCGUCAAAUUUGCUGCAACCGUGUAUUUUUUUGAUACAAACGUUUUUCAUGUAACUUUUUUUCUCGUGUAAAUUUGUUACAUUUGUCCAGUAAAAAGCUGCAUAUACGUUUGGUUGCAACUUCAGUUCGUCGAAUUUUUCGUUACAAUCGAUGUUUUUACUUUUGCUACAACCGUGUUAAUUUUUGCUAUAAUCGGCAUCAUUUUUUGCUGCAACCCUUCACUAAAAAAGUUGCAUACGCGUUCACGUAGAUAUUUGUUACAACCGGCGUUUGACUUUUGCUACCACGCACCAUCAGAUUCGUUUUUUUGCUACGAUCACGUAGAUUUUUUUUUUGCUACAAAAUUUGUUUUUUGUUGCAACCGUUGAAAAAAUUGCUGCAUCGCGACGAAUUUUGCUGCAUCAGGAGAAAAAAUGUUGCAUGAAGAUCCAAUGGUGCGGACGCGCGGGGUUGGUGGAUCGGGCGGCCCGUCCACGGCCGGCUGAAAGUUUCGGCCGACGCGCCGGCGCAAAUCACUCCCCUAAUUUUUUAACAUAUAUGAGAGUCCCUAAGCACAAACCAAAAACAGGUAAUUAAGAAAAUGUGGACCNNNNNNNNNNNNNNNNNNNNNNNNNNGCUCUUCCUGAUUACGAUUCCUCUAGUGGGUUGAAACAAUUUCGCGAACACUUCAUUAACAUGGGCUAAGAAGGACAACGUUUCAACACAGAUCAUAACGAUAUUGAUUCGCCUUUAAGCAAAGCCUAAAUUAGUCAUUACUAGUAAAAGUGCCCAUGCGUUGCAUCGAGUUAGACUGUCGAUUUUUGAAUCAUGAAUUUUCUAUUUGAAAAGCACCACCCCCCCCCCUCCCUUAUGUCCUCCUCAACAUCUACUUGAACUUCGCACCGCCAUUGGAGUAUAAUGGAUAUUUAAAUAUAUGACAAACUAUUAUAACAACUAAUACCUGUUUCUUUAGGAUUGAAUAAGACCACCUGGAGCAAAAUUCGCAAGACAUUUUUCAAGAGAUGAACUACGGUAGGAGAGCUAGAAUGGGAGUGCUAAAUAGGCAAUACAAACACAAACACAUUGAAGAAAAACUAUCUGAAGCUCAAGUUCAGAAAAUGGAAUUGCAGUAUUGCAAACAACAAAACACAAUCACUAUUUUGUUUUAAAUUGUAGAAAAAAUGCAUGUUUAUGUUCAAAGAUCUCCUGCCAAGAGCACAGAGAUCCAUCCAACAUAAAAACAACAUCUUAUGUGUAGAUUUAAUUGGAAACCUGAUGAUCUCUACUUUUCUGAAAACAGAACGGGAGCAUCGGUGUUUUCUGUACUUGUUCGCUGCCAAAUUAUUCAGUAUAUUGUCAAUUGAUAAUAGGCUAAACAACUGAGCAUAGAGUCUAAGCAAUUACACAUGUAAGUCCAUGAAUCCGAAAGAAUAGUUCAUUCAGAUGCCCUUCCCAAUAUCACUGAAUAACUAACAAGAAAAAAUAAGCUCCUAUAUUCAGCAAUAUAAAGCUGGCAUAGUCAGAGCCAGGGGACAGAAACAAUAUCUAAAACAGCCGAUUACAUUGAGUGAAUAUCAAGGGGAUACAUACAUCUUGUGUGUGCGACGCAGGCGAUAUUGGAUGGCUGGAGGGAUGUUAUUGUUCCUCCGGCGAACUCAACGUUUCUUCCUCCGUCGAACUCGCGGUCGUUCUGAUGAAUAGCUUGCCGAUAUGCCCCGCAUCCAAGUCGCUGAGCCAAACACUGAAGAUCCUGAGGCACUUGUCCUUGUGCAGGCCCGGAACCAUAUCGUACACCUUGGUGAGAUUCAUCUCCCUCUCCAGAUGCCACCCAUUAACAACGGAUGCGUGGAUGAGUCCUCAAUACCUUGAUCACCUAUUAAAUAUUCAAGAUGUGAGCCUGAUCCUCCAAAAAGGUCGGUAGUCCAAUCACAACCAGAACAGCAUACAGAAAAGAAAAUAAAGCAAUGUAUAUGUAGAAUGGAACCAAUCAGCAUGGGGUGCUUGAAUCAACUAACAUGAUGUUAUUCAGUAGUGCAAAUUAUAUUCAUAAAUGAUAAGGUUCAUGCUUGCUAGUUGGGUCAUAUUGCAGGAUGAAACAGCUUCACGGCAUGGUAAUUUACAUAUUAAAUUCAAAUCUAUACCUGAUGUUUAGUAGUAUUAUUAUCGUAACAAACCCCGAAUAUCUACUGUACCUCGCAAUGCAACCGCAUUACUCUAGUAAUCACCAGGUCUAUUGAAAACAAAAUUUCUGUAAAGCAUGCUUCAUUUAUAUGGACAUUCACGAUAUGCAUUUAACAACAUAUCACAGGCAAGAACGAUAUAGCAUAAAUCCAUCAAUGUGUUACCACUACAAGACAUACAUAACUAAACCUCAAGCAACCAAAGGGCUAGCCUUGCUCCAAGGUAUCAGGUAUUAAGACUUGAGUAAGCAUUUCCAAACAUAAAAGUAACUACUAUUUAUGAUAAGAAAACUAAAGACUGGAAUUUACUUAUAGUAGGGUGGAGCCCAGCAUGCGAAGGGUCUACAAUAGCAACAAAGUUCUUGAACUGACAUCCAAUAGCUGCAAGCACAUCAUUAUUAGAUGUUUUGAUGUGCUCCGCACCGUCAGCUGCUUUUGCAUCAACGGACUCAUCAUUGACCAAUGAUGAUGCUUCCUCGCUGUUUUGAUUACGAACAGCCUCAUUGCAUUGCUCAUGUCCACCUUCCAACUCUUUGCUAGAACAAGUGGGAUGAUUAGCUGAUUUGUCUCCCACUGCUGACUUUCACCAUUGUCAUUUUCCUCUGUUAAGCUGUCCAUACUGUUAUCAUUAUUCUCUGCACCAUCAACUAUAUCCUCUCUUUUUUCCUGCAGCAUUAACUUCUGAAUUACUUUCAGAAGCUGCAAUGUGCUGCUGUGGUGAACCAAGAUACUCUGUGAGAAGAGACCCCAUCACAUCUUUAGCCUGUUUAUUCGCAGGAUGAGGAUUUAGAUGAUAUUAUUGUGGUGAGUACAAAGAAUUGGGGAGUCAAAUGUAAAGAUGAUAUCACCUCCCCUUCGUUUGGCUCCUCCUCCCCGAACGGCAGCCGCUGCAAGAGGGGGAUAUGAGGCGGGGAACGGUGGUACAGGGUCCUGCGACCACCGGCAUCUAGAGGAGGAGGAGAUCCGACGGCGGGCUGCUCCGAAUCGGCGGCCACCGCCGAAGCCGCUGCAAGAGGGGGAUAUGAGGCGGGGAACGGUGGUGCAGGGUGCUGCGACCACCGGCGUCUAGAGGAGGAGGAGAUCCGGCGGCGGGCUGCUCCGAAUCGGCGGCCACCGCCGAAGCCGCUGCAAGAGGGGGAUAUGAGGCGGGGAACGGUGGUGCAGGGUGCUGCGACCACCGGCGUCUGCCGGCGGCCGGCGCCGCACCGGAUCAAGCCGCGCACGCACCGCCGGCUCCUGACGGCUGGGAUCGGGAGGCCAGGGAGACACCGUCGGCCUAGAUCGGGAGGCGAGGGAAAGNNNNNNNNNNNNNNNNNNNNNNNNNNGAGGAGAGCCUGUGUAUCUGAAGGACCGCAGGUUGAACAUUGAAAAUAACAGGGGCUUUUUUGCAAAAAUGCCAUGACGGACGACCAGAAACCCAAUUUGCUUUAUUAUUAGGGAGAUAUAUAUAUAUACACUUUCUUGCUUAAGAUACUAUUCCUUGGUUCCUUGGGUGAAAGCAUAAAGGUCCACUGAAUUUUAGUAUGCUGCUGAGUUCCUCGACACACAACCAAAAGAGAUACAGGUCCUGACUCGACCUAUAGCUGUUGCAAGAAAAAAAGCCAGUGCUUCUAUCACCUUCUUUUAGCCAUUUGACCCAACAACGCUGCCUUGUCGUUGCUUCUUCUCUGCCUAACAGGUCAGAUAUACUUUUCAUCAAGUCUUUCUCAGAUCUAGUCGGCCCAGAGAGUGAGUUUAUCAGGCUAUCUCGAGGCAUGUAGGCUAAGGGGCGUGCAGAGCCUGGAAGCCUGCACUGUCGUUUCUUAUUAUAGUUCAUGUGAUCUAAAAGCUGCCUAGAUAAUCAAAUUUCGAAUGUUUAGUGAUUAUAUACAUAGUGGGCAGAACAAAUUCACACACAACAGCAGUCAAAAAGUCGCACACACUGAACAUAUCUACCAAUGAAUAUCUGACAGACAAUGUAUUAUAUUACAUACUUGUGGUGUAGCCAUUGUUGACGAUAUUGGAUGGCUCGAUGGAUAUUUUUCUACCUCCGUCGAUUCUUCUACCUCCGGCGAACUUGUCGCUUCUGCCUCCGUCGAACUUGAAGGCCACAUGAUGCUUAUUUCGUCCAACUCCAGGAUUUGAUGUAUUUUUUUCUGGUCCAAGUACGCAACCUGAUGGAGAUUACAGCUCGGAAUCGUUGCUUCUUAUAGGAGAGAAGACCAAUCCUCGUCAGGUAGCACCGAGUUGUAGCAGGACACGGUCACAGACACAAACAGAGUCCAAAUCAGACAUGGCAGAGCCGGCCCUUCCCUCACUCGGGCGCGACCUACCCACACACUUCGGCUGCGUGCUCGACGCGGUGCCUCCCCUGCUGGACCUCCUGACCGGCAGCAGAGCACCGUCUUGCCAUCUGCAUCCGUCACGGAGAGCCCGCGCGCGGAGAGCUGGACGCGGCGUGAGGACGCCAUCGGCGCGUCGCAGUUGGCGGACCAGACAGGCGUGCCGGUUGGCGCGUGCACUCCGACUGCGUGCUCGGCGGGGUGCCUCUACCCGCGUCGCGGUUGGCGGUCCAGACCGGCGUGCCGGUCGACGCGUGCAGCACGGCGCGCGGAGAGAGCUGGACGCGGCGUGAGGACGCCAUCGGCGCGUCGCGGUUGGCGGACCAGACCGGCGUGCCGGUCAGCGCGUCCAGCACGGCGAGGUAGAAACUGGCUAUAGCUGAUGGGGCCGGGUUGUGCACGGCCGCCCGAAAGGCGCCGUUGUUGGACUCGAGGAAGGCGCCGCGGGUGUCGAUGCGGUUGGCGGACCAGACCGGCGUGCCGGUCGGCGCGUGCACUCCGGCUGCGUGCUCGGCGCGGUGCCUCGACCCGCGUCGCGGUUGGUUCGGGCGCCGUUGUUGGACUCGAGGAAGGCGCCGCGGGUGUCGAUGUACUCGUAGCCAGAGGCGGUGAAGCCUGGGUACACGAGCCCCGCCGCCAGGAGCCCGUGUCCGCCGCGCGCGCUGAGAGGAAGAGGAGGAGGAGGAGCGGCACGGGAGGAGGGAAAACGAGCUGCCGAUCGGUGGCGUUGACCCUUGGGGAGCAGGAGGCUGGGUGGCGUGGGGAGGAAGAAGCGGCCUUUUCUUUUGUUUGCUCCUAGAUAGAUUGCGAAGACGACCGGUGAGGGAAAAUAGUCAAACAAAAUCAGGUCAAUCAGAUCAGAAGCACAUGGACUUUUUUAUAAAAAUACCGCGAUGGGUUUUCCGAUGGAAACGAUAGCCUCUUUAUUAUUAGGUAAAGAUAUCUCUUAAUUAGCACAACUUAACCCGGUCAAAUGGUUUUUUCUUUCUUCCUUUUGAGGUUCUAUUUACAUAGCAACCAAAUAAAGCCUAGAUGACACGAGCCGAUUUUUCCCCUCCAAAUUGAAUCACUUUUCGUUGUUUUUAUGUCCGCUUCUCAAAAACCAUUCGCUUCAAAGCCCCGUCCACAAAAAUAAAAAUGAAAAUGAACUUAGCCACGUCCUAUCUCGCACGAAUCUCAAAGCCAUAUCAGCGGGUAACAAACCCGCAAAGUCCCGUCGCACCCACACACGACAGCGAGAAAGGGGAAUUUUUCCAGCUAGGGUUUUAGGCAGCGCGGGUCGGACAGAGGCGAUGGGUGCGGCGGUCGACGAGACGGCGGCGGCGGCGGCUGUGGCGGCGGAGGGCGGCCCCGCUGCCCCCGCGGCGGAUGCCGACUCCAAGGACCUGCAGCAGCAGAGCAAGGCCCUCGACAAGCUCACCGACCACGUCGAGGACCGCCAGCUCGACUCCUCCCGCGUCCAAUCCGUAAGUCCUGCUCGACCCCCCAACCCCAUGCUCUUGCGGGCGAGGAUUCGCAAAUUCCGCCUCGUCUUUAGUGAGGAUUAGGUGUGGAUUUGUCAUCCACUGGCUCGUUGGUUAGCAAUCGGAGCGACGAGCUGGAGGAUCUGGCCGACAUUGGUGGAGCCGUGGAUGCACGUCGAAUCAGCGUCCUGUGUUAGUUUCGUGCUGCCCCCUCUGGUUUUCUCUGUAGGGGUCACAAGCUUCAGCUUAAUCCUCCACACAGGACUAGUCUGUUCCUGGAUUCGUGUUUAAACUGUAAUCAUUGCUCCCUUUGUUGUUUCCAGUCAGAAUCGUUUCAAGUGUCAUCAGAGGCCUGGCCCAUUAAUUAUUAAUUCGAGCAUACUGUACGUUCCAUGUUUGUUGGGCGUAAGGUUCAAACAGUGAAUGCUUUUGUUAGAUACAGUAUCUCUAUUCCGUAAUCAAGACAUCAGACGGUGGCAUGCAGUACACACAACCUACAUUUGGUAGCAGCUCCUCAUAAUCUGUCCAUCCACCAUAAACUCUCUAUGUACUUCUGCUUGUGUGUCUCUUAUAGACUAACAUUUCAUUAGAUUUUGAUGUGUUGCUAAUCAAUUGCAGGUUUGCACUGCUUAACUGCAAUAAUAUCCAGAGGUCCAGUGACCUGAUUAGUAUUUCUGGUAUUUCCAUGUCAUAUGAAUAGCUCGCAAUUUUGAAACUGUGUUUUUCGGCACCCACCUUUUCUAUAAUUUUGGAAAAUUAUUGAAUAAGUUAUCAGUAUGGCCCCUGAAAAGUGCCGCGUGAGCAGAUAUACAGUUCACCUUCGAGUCUGAUCCAUAACCGUUUUUAAUCAAAUGAUUUUGAAGGGGCUAUAUAAAUCGCUUUGACAGAGACACCUACUAGCAGUUGAGUGAGACCUCGAUAUAGUAACUCCAUGCUAAAAUAUGGAUAUCAGGAAACUAGAAAUCCAGAAGUAGGAUGUAGAAGGUAGAUUUGUAGACAAGUGUGUAUGUUUAAUUGAGAUGUUUUUGGGAGUACUUUGGUGAUGCUGAUAUAUCUUUCUUUCUUUUACAGGCCAUGGCAGCUCUUGCUUCAUCUAAAGAGGCUGACUGGAAUGCCAUGAGACUGAGGUUGGUGUGGAAAAUAUUCAUGGCUAUUAUUUUGUUCUCGAGAAACUUGCAAUACAUCAAUGCACUGUUCUUUUUUAGUUUUUGCUGACUGUAUUACUACCACCUCUUUAGUGAAUGACAGAGGUUACUAGCAACUGCACAUGAAAAUUUUGAAUGUGAUGUUCAGUUUGGAUAACAGCUUUAUCUGCUACAAAUUUUAGCUUCAUUUAUAAGGUCCAUUAAAAGAUAGGUUAGAAUUUUAUGAAGGGAACAAACCAGAGACACAGACAGGUUGCAGUUUUGCUCAAUAUCUUGCCAUAACAUAGGUUUUCAACUUGAUGAAAGAAACUAAGAAACAAACAGGUAAGGCUAAAUAAGUGGACGGAAAAGAAAAGAAAAUCUAGCACGAUGGCAGUGGAACUUAGAUCCUUUCUACUUUGUAAUUUUUGCGCUCGAGUUUGCAAUAUCCCAUGUUCUAUUUUGUUGAGGAUUCCAUAUUUCUGGUUGAUGGUAUGUUUGGAUUAUUACCAAAGUGUACCUUACCAGUUUUUUGUUUUUUACCAUAACCCAAAAAAUUGGUCUAUGUUUGGAUAGUUGCUAACUGUUUGGCACGCCAAUGCUCAUUUGCCAAUUAUACUUGUUUUUUCUAGCCAAUCUUGGUCAACCUAUGGGUAUGCACUAAACUCACCCAUGGCAUUAUCAGCUCCAAUUUGAAACGAAGACAAUGGCCUUGAGAAGUACUCCCCCCGUUUCCACAAUAAGUGUCGUGGUUUUAGUUUAAAUUUGAACUAAAACACGACACUUAGUUUGGAGCGGAGGGAGUUCGUAGUAUCCCCAUUUUUUAAAUAAUUGGGUUUGGCCUUGUUCUCCUGAAAAUGUUGUUCACAGCUCGUGGUAUUGUUAUAACAUAAUGGGUGUUUCUUUUUGCUCUUUCACCAGGGAGAAAGAAUUAUCUGCUGUCAAGAUCAACCCUACUGACGUUGAAAUCAUUGCCAACGAGCUUGAGGUGGCAUCUGAAACCUUCACCAACAGCUAUUUUUUCCAAUGCUCCAAAUGCCCCUUCUAAAACAUUAUCUCUGAAUGUGCAGUUGGACAAGAAGAUUGCGGAGAGGACGCUCCGAGAGCACAAGGGCGACGCGGUUGCUGCAGUCCGAUUCUUGCUUCGUUGAUUCGGAAUCAUGCUGCCAGCGUGCAAAUGUUUAUUUUAUCUGUAAACCAUGCGGAUGGGGCUGUACUUUGUCUUUUGUAUCACAGUGAAACGAUCAUUUUAGUCACCCGUGCAGAACUUAUAUUUACAUUGUGCUGCAGACUGGUUUCUGUUUCCUUCAUAUCCGUAAAAUCUGAAUAGUCAGAAAAUUGAAAAAAUCAUGUUUGAUGGUGCUUAUAUCCAAACCGUUUAUGUACCUUAAUGAGUUGCUUGGUUUAUUUGGAUAUCCAGAUGCCAUUUUCAUGAGAAGAAUGGUCUUUUGUCUGAAGUCAAAUUUUAUAAACUUUGACAAAGUGUAUAUGGAAAAUAAAUAUGGACACACGCACUACCAAAUAUAUACCAUUAGAUUCAUCAUUGAAUAUAUUUUCAUGUCCAUGGCUAGGGCGGCUUGAUCACAUUGCAGCAGGUGGUGACGAUGUUCGCCCGUGGGGUUCCGGGUUGCCAUACGGUGCAUUGUGGUCGUGUUGGAUGCUUGAGCGCAGGUGAAUACCUUGCUGGAUGCUUGAGCGCAGGUGAAUACCUUGCUGGAUGCUUGAGCGCAGUGCUGGAUGCUUGAGCGCAGAUGCUUGAGCGCAGGUGAAUACCUUGCUGGAUGCUUGAGCGCAGGUGAAUACCUACCUGACUACAGAAUAAGAUUAGGGGAUUCAAUAAUCAGGUCUUCUUUGGUUUGGAGGAAUUUUAUAGGAUGGGAUUUCUAUAGAAAAUUUCCUUUAGAAUCAUUUGGUUUGUAGGAAUAGAAUCCUAUUUCUUGGAGGAGUUCUUCAUAUCAUCCACAUUUCAUAGGAAAAUAAACAUUAAGCUGUACUACAAUGAAAAAAAACACAUGAUGUGAACCAAAGGACGUCUCUUUUCAUAUUCCUAUCAGACAAUUUGAGAUGCAUGUCAUCUUAUUUUCUACGAUUUUCCUACCCUAUGAACUAAAGGAGAACUCAAGGAGUAAUCGAUAGUGGAUCUGGAUACCUUCUCUAGCGGUAUAUAUAAAGACGGUUCAUGUCAAUUCAACGAUUCUUGCUGCAAGAAGUCCUCUCUUUUGCAAGGUAUUUCUUAUGGCAUUUUCUAUAAUACCUUUAUUCUGUAGCCGCUCAUGCUUUCUCAUAAGCUUCACGCUCUUUAGCUUCUCUCAAGUGGCAUGAAAGAGUCUGAUCAGACACACCAGCACUUAGGACCGCUCAUUCAUGUAAUGUGAUGACCCCCCCCCCCCCCCCCCCCACAAAGAUGCCCCCCCCCCCCCUCCCCCAAAAAAAGGUAAUGUGAUCACCCAAAUGUAACAUUCUUCAUCUUAUACUUGGUUCUAGCUAAUUAUCGUGGUGGUGUUAAUAUUUUCUCUACUUCUAAAACAAAAACACGGUCACAAUUUUGUUUAGUCUCUUUCACUCUUCAAUUUUGUUUACUUUUUGGUACAGAUAAUAGUAAAUUUUCACCAAAAAGCUUCCCUUUUUGUCUAGCUCUUGACUGUUUCCUUAAUGGCUUGAUCUAUGUGUUGCUUUGUUUUUACUCUACUUGGAACAGAGGAAAGUGCCCUUAUGGAGACUUUAGGCUUUAUGUAUAGUGGAAAGUUGACAACAAUUGAGCCCACUCUUCUGCUUGACAUCUUGAUGUCUGCCGGCAAAUUUGAGGUUCUAUCUUGCAUGAGAUAAUGUAGAGAGUUGCUCGCAAGCUUGGCUAUGAGCCUAUGACCACAGAAUCUGUGCUGCUCUACCUAGGGCAUCCGUGCUCUGUUUCAAUGGCAGCUGAAACUCAAGGUUUGGUAGUGGCAGCCAAGGAAUUCCUUGCAAACAAAUACAAGGAUUAUACUAAGUGGUGGGCAGAAGUACCACUUGAAACGGUACUACCGAUGCCGAGCACGGUACUACCAUUUGGAUGCUACAAGAACGCCUCAACAAGAUAAGAACAUGACGCAAGACCGAAACUGUCAUAACUUUUGGAUACAGGCUUCGAAUUAAGCAUACUCAAACUUGUUUGAUAGAGGACAACAAGAGCUAUCCAGCGGUGGCUAGUUAUAUUAAGAACAAGCAAUGUAGAAUAAAUGCCAAUAGGAUAAGGAAGAUGGCCUUCCCGAAUAUGAUCCGGCAAAUCUCCAACACCAAAAAUGCAAAGAUGAUGCAUACGAAAUUUGGUUUCGGUGAACUUGAGCUUAUCAAGAUGAAGACUGUAAGCUUCAAAACUACAUAGCAAAAAGUCAAACAAGAACCAAGAAAGAUGAUGUUGCCAAUAAUGUAAUGGUUUGAGCUCUCAAUGAACGAUACGAUCAAGCUACUCACGCAAGAGCCCGCUUGAUAGUACGACGAUCAAUCCUAUAACCCGGUCUUCCAACUAACACCACAAUACCGGCAAAAUAUAAAACCUAUCAAGGACAAACCUUUGCCUUGCGCAUUGUACAAUUGAGCAAGAUGAUGAUGAUCUUGUCCUCCUCAAGAUGGACCAUCUUUCUUGAUUGCGUCGGCUCGAUGAAGACUAGUAGAUUGCUUCCCCAUACUCCACUAUGGAUAAACCUCUCUUCGACACAUCUUCACAUGUCAAUUAUCACCAUAAUGGACGGGAAGUUUCAAGCAUGGGUUCUCUGAGUGAUGAUUCACUUAAAUGUGCACACCAUAACCUUGAUGACGGUCAUCACUUGAUAUCAUCCUCCAUGGGUUAUAUGAUAUCUUCCUUUUGAUGUGCGCCCAUGGAAACGUACCUAAUCCCACAAAGAACACUCAGAUAGACCAUGGGUUAAUACACAAAGUGUAAUAGACAAUACUUACCAUACCAUGAGACCACUUGAUCCCACUUGGUACAUCUUCUACGUCUUGUGUGUUCAUCAACCUGAAUCACUCUUUGUACUUAGUCUUGAUCAACAAAUCGUAUAUGACCAAUCUUUGGGUAACUCCUUCAAUAAAACCUUGGUGAACACAUACUUUUCUUUUAAUAACCUUGAAACCAACAAAUGGCUUCACCCAAGCUCUAUGGACAAAACCUUCAAAUAUAACUCAUGUCAACCAUUUGUCAAUAGAGAUUGCCAUCAAUUACCAAAAUCAAACAUGGGGGCACCAUGCUCUUUCAUUUAUGCUGUGAGAUACAUUCAUCGCAAGUUAAUGGUUUUAUAAGACAAAGAAAUUUAGUGUUUGCAUAAUUCCUUAUACCAUGAGAGUAUAGAGUUUAUUCAUGCUUGCUUCAUGAACUUUGGGGUAUGUUAAAUGUCAUUCGUACUAGGGGGGCUAUUACAACGGCUUUCGAGUUCAUGGAAAAGCAUGAUAAGGUACUUGAUAGCUUAAGAUUGUGAUUUGCUCCUCUGAUGAUGGAGAUAUUCUUCGGGCCCUCUUGGUGCUAUGGUAACUAUCAUCGUCUGGCCACACACACCGUGAUUUGUUCACGAGGAUGCCAGAAUGCAAGAACAAGAAAAGAGAACAAAACUGGUAACGAGGAAACUGACAUGGUGAACAAGUUGUUGAUUCAAGGGAAUGCCAUUAAAUCUUUCCUUGAGUAUUUAUAACAUAUCGUGAAGCAACAUGAACAACACUCAGUAAUUAUAUGUUCGCUCGAUUAUUCAUUCGUGUGGGCACAAAGCUCAAUAUGGGUGUUCCGGUCAUGUCUAUACUUCACCGAACCUACAGGGUCACACACUUAAGGUCCUUCUAUCUGCUAAGUAAUAGACAUGGAGUCCGAGAGAUUGUUGCUGAAAAAGUUUCGGAGACGACCGUAGAUUUUCGGAGAGAAAACCGGAAAUAUUUCGGAGACAAACUUCAUAUCACAAAUAUUCCGGACGCAUCCAAAAUUAUUUGUGAACCUUUGGGAGUUUUUUUGGAUUAAACACACGCCGAAAAUAUUUCAUCUAAAGUUGUCAUGAAUAGUGGUAUGAAUAGUGUUAAGACUAGUAUGGUACAAUUCCUUUUGGUGGCUUUUUGGAGAGUCACCUUUUGGGGCUUUGUCCCAAAAGUCGAGAGGAUGACAUGGGGUGGUGGGACCCCCUUUGUGUGGAGGGGGGCACGCAAGGUGGACGGCCAAGAUGGAGCUCCACUUGCCUUCCCCUUUUGCACUUAUGAAGGACAUAACUCAUGGGUAUUUUGGUAUUUUCAAGUGGCCUCUACCCAUUGCCUCAUACUAUAAAUAGAGGUGGAUAGAGAUCUCCAUUUCAGAGAAGCUGUCAUGCAAAUGACAUGCAAUGACCUGGAUUUCUAUAUCUCUCUCCAUGAAAUAGUUUCGUAGCUCAAAGGUUGUCUAGUCUUUGGUAGGGCCUAGUUCUGGAUGGCGAAGCCCUGCCGUAUAGUUGACACCAAAUGUGUGCAACUCGAUAGAGAGGUGGUAGUUUUGAUCUUAGUUCGAGAGAUGUGUUGAGGUUCUGUCCGAGGAUCUGACCGUGUGCCUCCCGGAGGGCUGUCUGAGUGACUGAUCUAGUUUCUGUUCGAGGGCCUCCCAAAGUGUUGUCUAAGGGACCCGUCCGUGGGAAAACAUCCUUGUGGUUGGGAGGUUGUAAAACCAUAGUUGUGGGUAUAUGCAUGAACGAUCUUCGCAAACUCUGCUUCUGGUGUGCUACGGGUUGGUAACGAUCACAUCGAACCUUGUAUGCAUUUUCAUAGUGAUCCUAGCUUGUGCAGAGUCGGAUUUUUUUUGUUUUCUGCUGCAUUUCCCUACNNNNNNNNNNNNNCCCUACAAUGGUAUGCUUUCCAUCCCUUGUUCAUAUGAACAUAUAUCGUCCUCCUAUCCAUAUGAAAUGUAUCUUGUUGAUUUCAUCUCUACAUGUAGGUAUUUCAAGCUUUGCAUACCUUCAAGAUCCAACAUAGGGGCAAAGCCAUUCACCUUGAGCCAUUGUUGGACCAAAAUACAACAGUGUCCAAAGUUUAAGGAGAAAUAUGCGGCCCAAAAUAAGGUGGAAGAUCAAUUCCAAGUUGGAUGUAUCUUCUUAUCCGAGAAUCCACAAAUUCUAGCCCGCAUUUUUGGCAAAAUCUUUUGUCUUCGUUUUCAGCUUUGCUCACUCGAAAAAUCCUAUAAACGCAAAUCCCGCUUUUCAUGGGUCCAAAGAUUUUUCUUUUGCAGAACAGUCCAUCUUUUUCUGGUUUAUCUAUUUUAGAAUGAAAGUAGAGGGCCUUGUGACUUCGCCAAUGACUUCUUCAUAGGUUGGUUUUUGUUAGCCAGGCCUUUAUUUAUUGAGGGGAAGCAAGUCCGAUUUGAAGUUUUUGAUGUUUAUAUUGGUCAAUCAAAGUGUGAUGCUUCGAUGCUCGCCUUGCAAAUGAGAAGAGGGAAGAAAGAGAGAAGAGGAAGCGACAAGAGAAAGAGGAGGCAAUGAAGACCCUUUUGGUAUACAAAAGAAGAAGCUCGAGAUUGAUGAGGCCAAUGCCCGAUCAAGAGCCAAUGAGGUAGAGCUCGCGCUAAUAUCAAAGAAACAGAGAUCAUGGGGCCGACUUGAGCAAAAGGUCCCCGAGCAAAAAUGUUUGGUUUGAGAAAGAAGCACAAGUUAAUGCUCGAGUGAGAUGCGUGAUCAUCUUAUGGGUGUUUACUUUGCAUAAUUAUGCCCGAGAUGCAUAAACCAUGGCUGAGAUGCGAUUAUUUUGGUGAUGUUGUAUGUCAGACUGUUGGGUGCAAUAUUAUGCAACAAUUUCUAGCUUCAUUUUGCUAUCUACUUGUUACUUUGAUGGUGAAAAUAUGUUUGCUGAAAAAACUGGUGGAGAUGGACCAAAUGGAUCGGCCUGCUCGGUGCAAUAUUAUGCAACAAUUUCUAGCUUUAUUUGUCUAUCUAGUUGGUACUUUGAUGACGAAAGUAUGUUUGUUGAAAAAACUGUUGAGACGAACCAAAUGGAUCAGACUGUUGGGUGCACUCCUAAAAAUGCACGGACAAGCUGGCGAUCUAAACAGACACAAAGCGGACACCUUACGUGUUUGUUUAAGGUUGAUGCGUUGGAGUUGCCCUUAGAGCAACUCCAACCGCGUGACUCAUUUUGUUCGUGCGUGUCCAUUUAAAUCACCGCGGACAGAAAACGUCAUUCAACGCGUCAACCGGAUCUCACGCCCGCUUUUUGUCCGCAACAUCCAUUCCAGACUCAAAUUUGGACUGGAUUUGCGUCAACGCGGACACGGGACGGCCACCCACGUUGCCCGCCCUUCUCUUCUCCUUGACCCGACAGUUGGUAGCACAACGGCACCAUUUUCCUCCUACCUGUUCGACAGAAUACCAGCUCCAGAAGAUGAGGCCAACCGCGUGUUCAUGAAGAGCCUCAUCCAUGAAGAUGGUGGCGGCAACAUUCCCUUCGAUCCCAACGAGGCGCAAAGCCAGGAUGGUCGCACCCCUUUCAUGGUCGGGCAUGAUGGCAUUGAGUAUCCAUUUGGUGAAGACAUGGCCAACCCCCUUAUGACGGACCAACUCGGCCGUGAACUCUGUGUGGCCGUGGACAUUUUUUACCUUAGAAAAAUGUUAAGCACGGACAAAAAUAAGUCGAUGACGUUGGACGCACGGUCGAUCCAUCUACAAUGAAGGACAGAAACAUUGACUCAAACAAACAAAAACGAACAAAGUCGGGCGUCUAUUUGGAUAGAGCGUGGUUGAAGUUGUUCUUACUACAAAGUUAAAGUUAUACUUAAAUCAGUGGUAAUUAAUAUGACUUUAAAAGAGUAUCAAUUAGAACUCCUAUACAAUCAGUAUACUACUACAAUUUGGUGUCCUUGAAGAAAUCAAUGUACUACACGAAGGGAACGAAAAAUAUGGAGAUAAGAAUGAUGAGUCAGAGGUGCCGAGGAGCAAGGUGGAGCACGCUGGAGCGGUCGAGCUCGGCGAGCAUCGCCACCCGGUCCAUCUCGUACCCACACACGUCCAUGUCUCCGUCUCCGUCGCCGUCGUCGCCCGACCAGUCCACCGUGCCCACGUCCAUCGUCUCCACGUCCACCGCGUACACCUGCGUCUUGCCGCCACUGUUCCUCGCCGUGAACAGAGCCACGCCGCUCUUCUCGCAGAACCACCUCAGCCUCACCGCCUGCAGGCCCACCAGCUCCGCAUUCAUCGUCCACCGCAACUCCUUCCUCCCCGACACGCCGCCGUUCCUCACCACGUCGGCGUAGACGACCACGUAGGCGCGCACCGUGUCGAGCUUGCAUUCCAGCACGCACAGCCUCCCGUCCGGCAUCAGCCCCAGGAGCCGGUCCACGUCGCCGAGGGAGGCCUUGGCGCGGCGCGGCGGCGACUCGUAGGCCUGGACGGUGUAGGGCGGGCUGGAUGUGUGCAGCGUGGCCGUGUUGACGGCGAUGCCGAGCCCGUACCAGCAGACCGCGCCGCCCCGCACCAGCGCCGCGUGCGCCCUCACGCCCAGCUGCCGGCCCCUCGCGAUCCGGGCGUCGGUCACCUCGACCUCCGGGCCCCAGCUGCCGUCGUCCGAGGAGUAGCGCCGGAGUGCCGUGUAGCUGCGGUGGUUGUAGAGGAGGAGCACCCGGUACGAGGACGGGGACGUGGCCGUGCCGGCCGCGCAUGUGUCGUACAGGUGGAGCCCGUCGUCGGCGGUGAGCAGGGCGCACGCGUACGGGCCCGGGCAGUCCUUGCCGCUCAGGGUCGGGAGCAGGUGGGCGUCGCCGGUCAUGGGGUCGCACACGCACAGGCGCAGCACGCAGGCGCUCUUGGCGCGGCGGAGGUCCAUCACGACGCGGCCGUUCCGGGACGCGACCACCCGCGACGACGAUCCCGGCACGCCGCCGUCGGCGAGCGAGAGAUCGGGCUUGGAGAAAGGCACGAAGCCGUCGCCGCCGCGGGAGCGGCCGCGGCCGCGGCUGCUGUUGUGCAGGAAAACGCCGACGGCGAGGCGGCGGGAGAAGCGGUCGCAGCGCGGGGGGGCGCGGCGGCAGAUGAAGGCGGCGUCGGUGGAGACGAGGCGGCGCCAGCGCCUGCAGACGGCGGCGCAGCGGACGAGGUCCCCGGCGUCGGAGAGGGCGGAGAAGACGAGGAGCAGGGUUUCGUCGCCCAGGGGCAGCGCCUGGUCGCCGUGCUCGGUCCCGUGCCGCUUGAACGGCCUGCGGCGGGCGGUGAGCCACCCUCUGCCUCCGCCUGGGGAGGGAUUCGUCCCUGCGGCGGUUGCCGAGCGUCGGCGGCGGCCGCAGCGGCGGCGCGGCGGCAUGAUGAUCGGUUGGGGAAUUGGGGGAAAUCGAGCAAGGGUUUAGGGGGCCAUGGUUACAGAGAUAAUCGCCCAGAUCCGUAAAAAGGAAAUCGUCAGAUUUCCAUGUCAUGGGCCAGUUGGAUCUCCGUUUCACGUCAGAGAAAAACAAAAGCAAGGAAUCGAUGGGCCUGUCUACCAACGAUGGAGGCCCACUGUAGCGUCCCAGAGGCCAGUGGCUGCUCGGUCCUCACAGCACUCAUUUCCCAGCAAACAGUGGCAGAUAGUCCGUACGGGAGAUAGGAGAAAAGAUGCAGUCACUGGCGAUGGCGCUGACCGGCUGGGGAUCCAGUAGCUUUGGCUUUGUCCGAACCAACCUCAGGCAACUUCGAGCAAGACUAUGUGAGCUACGAGAGAACCCGCAUCGUAUUGCAGCAUCAUACGAGGAAGUUAAAGUUGAAGGCAGAAUUGUGGAGCUGUGGUUCAGGGAAGAAAUUAUGUGGCGCCAAAGAGCCCAAAUCCAAUGGCUGUUAGAAGGGGACCAAAAUACAAAGUUUUUUCAUCAAAAGGCAUCAUCUAGAAGAAAGAAAAACAAUAUUGUGUCCUUAACAAAAGCUGAUGGUUCCAUAUGUAGCGACCCAAGGGAGCUUGAAAACAUAGGAAUAGCUUUUUAUGAGAAUCUAUAUACUUCGGAAGGGGUGAUUGGCAUGGAAGAAGUUUUGUCGCAUAUUCCUUGUAAAGUCACAAGCCCAAUGAAUGAAAUGUUGUCAAGAGAUAUCACCGAAGGAGAAGUGAAGAGAGCCCUGUUUCAAAUGUAUCCUACCAAGGCUCCGGGACCUGACGGUUUCCCAGCCCACUUCUUUCAGAAGUAUUGGCAUUUAUGCGGUGACGAAGUGACAGAGGUUGUAAUUCGGAUUUUGAAGGGAGAGGACUCCCCUGAGGAGAUCAACAGGACAUUCAUUGUUAUUAUCCCCGAGGUACAAAACCCCACCCUACUGUCUCAGUACCGGCCUAUUAGCUUGUGCAAUGUGCUUUUUAAGAUUGCGUCCAAAGUGCUUGCUAACCGGCUGAAGCAGAUCCUCCCUGAAAUAAUAUCUGAAGAGCAAUCGGCAUUUGUGCCUGGUCGUCUCAUCACGGAUAAUGUCAUCACGGCGUAUGAAUGUCUUCACUUUAUAAAAAGCAACAGAAGCAAGAAGAAUGGGCAUUGUGCUGUCAAACUCGACAUGAUGAAAGCGUAUGAUCGGGUUGAAUGGGCUUAUCUACAGGCCAUUAUGAGGAAGCUGGGUUUCUGCGAAAGUUUUGUGCGCCAGGUAAUGAGAGGUGUUACAUCAGUUUCUUUCUCAUUGAUGUUUAACGGGAAGCAGACUAGGGAUUUUAAGCCGACUAGAGGAAUUCGUCAAGGGGAUCCCAUCUCACCCUAUUUGUUCCUCCUAGCGGCUGAGGGUUUAUCAUGUUUGCUAAAUCAAGCGAGUAAUGCGGGGACUUUCGAAGGUAUCCAUAUUGCUCCUACUGCACCAAAAGUUAACCAUCUUCUUUUUGCCGAUGACUCUUUGCUCUUCUGCAAGAAUACAGCUCACAACGCUGAGAAACUGAGGGAAAUCCUAAAUAGGUACUGUCAAGCGUCGGGGCAGCGAGUUAACUAUGAUAAAUCAUCAGUUUAUUUUGGUAAAGGAUGCCCAGGGUCCCAGAGAGAAACUAUAAAAGGAAUUCUACAGAUCCAGAAGGAAACUAUAUGUGAGAGAUAUCUGGGACUUCCAUCGGAUGUGGGACAAGCUAAAAAUGGCGUGUUCUCAUACUUAAAGGACAGUGUUUGGAAGAACAUUCAGGGAUGGAUGGAGAAGUGUUUAGCAGGGAGCGGUAAAGGAAGACAGACGAUGAUGGUGAUAAGUCACUAUUAAGAAAAGCUCGACUUGUCGCAAAGAUGUUUCCGACAAGAUCAAACAGUUGACUAUGAUGAGACUUUCUCACUCGUAGCGAUGCUAAAAGUCUGUUAGAAUUAUGUUACUAGUUGAUGCAUUAUUUAUGAAAUAUUGCACAUAGGAUGUCAAAACAUUGUUUCCUCGACGGUUUUCUUGAGCAAACAUUGUAUGUGAUACAACCAGGAGGUUUUGUCGAUCCUAAAGAUACUAGCAAGUAUGCAAGCUCCAGCGAUCCUUCAAUGGACUAGUGCAAGCAUCUCGGAGUUGGAAUAUACACUUUGAUGAGAUGAUCAAAGAUUUUGGGUUUGUACAAGGUUUAUGAGAAACUUGUAUUUCCAAAGAAGUGAGUGGGAGCACUAUAGAAUUUUUGAUAAGUAUAUGUGAUUGACAUAUUGUGGAUCAGAAGUAAUGUAGAAUUUCUGUAAAGCAUACAAGGUUGUUUGAAAGGAGUUUUCAAAGGAAUACCUGCAUUGCGCUACUUGAACGUUGAGCAUCAAAGAUCUAUGGAGAUAGAUCGAAAGCGCUUGAUAGAAGUUUCAACAAGAUGCUGUUGGAAUUAUGCCCUAGAGGCAAUAAUAAAUAUAGUUAUUAUUAUAAAUCCUGUAUCAAGAUAAUCGUUUAUUAUCCAUGCUAUAAUUGUAUUGAAUGAAGACUUAUAUACAUGUGUGGAUACAUAGACAAAACACUGUCCCUAGCAAGCCUCUAGUUGGCUAGCCAGUUGAUCAAAGAUAGUCAGGGUCUUCUGAUUAUGUACAAGGUGUUGUUGCUUGAUAACUGGAUCACGUCAUUAGAAGAAUCACAUGAUGGACUAGACCGAAACUAAUAGACGUAGCAUGUUGAUCGUGUCAUUUUGUUGCUACUGUUUUCUGCGUGUCAAAGUAUUUGUUCCUAUGACCAUGAGAUCAUAUAACUCACUGACACCGGAGGAAUGCUUUGUGUGUAUCAAACGUCGCAACGUAACUGGGUGACUAUAAAGAUGCUCUACAGGUAUCUCCGAAGGUGUUCGUUGAGUUAGUAUGGAUCGAGACUGGGAUUUGUCACUCCGUGUGACGGAGAGGUAUCUCGAGGCCCACUCGGUAAUACAACAUCACACACAAGCCUUGCAAGCAAUGUGACUUGGUGUAAGUUGCGGGAUCUUGUAUCACGGAACGAGUAAAGAGACUUGCCGGUAAACGAGAUUGAAAUAGGUAUGCGGAUUCUGACGAUCGAAUCUCGGGCAAGUAACAUACCGAAGGACAAAGGGAAUGACAUACGGGAUUACAUGAAUCCUUGGCACUGAGGUUCAAACGAUAAGAUCUUCAUAGAAUAUGUGGGAUCCAAUAUGGGCAUCCAGGUCCCGCUAUUGGGUAUUGACCGAGGAGUCACUCGGGUCAUGUCUACAUAGUUCUCGAACCCGCAGGGUCUGGACACUUAAGGUUCGACAUUGUUUUAUGCGUAUUUGAGUUAUAUGGUUGGUUACUGAAUGUUGUUCGGAGUCCCGGAUGAGAUCACAGACGUCACGAGGGUUUCCGGAAUGGUCCGGAAACGAAGAUUGAUAUAUAGGAUGACCUCAUUUGAUUACCGAAAGGUUUUCGGUGUUAUCGGGAUUAUACCGGGAAUGACGAAUGGGUUCCGGGUGUUCACCGGGGGGGGCAACCCACCCCGGGGAAGCCCAUAGGCCUUGGAGGUGGCGCACCAGCCCUUGGUGGGCUGGUGGGACAGCCCAAGAGGGCCCUAUGCGCCAAGGAUAGAAAAUCAAAGAGAAAAAAAAGGAGGUGGGAAAGGAGAGAAGGACUCCACUUUCCAAUUCUAGUUGGACUAGGAUUGGAGGAGGACUCCUCCUCCCUUGGUGGCGCAGCCCUUGGGGCUCCUUGAGCCUCAAGGAAAGCCUCCCCUCCCUCCUCCUAUAUAUAUGGAGCAAUUAGGGCUGAUUUGACACAACUUUUCCAAGGCAGUCCGACCACAUACCUCCACGGUUUUACCUCUAGAUCGCGUUUCUGCGGAGCUCGGGCGGAGCCCUGUCGAGAUAAGAUCAUCACCAACCUCCGGAGCGCCGUCACGCUGCCGGAGAACUCAUCUACCUCUCCGUCGCUCUUGCUGGAUCAAGAAGGCCGAGAUCAUCGUCGAGCUGUACGUGUGUUGAACGCGGAGGUGCCGUCCGUUCGGCACUAGAUCGUGGGACGGAUCGCGGGACGGUUCGUGGGACGGUUCGCGGGGCGGAUCGAGGGACGUGAGGACGUUUCACUACAUCAACCGCGUUCACUUACGCUUCUGUUGUGCGAUCUACAAGGGUACGUAGAUCGGAAAUCCCCUCUCGUAGAUGAACAUCACCAUGAUAGGUCUUCGUGCGCGUAGGAAAAUUUUCGUUUCCCAUGCGACGUUCACCAACAGAUGGAUGCCUUGACAAGUUUUUGAAGGAGUUCGAAAUAGAUCAGCAAAGAAGGAGUUCUUGGUUGCGUUGUAAGGUGUGAAUUUAAGUAAGACUCAACACCCGACCCCGGCAGAAUAAAGAGAAUAGACGAAGGUCGUCUUCUAUGCCUUGGCCGUAGAACCGAAAGUAUGCCAUGUUGGGUACCGCACCUGAUGUGUGCCUUGACUCAAAGUCUGUUGAGAGGUACAGAGAGUGACCCAUGAUUGAAUCACUAGCAGCGGUCAAAAUUUAUCCUUAGUAACUGGUGGACUAAGGAAUUUUUCUCGAUUAUGGAGGUGGUUAAAAAGUUUGUCGUAAAGGGUUACGUCGAUGCAAGCUUUGACACUAAUCCGAAUAACUAUGAGUAGUGAAACGGAUUCGUAUAGUAGAGUAGAUAUUUGGAGUAUUUCCAAAUAGCACAUAGUAGCAGCAUCUAUAAGAUGACAUAAAGAUUUGUAAAGAACACACGGAUCUGAAAGUUUCAGAACCGUUGACUAAAACCUCUCUCACGAGCAAGACGUGAUCAAACCCCGUAACUAUAUGGGUGUUGGAUUCAUUGGAAUCACAUGGUGAUGUGAACUAGGUUAUUGACUCUAGUGCAAGUGGGAGACUGUUGAAAAUAUGCCCUAGAGGCAAUAAUAAAUUAGUUAUUAUUAUAUUUCUUUGUUCACGAUAAUCGUUUAUUAUCCAUGCUAUAAUUGUAUUGAUUGGAAACACAGUGCAUGUGUGGAUACAUAGACAAAACACUGUGCCUAGUAAGCCUCUAGUUGACUAGCUUGUUGAUCAAAGAUGGUCAAGGUUUCCUGACCAUAGGCAAGUGUUGUCACUUGAUAACGGGAUCACAUCAUUAGGAGAAUCAUGUGAUGGACUAGACCCAAACUAAUAGACGUAGCAUGUUGAUCGUGUCAUUUUGUUGCUACUGUUUUCUGCGUGUCAAGUAUUUGUUCCUAUGACCAUGAGAUCAUAUAACUCACUGACACCGGAGGAAUGCUUUGUGUGUAUCAAACGUCGCAACGUAACUGGGUGACUAUAAAGAUGCUCUACAGGUAUCUCCGAAGGUGUUCGUUGAGUUAGUAUGGAUCAAGACUGGGAUUUGUCACUCCGUAUGACGGAGAGGUAUCUCGGGGCCCACUCGGUAAUACAACAUCACACACAAGCCUUGCAAGCAAUGUAACUUAGUGUAAGUUGCGGGAUCUUGUAUUACGGAACGAGUAAAGAGACUUGCCGGUAAACGAGGUUGAAAUAGGUAUACGGAUACUGACGAUCGAAUCUCGGGCAAGUAACAUACCGAAGGACAAAGGGAAUGACAUACGGGAUUAUAUGAAUCCUUGGCACUGAGGUUCAAACGAUAAGAUCUUCGUAGAAUAUGUAGGAUCCAAUAUGGGCAUCCAGGUCCCGCUAUUGGAUAUUGACCGAGGAGUCUCUCGGGUUAUGUCUACAUAGUUCUCGAACCCGCAGGGUCUGCACACUUAAGGUUCAACGUUGUUUUAUGCGUAUUUGAGUUAUAUGGUUGGUUACCGAAUGUUGUUCGGAGUCCCGGAUGAGAUCACGGACGUCACGAGGGUUUCCGGAAUGGUCCGGAAACGAAGAUUGAUAUAUAGGAUGACCUCAUUUGGUUACCGGAAGGUUUUCGUGCAUUACCGGAAAAGUUUCGGGCUCAUGGGUAGUGUACUGGGAGUGCCGGGAGGGGUGCCGGGGACCAUCAGGAGGGGUGUCACGCCCCAAGGGGUCUCAUGGGCUAUGGGAAGAGAUAAACCAGCCCCUAGUGGGCUGGAAUAAGUUCCCACUAAGGCCCAUAAGGUUUGAGAAGGAAAAAACACAAGGUGGAAAGAGUUUCCAAGUGGGAAGGUGGAAUCCUACUCCAAGUAGGAUUGGAGUAGGACUCCUCCACCUCCAAUUUCGGCCAAACCUUUAGGUUUUGAGGCUGCCUCCUCCCCUCCCUCCCUCCUAUAUAUAGUGGGGUUUUAGGGCUGAUUUGAGACAACUUUUUGCCACGGCAGCCCGACCACAUACCUCCACGGUUUUACCUCUAGAUCGCGUUUCUGGGGAGCUCGGGCGGAGCCCUGCUGAGAUUAGAUCACCACCAACCUCCGGAGAGCCGUCACGAUGUCGGAGAACUCAUCUACCUCUCCGUCUCUCUUGCUGGAUCAAGAAGGCCGAGAUCAUCGUCGAGAUGUACGUGUGCUGAACGCGGAGGUGCCGUCCGUUCGGCACUAGAUCGGAGCGGAUCGUGGGACGGAUCGCGGGACGGUUCGUGGGACGGUUCGUGGGGCGGAUCGAGGGACGUGAGGACGUUCCACUACAUCAACCGCGUUCACUUACGCUUCUGCUGUGCGAUCUACAAGGGUACGUAGAUCGGAAAUCCCCUCUCGUAGAUGGACAUCACCAUGAUAGGUCUUCGUGCGCGUAGGAAAAUUUUUGUUUCCCGUGCGACGUUCCCCAACAGGCGGCAUAUGACGACUGAGGUAUCUUGCCCGAUAUGUCAUGCCGCUAUCGAUACGUGGAGACAUGCCCUACUCGAUUGUAAUAUGGCAAAGAGCGUCUGGUCUCUACGGGACGACGAGGAUGACUCCCUGUUGCUUGUGUAUGGGGAUGAGACGGAUGAUCCUAGGCUUUGGCUGCAUGGUCUCUGUAAUGCUCUCAGUGGUGACCGUUUUGUUACUGUCAUAACUACGCUUUGGGCGAUAUGGUGGGCUAGACGUCGGGCGAUCCAUGAGCAGGAAUUCCAAAGCCCUCUCUCCACACAUCUCUUCAUUCAGCGUUAUCUAUCCGAGCUGCGAGGACUGCCAGCAAAGAAUCACCAGCAUGGGAGGCCGGCGAGAACACUAAGGCCGCGAUGGAUUCCACCGGCGACGGGGGAGACGAAAAUGAACGUGGAUGGUUGUUGCGAAGUCAUCAAAUACUGGGGCUGUUGGAGUCAUCUGUCGUAGCGAUCAGGGAGGUUUUCUUGGUGCUUCCGCGGUGGUUAUUCCUGGCAUGAUCGGUCCGGAGGUGCUUGAGGCUCAUGCAUGCAGAGAAGCCAUUGCAUUAGCGAAAGAUAUGAUGGUUUCAAGAGUACGCAUUGCAUCUGACUGUCUGAGAGUCGUUGAUGAGCUGAAGGAACAAGUACACCGGGGCGCGCAUUGCAUGAUCCUAAAUGAUAUUCAGGGAAGGAUGUCUAGUUUUAGUAGUUGUGUUUUUAUUCAUGAAUAUAGUAAAAGUAAUAGUGAGGCACAUAACCUUGCACGGAUGGCCACUACGCCGUCAUGUGUGGUUUGAUCGCCCUCCUGACAACCUGUGUAUCCCUCAAAACAUUAUGAUAUGAAUAAAGUGGUUGUCUUUAAAAAAAAGCAAACAGUGGCAGAUAUUAAGAAGGAUGCAGGAGGGCCAAACGGUUCCAUAGUUCAUGAAAUUUCACUAAAAGUUUCCCUUUUUCAUUGUAAAUUUUUUUUAAGGCCGUGCUGUCAAUAUUGAAGCACAUAAUUUUGUCAAGUAUUCACUAGGUUUGGGUCCGGACCGCCACAUAUGGCUGGGUCAACCCCAUGAUCCACAUUGUCACAUUGUAUCCCACUGUCUGUGGUUUUUGAUGAAUAAAGUUGACCUUACCCCUAAAAAAAAGCACUCAUCUCCAGUUCUUCUUCUUAAAAAAACACUCAUCUCCAUUGCAAGUUUUUCUUAAAAAAAAAUCUCCCUUGCAAGUACCUCUCAGAAAAACUCCAUUGCACGUUUUUUUAAUGCAAUACAAACGUAAGCCUACCACCCGCUCCUCUUGUACCUAUCAGACCGUCACGUCGCUCCAUUCCCUCUGGUCAUUUUCAGCUUCGGUUCCCCCACUCGCAUCUCCCAGUUGCCUCAUCAUACCCCAGUUUCGAGCUGAGUUUGACAAAGACACAGCUAAAAAUCCGGAUCCCAGUCGGCCUAAAACACAUGAGCAAUGCAUUUUUUUCCUACAAAAAUCAUGCAUCGACUUGUACAGAACGUGUGUUCGAAAGUGCUAACCAGGGAACCGGGCUUGGAAGCCGACGACGUCCCACCCACCGUAAAAACUGUCUGAGGACAUGAAAAAAGAAAUGCGUGCUAACGCAGCGAGAUAUAACCGGUGGGAAAAGUCUCGGGUGACACCAAACCUUACAUGCUCCCAUGUCCUCCUAACAAAAAAGAAAAAGAACAAUUUUGAACGUUCUAGAAAGGAAAAGGAAACCCUGAAUGCUCAGAGCACACAUGUAUUCGAUCCUUCAAAAAUUCAGAUCCAAAAUCUAAAUACACAUUGAGAAGCAUAAAAGACAAAUCCAUCAUGAUGUCAAUGUAAACCAAGGACGGAAACAUAAAUGACCUAUCCAUACCUGGAUUUCUCCUUUUUGUUUCUUCAUACGUAUUUCGAUUAUACGUAUGCUGUAAGCCUGUAAGGGCUGGUAUAAUAGGAUAUUUCCUCAUAUCCGGUGAAACCCAUGUAACAUCGACACCAUGCAAACGACAGAUGUUGGGUCUUCCCUGGCGGCGCUUCAACUGCUCCAAUCGGCGUAUGGUUCUGGUGCUUUGUUAAGUGGGUCGUUGGGUGGCACGUCAUCGCUGACGCACCGCUUGAGAAACGGAAUAUACUCGCGCAUAUGCAGCUCCGUUUUGCCGGCCCUGCCCUGUCGGUGCUGGCUUUGAAGAUUUCUUUUAACACCAGCAGCCAUUGUCGUUGCCCACCUUGCCGCAACGAUCUUUCACCCGGGCAACAACUGCCCGGCACUGCGCUCCCUAGCUAUGUCCAUCUCCUUCCCAAAAAUGAACGAAUUAUCAGCCAAUUUCGCUGCAGAGGUAAGAUCUGAAAGUGUUGAUACACACCAUUAACAUCAGCAGCAUUUCCUUGCCAUGUACUAGUAGCAAUUGUAAAAAAAAAACAUCAACAAGCAUUUGAGCUUCACCUGAUAGACUGCCAUACGAUACUACUCAGCUACAGAGCACCAAAUAGACAGGACAGUGUGGCCGGGCAAGAACCCAAGGGACUGCAAAUCAUCAUAACAGAGAGGAAAACAGCUUAUGAAUGAACCAACAACACAACAGUGGCUAGAACUCACAAACACAAUUGCUAGAGACAACAAUCAAAUAUACAGUCAAAUACAGUAAACGAAAGCAAGAUGUAGCACAAAAGCAAAGCACGGGACAGUAAAAAAAGAUCCACAAUCUGAUGACAGAUAUAUAUAUGAUCUAAAGUUUAACAUCUGUUACAUCACCACAAUCAUCAUCAAAACAUAGUCUCAGGUAGCACCACAUACAAACAGCAAGAUACACAUCGGGAGAAAAUAAUGCGGCUCCCUUCACAGCAAGGGCAAGUAGCAAAACAUUACCCAAAAUUUAGAGCUUGUCCUCGAAAUCGGAUAGGGGAGUCAUCUGCUCCUUGAGACCCUUCCUCUUGCGGAUCUCCGUCACAAGAGUCGCAGACUGGGUGCCGGGGUCCAAAGGAUCAGAAGCCAUGAUGUCCCAGUGAUCAAACACACACUGGGGGAAGGCCUGGCCGGACGUCGCAGCCCUGAGGGUGCUCGAGAACCCGAAGGACUCGAUGACAGGCAGGUAGGCCUUGAUGUUGUAGAGUGGGGUACCUUGCCUCUGCAUCUCCUCAAACACGUGUCCUCUCUUCUGAUUCAGCACACCAUAGAUACCACCAAGCGCAUUCUCCGGCGCCUGGAUCUCAACCAGGUACACAGGCUCCAGCAGCCUUGGCUUGGCAGUGAGCUGAGAAGCGUAAAUGACCCUCCUCGCCGUUGGGAUGACCUGACCACCACCCCUGUGAAUAGCAUCAGUGUGGAGAACCACAUCGCAGACCUCGUAGCAAAUGCCACGCAUGUUCUCCUCACAUAGUGCUCCUUCCUUUGACGCCCACUGGAACCCAGCCACAACAGAGUCCUUGAUUUCAUUCAGGUACUGCACUCCCUUACACAUGUCAACAACCAUGUUCGGGCCAGUCGUCUCAGGUCCAAAGCACCAAAUCUUCUUGGCGAGAUCCUUGUCCCAACCAAACUCCUCAGAUAGGAUCUUGGAGCGGACCUUGGGAUCAUCACGUGGGCCAAUGCGGCCAUCAUCGAUAGCCUCAGCCAAUCCCUCCUCCAAUGGGCGAGCUUCCAUGUAAAGACGGUUGUGCUUGUUGGGGGACUUGCUCAUAACUGUACGGCAGGACUUCUCAAGAACAGUCUCACGGAAGGAGACGACAGGAGGGGAAACAAUAAUUUCAGCACCACCCAUGAAGUCAUCCUGCAGAUCCUUCAAGCAAAUUUCAAGGUGAAGCUCUCCAGCUCCAGCAAUGAUAUGCUCACCAGACUCUUCAAUGGUACAGAGAACCAUAGGAUCAGACUUUGCCAGACGCUUCAAACCCUCCACAAGCUUAGGAAGAUCAGAAGCCGUCUUGCACUGGACAGCAACACGCACAACAGGGGACACGGAGAACUUCAUUGCCCUGAUUGGGCAGGCAUCAACUUCCUUCUCGUUUGUCAGGGUUGCAUUCUUCGUGAUGAACUGAUCCAAACCAACCAAAGCAACAGUGUUACCACAGGGAACAUCCUCAACAGACUCUUGCUUCUUUCCCAUCCAGAUAACAGUCCGCUGGACACUCUUCACAUAUAGAUCCUUCUUCUGGCCAGGAACAAAGUUGGGACCCAUGAUACGGACCUUCAUGCCAGUUGCGACCCUCCCGGCAAAGACACGUCCAAAGGCAAAGAAUCUACCCUUGUCAGAUGCUGGAAUCAUCUUGGAGACAUACAGCAUAAGAGGACCAUCAGGGUCACAGUUUCUGAUAGCAUUUGCAUAUAUGUCAUCAAGGGGACCCUCGUAUAAGUUCUCCACACGGUACCUCUGUGCCUUUGAAGGAGAGGGGAGGUGAAAGAUCAUCAUCUCAAGCAGAGCACGGCUGGCAGGCAGCCAAGUUUGCAUCACACGCUUCAUGAGAGCCUUUCCCAUCAAGUCCUUCUCAUCAUUCUUCAUGGUCACACCAAGCUUCUUCAACAUAGGCCACAACUUAUCCUUCUGAUCAUUCAUGCAGGUGGCUAUGAUUUGCUUGAUUGGCUCGUAGCAGAACUGAACGAAUCCUCUCUUGCAGGUAGCUGUCCCAGUGUUCUUGGAGGUCCAUUUCUUUGUGGCUGGGUCAAAGAAGUUCUCACCCCACAGCCUCUCCAUCAUCUUCACCUCAUCAACUCCAAACUUGGAGGCAUACAUCUUAGCAAAGUUUGUAAGGGUGAAAGCCCACCCAUGCAAACCAGCAGAGAAUGCAACAGUCCCCUUCUCUGGGUACACUUGGACAUCACCAAGGAGCACAUCUUCAUAUGUUGCCAUGAUGACAUUGGCAUUUUCAAUGACACGGGAGAAAGUCUGGUAUGCUUCCUCGCCUUCCACUUGAAGCUCAAGGAAGCAUCUGUCCAUCUUGUUCACAGUAAGAACAGGCCUAAUCCUCUCACCAAGAGCUUGGCGCAGCACAGUUUCGGUCUGGACACAGACACCCUCAAUACAGUCAACAACAACCAAGGCACCAUCAGUGAUACGAAGAGCAGCUGUGACUUCCGAAGAAAAGUCAACGUGGCCAGGUGAAUCAAUAAGGUUGAUCAGGUAUUCAUCCCCAUCCCUGUCACCCUUGUACAUCUCAAGUGAUUCAGGAGUCAUCUGAUAGAAAAGAGAGAUACCCGUGGAUUUGAUUGUAAUACCACGCUCUGCCUCAUCUGCACGGGUAUCAGUCAUGCGAACAUCCCCAGCAACUUCCUGGGCGAUAAUCCCAGCAGCUGCCACAAGGGAAUCCGUAAGCGUAGACUUGCCUGCAAAUAUGUAAAUAAUAUGUGAGAACAGUGCACAAGCAUCUGGUUUGACAGUUGAACACAGCCACAACCUAUAUGAAUAGAAAAUUGAACAUGUUAAUUUAUACUCCCUCUGUAAACUAAUAUAAGAGCAUUUAGAUCACUACUUUAGUGAUCUAAACGCUCUUAUAUUAGUUUACAGAGGGAGUACAAGGCAGAAGUAGGACACAUCAGUACAGUACUUUCAAACAAUCAAGAAACAAAAGAAGGUACAGAUAAGCUGAAGAGGGUUUUUAGCAGCAUGGUUAAGCAAAAUCUAGUGGGACAUUGCAAACAAAACAUAAAGACACCAAUAUUGAAGUAACUAAGUACAAUCGUGUAAAUUUCAGAUCCUAUUAAGUUUAAUACAUUCAGGGACAAUGUGAGCAUAACUGGGGAGAUUUUGAGCCCUGGGAUGUUAUGUCAAUAGUAACAUUUAAGCUUGGUGAAGCAGAAAUCAAUAAUGCUCCACUUGUUAAGCUUACCCAUUCAAAUAGUUUCAGUAUUCAGAAUUAAUGGAUUAAAAUUAAGAGCCCCAACAGUAACAUUGAUUAACAAAUAUUCUACUGUAUGAAACCCAAUAAUUGGAGACAACUGUCUGUUCAGGCACAUACCGUGGUCGACAUGAGCAAUAACAGACAUGUUACGAAUAUUAUUUUUCUUGUCCAUAAUUCCGCGGAGCUCCUCCGCGGUAAACUUCACCAUCUUGGCUGAUUUUGAAUGUCAAGCUGGGAAUAUAGUUCCUAUUCAAAGAAUAGCAAACUAUCAGAAUGGAACUGAAAUCAAGUAAUUAAAACCACAAUUGCAUAAUCAGAAGGCUCUUACUACUGUUGGGCACACAUUAGUUUCAAGUACAGUACCAAAAAUACGUUUACCAGCACUUCCACAACCAGACACACUAAAUUAAAUAUACAUUAAGUACAGUACCAAAAAUACGUUUACCAACACUUCCACAACCAAACACACUAAAUUAAAUAUACAUUACAGUCAACCAAGCAUAUUAAACUAACUUAUGGUAACUGAAGACCAUGUUCUGAAAACUUAAUUGUCCAAGGUGCAUUGAAAAGGAAGCCAGAAAGCAACAAUGGCAAUCAAUUUUUAGAGCACUCAAUACGACAGUAUGUGAAAGAAAGCACAUAACGAUAAGAUAAGAUAAGAUAAGAAAGAAAAGCAGUCUAUUAUGUGAGGUGUGCACAAGUAUAAAGCACAAACAGGUAAUGGAUUUCACUAGCUAAACCUUCAAGUACUUACAGAUAUGCAUAAUUUAUGUGGAUCACAGAAAAACUUCUGAAGAACCAAUCAUAUGUGAAUGGCAAAACAAAUAAGAUUUGAAACAGAAUCAUAGUUUUAUGCAAAGUUGAUUUGUAACAGAAGGUAGUUUUAUGCACACAUGCUGACUGUAUUAUCAUGUAGUAACUACCACUGUAAACACUAGAAACGAUGCAAGCAUAGAACGUCAUAAUAUUGGGCUCUGAAAUAGGUGCACCCAACCAUGCUUGGGGAGCACUGAGAAGAACACCAGAAGAUAGUCAUGUAUGAUCAAUUUAUCCAAAUGAGCAGAUCAGGGAGAAAUUCGUGCAUAAUACAUCAACUAUGAUGUAAGUACAUAAAAACUACCAGACCCCGAAACAGAAGUCUCGCACAAUUUAAAUUCAAUUAACCAUGCGAAGCAAAGAUAUGUAUGACCAUUUUAUCCGCCCUGAACAUGAACAGAGAGCAAAACCGAACCGACCAGGCUAGGACAGGGAGGCAAGCGAGCGAGCAAAAACCCUACAGCGCGAGCGUUCUAAGAACCCCGUUGAUGAACAGCGCAGCAAAAAUGGCGAAAAAUGCUGACAGAACCACAGAUAAAACAGAUCGCCGUCAACCACGGCGGAGCGAGAGAUCCACGCUAAACACGACGGGGCAAACGCCCGUAGCUACCCGCAGACGCAUCGGAAGCGUCGACCUUAUCUAGUGACGUCAGCAGAAAGUCGUCUCCAGGAACAAGCGAGCGGGGCGGACUAGGCAGCAGCAGAUCUAGCGCAUCUACGAGCAGCGAAAACGCAUAAGAAUAGCCCCAGCGAGCACGAAUCAAGCGAAGGGAGCUGGGGCGCAUCGAGCUAGCGAGGAGGCUAGAGCCAGUGAAAUCGAUCGAGUAAGCCAGUAGCUGGCAAGCGCGGACGCGCCCGCCGACGGAGCGACCGGAGAAGCAGCGGGCGGGGGGGAGAGGGAGGCCAGGAGGGGAGGUCGGGCUCACCUUGGGGUCUGGCCUCCGUCUCCCGAGGCGAGAGAUGAGAGGUGGGGAAGCGGCGGCGCUCCCGAUCCGUGAGAAUGGAAAGGGUUCAAGGAAGUGAGCACCUAGGUCGGACGCCUUUGCUUGCCGUUGUGUAUAUAUAUGUCUGGUGCCGUGCGGGCCAAGAUGCGGGAGGAGCGGGAGGGGAGGGGCCGGCCACGCGAAAUGCGGCCCGGGAGUGAAGCUGGCUGGCCUGUCUGUCCGCUGUGGCCUGUGGAGUCGGGCCGAAAUGGAUGGCGAGCUGAGCUCAGAAAAGAAAAGGAGAUUUUUUUUUUUGGAAGAUGUUUUAAAUUUGAUUUUUCGUCUACGUAAACCGCGCCGUGCUCCAACCACGUGUCCCUCUGUGGACACACAUAGGGCUUCAUCUCUGAGUGCGAAGUUUGUGUGACCGCGCACCUCGGUGCUCUGAAUCCGGGACGUCCAGCAGCGCAUUGGGAUGGUAAGUUGUCUGCUGGCUGUCCCCUGCUAGCUCGUGUUAGGUUGAGGACCUAGGAAUCAUAGACGUAUUGGUUUGGCACACAUCUUUCGUAAUACAUGUGUCUUUGAAACAUGUCCUAUCGCCGCUUUGCCUUAUUGUUAACUGUGAGGGGGGGUGCGGACCCAUUUGCUAUCCCCAUUAGCUCUUCUUCUUCAACCUGAAGCAAAUCUCAUUGUUUCUUCUUUGUUGACCAGGUGUUAUAAUCUUUUUCUGUAAAGCAAAAAUAGAAGCAAAUCUCAUUGUUUCCAAUCUUUAUGAUCAGUGAAGCAAAAAAAAGAAACAGCUACCGUGAUCGUUGCAGCACAUAAACUCAUAAUAAAUUCCACCUCAAAGCUAGAACAUUCCAAACAGUCUCAAACAACCUGCCAUAAACAUUCCAACAGUUCACAAACAACCUGCAGGUAGCGCAAAAGUGACAGCAACAUCUAGAUCAUGGAGGGUGACUAAAUGGGGCCUAGAGCCUUCAGGAGGGCUGCAUGCUCUGCCCUGGUCUUGAUGUCUGCAGCACUCGUUGCUAAACCGCGUGCAUGCGACAUGAGGUGUUCAUAAACCCCAUCCUUGGGCUUUGGCUUUGUGGUGCAGUAUGGACAUCUGAACAUUCCUCUCUUGUAGUACGCCGCCUUCCCCUUCUUCCUGAUCUUCUGAGCUUCCUUCUCAAUGAAGGACUCUUUGUUGCCGUCCUCGACGUCAUCUCCAGAUUUAUACUACACACACAAAAUUAACCGUUAUAGGGCCAGAACACACACUUCCGAUUCAGAAUGAUGCAAUGAACAAACAUCAGAUAAUUCCCAAAAAUUAACCAUUAUAGAGCCAGAACACACACUUCUGAUUCAGGAUGAUGCAAUGAACAAACAUCAGAUAAUUCCCAUUUACCAAUUUUUAAUGAACAACACAAAGAAAAAAGCCAUGUACAGAAAUCUAACUAAACAAACAACAUUAAAACACUCUCUACAUCAAAUUCAUUAAAAGAGCCCAUCAACAUGCAUUCAUAUAAUGCUUACGCUGAACUAAAAAAUAGUUUGGAUUACCUCGUACGGGUCGUCGUCGUCGUAGUCAGAGUCAUACGGGCUCUUGAACCCAGUCUUGGCGAGCUUCCUCUUCAUGCCUGCAGCUUCCCUUUCAUACAAUAUAAAUAAUUCGAUUAGCACAAACUAUGUAACACAGUAUUCAAAAAAGGUCAAGCCAUUUUCAACAAUGUGCUUCUAAUUACAUUCAUAGUGCUGCUCAGUGACGAAGCCACACUAUGGCUGUGUAGUCAAUUGACUACACAGCUUUUGAUCAAAACCUUAUAAAUUCAGAAAUACUAUAAUAUUUGGAGAGGAAUUAUAGUUGACAUCACAGGUUUAUUAUCCUGGCAUCGCCAUUGGUGCUGCUGCAUCGGCCACCCUAUUCAUGAACAUAAAUAGCCUGAUUUAUACAAAAAAAAAUUUAAAAAAUUACACAAUUGGGCUGCUGAGCCUCUGGCGUGCCCCGGUGAGGGGAUAACCACAACAAAACUAUUAACUGACGGUAAAUAGUUUGUUGUUUAGCAUAUGAUUAAAUAUUAAUUACAUUUUUCCUAAAAAAGAAAGAGAAUCAGUUACAUUGUUUAGCAAAAAUGCGCCUGGUAAUUGUGUUACGUUGUUUAGCAAAUGCGCCUGGUAAUUGUGUUGACUGAUUCACUAUAUGUGGUGUCCCAGAUCUGACAUGUUGUCUCAAGAGGACCACGGACUGGAUUAAACUAUUUGAGCUUCGCAAGUACUCUAUGAAAAUAAAAUCUAAAGCACAUGCAAGAAUCAGAGAUCCCAAUUCAAAACCUAACUCUUAUUAAAUCCGUACUAAUAAUCCUUACUAAUAAAUCUAGGAGAAAAUUAGGAAUGGGUGUUGGUAUAUAUCAAGCACAUGACCUGGGUGAAAUCUUUACUAAUAAGAGAAAGAUUUCGUUGAUUCAAGCCAGCAAAAAUGCAAAAGUUCGUCAACACAUGCAAAAGCAGAGUGUGUUCAAGCACUAAUCAACUAUAAAAAACAAGAAAACCUCAUCUAAAAAAUCCACCUCAUCGUCGUGAGCCUGCACAGCACCGCUCGAGAUCGUGUCCUCCUGCUUCGGCACCUCGUUCUCAAGAUCCGAAGCGGCAACAGCGGUUGCGGUCGUGCCCUCCUGCUUCGGCAACUCCUUCUCAAGAUCCGCAGCGACGACAACUGUUGCGGUCGUGUCCUCCUACUUCGGCAUCUCCUUCUCAACAUCCGCAACGGCGGCAGCGCGUCGAGCGCCCUCCAUUGGGUGUGGGAGAUGGGAGCAACGGGGAGAUGGUGCGACGAGAGAGAGCGAGGAGACGAAGUGGGAGGAGUGAGAGACGAGGCGACGAGGGAGACGAUGCACCCGGAGGCAGUUCCCUGUUUAAACGAUGUGAAAGUUCCUGCAACCGUCCGCCACGUGCUAUCCCACGACCGCCACUUCGUCCGGGACAUCUUACAAAAAAAAUGGCAAAAAACCCUGAUGGCGUAGACGAGGCGACGAUGGACGGCGAGGGAGUAAAUGACAUGUAUGUUGAAUGGGCUAAGAAACAAAUAAAAAAAUGCUUCCGAUUUGACCUCAGCAUGCUGUCACAUGGUUCUACAGUGAUCGAGCACGUCGUGUCUUGCGUUGGAAGCUAACCCUGACAUUUGUUCGAACAUCACGCGCCGUGACCUGCUCGUCCACUACCCCGUCGAUGGUACACCCCUGUUGACUUGCGCAAUACACGGCGUGCUGCUGUCGAUAUGGGGGACAGCUCCCAUUAUACGGUGAGGCGCGCGGAUCCCUAGCGAGUGUGGAUGGACGGGAUGUAGAGCACCGAGGUGCUCGGCCUCAUAUGCGAAUUUUCGUCCAUCUCUUCCCUUCUUAUCUCUUUCAGGGCCAUAUCUUUCUUGGCGGCUUGCUCUCUUUGUUGUAUCUCAUUCCCUCAACCGACGAAGCAUUCGGCAGUACCGCCGCAAUCCGUUGUCGUCGUCGACGCUGCAUCCAAUACCCGUCGUAGCCGACGACACUACACGCAGCACCCCCUGAUGCAUCACGGCUUUUUCGCCGUGGCCAUGGCCGCCCCGCUAUGUUGCAGCUUCCGCCAUGGCCGCAGCACCCGCCGCCGACAAUGUUGCAUCAGAGCAUCCGCCAUUGUUGGGGAACGUCGCAUGAGAAACAAAAAUUUUCCUACGCGCACGAAGACCUAUCAUGGUGAUGUCCAUCUACGAGAGGGGAUGAGUGAUCUACGUACCCUUGUAGACCGUACAGCAGAAGCGUUAGAGAACGCGGUUGAUGUAGUGGAACGUCCUCACGUCCCUCGAUCCGCCCCGCGAACAAUCCCGCGAUCAGUCCCACGAUCUAGUACCGAACGGACGGCACCUCCGCAUUCAGCACACGUACAGCUCGACGAUGAUCUCGGCCUUCUUGAUCCAGCAAGAGAGACGGAGAGGUAGAAGAGUUCUCCGGCAGCGUGGCGGCGCUCCGGAGGUUGGUGAUGACCUUGUCUCAGCAGGGCUCCGCCCGAGCUCCGCACAAACGCGAUCUAGAGGAAAAACCGUGGAGGUAUGUGGUCGGGCUGCCGUGGAAAAGUCGUCUCAAAUCAGCCCUAAAACCUCCGUAUAUAUAGGUGGGAGGGAGGGGGCCUUGCCUUGGGGCUCAAGGAGCCCCAAGGGGGUCGGCCGAGUCCAAGGGGGAGGACUCUCCCCCCCCCCAAACCGAGUUGGACUAGGUUUGGUGGGAGGGAGUCCCCCUUCCUUCCCACCUCCUCCUUUUUUUCUCUCUUGAUUUUCUUCUCCUUGGCGCAUAGGGCACUUGUGGUCUGUCCCACCAGCCCACUAAGGGCUGGUGUGUCUCCCCCAAUGCCUAUGGGCUUCCCCGGGGUGGGUUUCCCCCCCCCCCCCGGGGAACCCCCGCAACCCAUUCGUCCUUCCCGGUCAAUUCCCGGGAAUGUUUUGUCUAUGUAUCCACACAAGUAUUGUGUUUCCAAUCAAUACAAUUAUAGCAUGGAUAAUAAGCGAUGAUCAUGAACAAAGAAAUAUAAUAGUAACUAAUUUAUUGUUGCCUCUAGGGCAUAUUUCCAACACGAACAACAUUAGCUAACCACACAUAUAACUCAACUAUACUAAAACAUCGUCGAACCUUAAGUGUGCAGAUCAUGCGGGUUCGAGAAUUAUGUAGACAUGCCCCGAGGCACUCCUCGGUCAAUAUCCAAUAGCGGGACCUGGAUGCCCAUAUUGGAUCCUACAUAUUCUACGAAGAUCUUAUCGUUUGAACCUCAGUGCCAAGGAUUCGUAUAAUCCCGUAUGUCAUUCCCUUUGUCCUUCGGUAUAUUACUUGCCCGAGAUUCGAUUGUCAGUAUCCGCAUACCUAUUUCAAUCUUGUUUACCGGCAAGUCUCUUUACUCGUUCCGUAAUACAAGAUCCCGCAACUUACACUAAGUUACGUUGCUUGCAAGGCUUGUGUGUGAUGUUGUAUUACCGAGUGGGCCCCGAGAUACCUCUCCGUCACACGGAGUGACAAAUCCCAGUCUUGAUCCAUAUUAACUCAACGGACAUCUUCGGAGAUACCUGUAGAACACCUUUAUAGUCACCCAGUUACGUUGCGACGUUUUAUGCACACAAGGUAUUGAGUUACGUUGCGACGUUUGAUACACACAAAGCAUUCCUCCGGUGUUAGUGAGUUAUAUGAUCUCAUGGUCAUAGGAAUAAAUACUUGACACACGCAGAAAACAGUAGCAACAAAAUGACACGAUCAACAUGCUACGUCUAUUAGUUUGGGUCUAGUCCAUCACGUGAUUCUCCCAAUGACGUGAUCCAGUUAUCAAGCAACAACACCUUGUUCAUAAUCAGAAGACACUGAGUAUCAUCGAUCAACUGGCUAGCCAACUAGAGGCAUGCUAGGGACGGUGUUUUGUCUAUGUAUCCACACAUGUAAAUGAGUCUUCAUUCAAUACAAUUAUAGCAUGGAUAAAAAACUAUUAUCUUGAUACAGGAAUUAUAAUAAUAACUAUAUUUAUUAUUGCCUCUAGGGCAUAAUUCCAACAGUCUCCCACUUGCACUAGAGUCAAUAAUCUAGCCCUCACAUCAUCAUGUGAAUUACAUUGUAAUAAAUCUAACACCCAUACAGUUCUGGUGUCAAUCAUGUUUUGGCCGUGGAAGAGGUUUAGUCAGCGGGUCUGCCAUAUUUAGAUCCGUGUGCACUUUGCAUAUAUUUACGUCCUCUUCCUCGACGUAGUCGCGGAUGAGGUUGAAGCGUCGUUUGAUGUGUCUGGUCUUCUUGUGAAACCGUGGUUCCUUUGCUAAGGCAAUGGCACCAGUGUUGUCACAGAACAAGGUUAUUGGAUUCAGUGCGCUUGGCACCACUCCAAGAUCCGUCAUGAACUGCUUCAUCCAGACACCCUCCUUAGCCGCCUCCGAGGCAGCCAUGUACUCCGCUUCACAUGUAGAAUCUGCUACGACGCUUUGCUUGGAACUGCACCAGCUUACUGCACCCCCAUUAAGAAUAAAUACGUAUCCGGUUUGCGACUUAGAGUCGUCCGGAUCUGUGUCAAAGCUUGCAUCGACGUAACCUUUUACGGCGAGCUCUUCGUCACCUCCAUACACGAGAAACAUCUCCUUAGUCCUUUUCAGGUACUUCAGGAUAUUCUUGACCGCUGUCCAGUGAUCCACUCCUGGAUUACUCUGGAACCUACCUGCCAUACUUAUGGCCAGGCUAACAUCCGGUCUAGUGCACAGCAUUGCAUACAUGAUAGAACCUAUGGCUGAAGCAUAGGGGACGGAGCGCAUAUGCUCUCUAUCUUCAUCAGUUGCUGGGCACUGAGUCUUACUCAAUCUCGUACCUUGUAAAACUGGCAAGAACCCUUUCUUGGACUGUUCCAUUUUGAACCUCUUCAAAACUUUAUCAAGGUAUGUGCUUUGUGAAAGUCCUAUCAGGCGUUUUGAUCUAUCCCUAUAGAUCUUAAUGCCUAGAAUGUAAGCAGCUUCCCCUAGGUCCUUCAUAGAGAAACUUUUAUUCAAGUAACCUUUUAUGCUCUCCAAAAGCUCUAUGUUGUUUCCAAUCAGUAAUAUGUCAUCCACAUAUAAUAUUAGAAACGCCACAGAGCUCCCACUCACUUUCUUGUAAAUACAAGAUUCUCCAACCACUUGUAUAAACCCAAAUGCUUUGAUCACCUCAUCAAAGCGUUUGUUCCAACUCCGAGAUGCUUGCACCAGUCCAUAAAUGGAUCGCUGGAGCUUGCACACCUUGUUAGCACUCUUAGGAUCGACAAAACCUUCGGGUUGCAUCAUAUACAACUCUUCCUUAAGGAAACCGUGAAGGAACGCCGUUUUGACAUCCAUCUGCCAGAUUUCAUAAUCGAAAAAUGCAGCUAUUGCUAACAUGAUUCUGACGGACUUAAGCAUCGCUACGGGUGAGAAAGUCUCAUCGUAGUCAACUCCUGGAACUUGUGAAAAACCCUUUGCCACAAGUCGAGCUUUAUAAACGGUCACAUUACCGUCAGCGUCCGUCUUCUUCUUAAAGAUCCAUUUGUUCUGAAUAGCCUUGCGGCCCUCAGGUAGUAUCUCCAAAGUCCACACUUUGUUCUCAUACAUGGAUCCUAUCUCGGACUUCAUGGUUUCUAGCCAUUUGUUGGAAUCUGGGCCCACCAUUGCUUCUUCAUAAUUUGCAGGUUCAUUGUUGUCUAACAACAUGAUUGAUAAGACGGGAUUACCGUACCACUCUGGAGCAGCACGUGAUCUCGUCGACCUGCGUGGUUCAACAGAAACUUGAACUGGAGUUUCAUGAUCACCAUCAUUAACUUCCUCCUCAACCGGCGUCGCAACGACAGAGGUUUCCCCUUGCCCUGCGCCACCAUCCAGAGGGAUGAGAGGUUCGACAACCUCGUCAAGUUCUAUCUUCCUCCCACUCAAUUCUCUCUCGAGAAACUCCUUCUCGAGAAAAGCUCCGUUCUUAGCAACAACCACUUUGCCCUCGGAUUUGAGAUAGAAGGUGUACCCAACUGUCUCUUUUGGGUAACCUAUGAAGACGCACUUUUCCGCUUUGGGUUCCAGCUUUUCAGGCUGAAGCUUUUUGACAUAAGCAUCACAUCCCCAAACUUUAAGAAACGACAACUUUGGCCUUUUGCCAUACCACAGUUCGUAUGGUGUCGUCUCAACGGAUUUUGAUGGUGCCCUAUUUAAAGUGAAUGCAGCUGUUUCUAAUGCAUAACCCCAAAAUGAUAACGGUAAAUCAGUAAGAGACAUCAUAGAUCGCACCAUCUCUAACAAAGUACGAUUACGACGUUCGGACACACCAUUACGCUGUGGUGUUCCAGGCGGUGUCAACUGUGAAACAAUUCCACAUUUUCUCAAGUGAUCACCAAACUCGAAACUCAGAUAUUCACCCCCACGAUCAGACCGUAGGAACUUGAUCUUCUUGUUACGAUGAUUUUCCACUUCACUCUGAAAUUGCUUGAACUUUUCAAAUGUUUCAGACUUGUGCUUCAUCAAGUAGACAUAACCAUACCUACUCAAAUCGUCAGUGAAGGUGAGAAAAUAACGAUAUCCGCCGCGUGCCUCCACGCUCAUUGGACCACACACAUCGGUAUGUAUGAUUUCCAAUAAGUCACUUGCACGCUCCAUUGUUCCGGAGAACGGAGUCUUAGUCAUCUUGCCCAUGAGGCAUGGUUCGCACGUGUCAAGUGAAUCGAAGUCAAGUGACUCCAAAAGUCCAUCAGCAUGGAGUUUCUUCAUGCGCUUUACACCAAUAUGACCCAAGCGGCAGUGCCACAAAAAUAUGGCGCUAUCAUUGUUUACUCUAACUCUUUUGGUCUCAAUGUUAUGUAUAUGCGUAUCGCUAUCAAGAUUCAAUAUGAACAAUCCUCUCACAUUCGGUGCAUGACCAUAAAAGAUGUUACUCAUAGAAAUAGAACAACCAUUAUUCUCUGACUUGAAAGAGUAACCGUCUCGCAAUAAACAAGAUCCAGAUAUAAUGUUCAUGGUCAACGCAGGCACUAAAUAACAAUGAUUUAAGUUCAUCACUAAUCCCGACGGUAGCUGAAGUAACACUGUGCCGACGGCGAUUGCAUCAACCCUGGAACCAUUUCCUACGCGCAUCGUCACUUCAUCUUUCGCCAGCCUUCGUCUAUUCCGCAGUUCCUGAUUUUUCCUUGCCCGCCUUCUUAUGUGCCAGAUACUUGGGGCAAUUGCACUUCCAGUGACCCAUACCCUUGCAAUAGUAGCACUCCGUUUCAGGCUUAGGUCCAGCCUUGGGUUUCUUCGGCGGAUUGGCAACAGGCUUGCCGCUCUUCUUCGAAUUGCCCUUCUUGCCUUUGCCGUUUCUCUUCAAACUAGUGGUCUUAUUCACCAUCGACACUUGAUGCUCUUUACGGAGUUCAGACUCUGCGACUUUCAACAUCGCAAACAACUCGCCGGGAGACUUGUUCAUCCCUUGCAUGUUGUAGUUCAACACAAAACCUUUGUAGCUUGGCGACAGUGAUUGAAGGAUUCUGUCAGUGAUAGCUUCUUGCGGGACUUCAAUCCCCAGCUCAGCUAGACGGUUUGAGUACCCAGACAUUUUGAGCACAUGUUCACUCACAGACGAGUUUUCCUCCAUCUUGCAAGCAUAGAAUUUAUCGGAGGUCUCAUACCUCUCGAUCCGGGCGUUCUUCUGAAAGAUAAACUCCAACUCCUGGAACAUCUCAAAUGCUCCAUGACGCUCAAAGCGACGUUGAAGUCCCGGUUCUAAGCCAUACAAGACUGCACAUUGAACUAUUGAGUAGUCCUCCUUACGUGCUAACCAAGCGUUCUUAACAUCCUGAUCAGCCGUAGCGGGUGGUUCAUCUCCUAGCGCAGCACUAAGGACAUAAUCCUUCUUCCCAGCUUGUAAGAUUAGCUUAAGAUUACGAGCCCAGUCUACAAAGUUGCUUCCAUCAUCUUUCAACUUAGCUUUCUCUAGGAACGUAUUAAAAUUGAGGACGACUGUCGCGUGAGCCAUGAUCUACAACACAAAUAUAUUCAAAGUGGACUUAGACUAUGUUUAAGAUAAUUAGAGUUUAACUUAAUCAAAUUAUAUGCUAAACUCCCACUCAAAAAGUACAUCUCUCUAGUCAUUUGAGUGGUUCAUGAUCCACUUACACUAUCCCAAGUCCGAUCAUCACGUGAGUUGAGUAUAGUUUCAGUGGUAAGCAUCCCUAUGCUAAUCAUAUCAUCUAUAUGAUUCAUGAUCGACCUUUCGGUCUCAUGUGUUCCGAGGCCAUGUCUGCACAUGCUAGGCUCGUCAAGCUUAACCCGAGUGUUCCGCGUGCGCAACUGUUUUGCACCCGUUAUAUGUGAACGUUGAGUCUAUCACACCCGAUCAUCACGUGGUGUCUCAAAACGACGAACUGUAGCAACGGUGCACAGUCGGGGAGAACACAAUUUCGUCUUGAAAUUUUAGUGAGAGAUCACCUCAUAAAGCUACCGUCUUUCUAAGCAAAACAAGGUGCAUAAAAGGAUUAACAUCACAUGCAAUUCAUAAGUGACAUGAUAUGGCCAUCAUCACGAGCUUCUUGAUCUCCAUCACCAAAGCACCGGCACGAUCUUGUUGUCACCGGCGCCACACCAUGAUCUACCAUCAACGUGUUGCCAUCGGGGUUGUCGUGCUACUCAUGCUAUUACUACUAAAGCUACAUCCUAGCAAAAUAGUAAACGCAUCUGCAAGCACAAACGUUAGUUUAAAGACAACCCUAUGGUUCCUGCCGGUUGCCGUACCAUCGACGUGCAAGUCGAUAUUAACUAUUACAAUAUGAUCAUCUCAUACAUCCAAUAUAUCACAUCAUAUAGUUGGCCAUAUCACAUCACAAGCAUACCCUGCAAAAACAAGUUAGACGUCCUCUAAUUUUGUUGUUGCAUGUUUUACGUGGUGACCAUGGGUAUCUAGUAGGAUCGCAUCUUACUUAUGCAAACACCACAAUGGAGAUAUAUGAGUUGCUAUUUAACCUCAUCCAAGGACCUCCUCGGUCAAAUACGAUUCAACUAAAGUUGGAGAAACUGACACCCGCCAGUCAUCUUUGAGCAACGGAGUUACUCGUAGCGAUGAAACCAGUCUCUCGUAAGCGUACGAGUAAUGUCGGUCCGAGCCGCUUCGAUCCAACAAUACCGCGGAAUCAAGAAAAGACUAAGGAGGGCAGAAAAACGCACAUCACCGCCCACAAAAACUUUUGUGUUCUACUCGAGAAGACAUCUACGCAUGAACCUAGCUCAUGAUGCCACUGUUGGGGAACGUCGCAAGGGAAACAAAAAUUUUCCUACGCGCACGAAGACCUAUCAUGGUGAUGUCCAUCUACGAGAGGGGAUGAGUGAUCUACGUACCCUUGUAGACCGUACAACAGAAGCGUUAGAGAACGCGGUUGAUGUAGUGGAACGUCCUCGCGUCCCUCGAUCCGCCCCGCGAACAAUCCCGCGAUCAGUCCCACGAUCUAGUACCGAACGGACGGCACCUCCGCGUUCAGCACACGUACAGCUCGACAAUGAUCUCGGCCUUCUUGAUCCAGCAAGAGAGACGGAGAGGUAGAAGAGUUCUCCGGCAGCGUGACGGCGCUCCGGAGGUUGGUGAUGACCUUGUCUCAGCAGGGCUCCGCCCGAGCUCCGCACAAACGCGAUCUAGAGGAAAAACCGUGGAGGUAUGUGGUCGGGCUGCCGUGGAAAAGUCGUCUCAAAUCAGCCCUAAAACCUCCGUAUAUAUAGGUGGGAGGGAGGGGGCCUUGCCUUGGGGCUCAAGGAGCCCCAAGGGGGUCGGCCGAGUCCAAGGGGGAGGAUUCUCCCCCCCCAAACCGAGGUUGACUAGCUUUGGUGGGAGGGAGUCCCCCUUCCUUACCACCUCCUCCUUUUUUCUUCUUUCUCUCUUGAUUUUCUUCUCCUUGGCGCAUAGGGCACUUGUGGGCUGUCCCACCAGCCCACUAAGGGCUGGUGUGUCUCCCCCAAUGCAUAUGGGCUUCCCCGGGGUGGGUUGCCCCCCCCCCCCCCCGGGNNNNNNNNNNNNNNNNNNNNNNNNNNNNNNNNNNNNNNNNNNNNNNNNNNNNNNNNNNNNNNNNNNNNNNNNNNNNNNNNNNNNNNNNNNNNNNNNNNNNNNNNNNNNNNNNNNNNNNNNNNNNNNNNNNNNNNNNNNNNNNNNNNNNNNNNNNNNNNNNNNNNNNNNNNNNNNNNNNNNNNNNNNNNNNNNNNNNNNNNNNNNNNNNNNNNNNNNNNNNNNNNNNNNNNNNNNNNNNNNNNNNNNNNNNNNNNNNNNNNNNNNNNNNNNNNNNNNNNNNNNNNNNNNNNNNNNNNNNNNNNNNNNNNNNNNNNNNNNNNNNNNNNNNNNNNNNNNNNNNNNNNNNNNNNNNNNNNNNNNNNNNNNNNNNNNNNNNNNNNNNNNNNNNNNNNNNNNNNNNNNNNNNNNNNNNNNNNNNNNNNNNNNNNNNNNNNNNNNNNNNNNNNNNNNNNNNNNNNNNNNNNNNNNNNNNNNNNNNNNNNNNNNNNNNNNNNNNNNNNNNNNNNNNNNNNNNNNNNNNNNNNNNNNNNNNNNNNNNNNNNNNNNNNNNNNNNNNNNNNNNNNNNNNNNNNNNNNNNNNNNNNNNNNNNNNNNNNNNNNNNNNNNNNNNNNNNNNNNNUGAUGUUGUAUUACCGAGUGGGCCCCGAGAUACCUCUCCGUCACACGGAGUGACAAAUCCCAGUCUUGAUCCAUACUAACUCAACUAACACCUUCGGAGAUACCUGUAGAGCAUCUUUAUAGUCACCCAGUUACGUUGCGGCGUUUGAUACACACAAAGCAUUCCUCCGGUGUAAGUGAGUUAUAUGAUCUUAUGGUCAUAGGAAUAAAUACUUGACACGCAGAAAACAGUAGCAACAAAAUGACACGAUCAACAUGCUACGUCUAUUAGUUUGGGUCUAGUCCAUCACGUGAUUCUCCCAAUGACGUGAUCCAGUUAUCAAGCAACAACACCUUGUUCAUAAUCAGAAGACACUGACUAUCAUCGAUCAACUGGCUAGCCAACUAGAGGCAUGCUAGGGACGGUGUUUUGUCUAUGUAUCCACACAUGUAAAUGAGUCUUCAUUCAAUACAAUUAUAGCAUGGAUAAAAAACUAUUAUCUUGAUACAGGAAUUAUAAUAAUAACUAUAUUUAUUAUUGCCUCUAGGGCAUAAUUCCAACAGCCAUGGCCGCCACAUUGCGUCACAUCAUUCGCCAUGGCCGCCGCACUGCAUCGCAACACCAUCGCCGGCAACACUGCAUCGCAGCAUCCCCCACGGGCACCGACGUUGCAUCUCAGCUUCCGCCAUGGCCGCCCCGCUGCAUCGCAGCACCAUCGCCGACAAUGCUGCAUCGCAACAUCCGUCAUGGCCGCCGGCGCUGCAUCUUAACUUCCACCGUCGUCACCAUGCACUGCAUCGCAGCUUCUGCAGUGGCCACCAUGCUGUGUCGCAGCACCUGUCACCGUUGUUGGAGUUGUGUAGAAGGUCGUCGAUGUCGGGAUGAGGCCCGUCGAGUCUGACUAGUGCUGCAACGGAGCUCCGUCAGGGCUGCAAUCAAGCCCGCUGAAGCUGCAAUGAAACACACCGGAGCUGCAAUGAAGCGCGAUGGAGCUACAGUGAAGCAUUGUGGGGUCGUUGAAGUUUCAUAGGAGCUGCAAUGGAGUGUCGUUGGCGUCGCUGGUGCUUCGCGCGACACGCGGUGCUGCCAUGGAAGUUGUUGUGCUGAUUUUUUUUGCUGGAGAUGCCACGGGGUGCAGGAUGGAGGAACGGGGAGGAAGAAGACGGCUUCGUUUGCUGCCAUUAAAGGGCCAUCAUCUGUCACAUCGUACGGCUAGCCAAACGGAUGAUUUCUGAGAAAUCAUCCGACUCAUCCAUAAGAACCACCUUUUUCUGAUGAAGAAAAGGAAAGGAGUUACCAAUGACGAAGGCGCCAAGGACACUAUCGACCCGCAACACAUUUUAACGAGUGGCAAUGGGGCAAAGAGCAUCUCUAGAAGACUCAUUAAAACGCGAAACUCAAAACCGCGGUUUCAUUUCACGGAAAACGUGUUUAAAGGUCGAUUUGAGCUGCGGCCUAACAAACCCUUUAAACUUAAAUUGUAAAAUCAAAUAUUCGUUUGUUCUUUUUCCCACAUCUUCUUUUUCUCUCGCUCGUGUUAAUAACCAGCUAAAUUCGCUCUUAGAAAAUCGACAAAGAAUGCUCAAAGCGACCAAAUAUAAAGUCGUAGACGUCCGGAAAAGCUAACUAGCUAACGUCGUCGUUGAAAUCCAUCGAGAAGCUAGCUAGAUAGCUAGCCCCGAUCACGGAAUCAAUCGAGGAGAGCUAAAGCUCUUGUCGACGACGCUGAAUCUGGCCAAGACGGGCAGGGCGGCCGUCAAGACGACCGAGGCGUCGGCGGGCAGCGGCCAGGACGAACGGGUGCUGACCGAUGACUAGCGGGGAUGGACGGGGCGACGGUCGGGAGCAAAUCAAGAAUGUUUGGAUGGCAAUUGGACUUCCGUCAACGAGCUUUUUCAUAUACGGAGCACUUACGGAUUGGCUCCGAAAUCCUUAUUUUUUAAGGAUUCGAUGAGGAUUUUUACCAUACCCCACCUCUUUUAAAAAAUUUACAAGUCGGAGUCAUUUACGAGAUCGGAUCGAGUAUCUUUUUUACGCGAACUCAUAUUUUAACUGUUAGAGAUGUUCUAACCUUUCUUUUAGUAAGGCUGCUAGGAAUUUAUGGUUCAUAUAGUCAUAGGCUCAAUUUUUUGCCGAAUCUGGACACAUCCGUAUUGGCCAUUUUGUUAGCCGCACUUAACCUAAUUUUAGUUAGACUAUUCAUAAUGAAAGUAACAUAGAUAGUAAUAUAGAUGACAUAUAAACAAAAAAUAUGAUGUGACAGCUAAUUAAUAAGCAGAGAGAGAAAUUAAAUAACUUAACAUGUUACUUAUACUAAAAGUAACAUAACGGAUACCAAGUCAAGAUGAGUCUAUAAACUAAUAAAUGAAAUGUUUAAUGUUACUAUCCUAUGUUACUAUCCACUAUGAAAGUAUUAACAUAUGUAUGUUAAUACUCUAUGUUAGUCUUCAUUAUGAGUAGUCUUAUGGCAAAGCUGGUCAUGAAGACAAAUCAUUAGAUGCCAUGCCUAUGUUUCAACAAAGAUUAAAAGGUUGAAGCUUACUCGCAAGUGUCAUAAUUACAUAGAGUAAGCAGACAAAUCAAUCAUAUGCCUAAAUUUACCAUGAACAAAUGCACAACUCAAUAUUGCUAUAACCCCUGGAAUUAAAGAAGUUACUGGGCAUGAGAUUCAUGCCUACAAAGGUUCAAUCUGUAAUAUUCCAAAGAGAUGCCAUGUUCGGAUACUCUCAGCACUGACAGAUGCUUCUACAACAGAAUAUUCUCAGGAAGUUCGUCUAAUGUACUACUUCUCCGUCCCAAGAUAUUUCUAAUAAUUCAAGGGACAACUAAUUCCAGGCUGAGAGAGUAUAUACCCAUCAUUGCUGCGUGUCUAAAAAUUUUAGGUAAGAACUGGAGAAUUACGAAUUGUAUUAACAAACUCAUACAAACUGCAGCAUAACCAAGUACAGUAAGUUUGAGCAUAUAGAUUCAAAGAUACAACUGCCAGAAGUUAGAACACAUUUUGAUGGCCGUAAAACCUGGACGAGUUCGUCAAUGAAGGCAAAAUGAUGACAAGACCAGGCAGAAGAACAGCAAGUAGAACUAUCAAGAUAAUGAGAAAGCAAUAAAGCAAACACAGGAUCUAUAUUUCAGUGUUCUACAGCAAUAAAGAACCAGGGAGAGCUCUAGAUCAAAGGCAAUAGCAAACACAAAAAACACAUAUACUCCCUCUGUACCGAAAUACUUGUAGUUGUAGGUAGGCUACCGAAAUACUUAUAGUUGUAGUAGGCUAACUCACUACAAGUAUUUCAAUACAGAGGGAGUAUAAUCUAAUUUAAAAUCAACAGAGAUAAAAAAAAUGCCAGUAUCACAACAGAUAUAUAAUCUAAGUUUUAACAUCGAGAGACAUCAAAACAAAGUGCCAGUACCACGACAGAUAGGACAUUGCAAUAGCAAUACAGCGACGGACUCAAUAGACAGAAAAUAGCGCAGCUCUCUUAGCAGCAUAAAGCAAACUAGACCAUGUAACAGAAUCAGAAGUUCAGAGCUUGUCCUCGAAAUCAGAUAGAGGGGUCAUCUGUUCCUUGAGACCCUUGCGCUUGCGGAUCUCCGUGACAAGGGUGGCAGACUGGGAGCCGGCCUCCAGAGGAUCAGAAGACAUGAUGUCCCAGUGGUCAAACACACACUGGGGGAAAGCCUGGCCAGAUGUAGCUGCCCUGAGGGUACUUGAGAACCCGAAGGACUCGAUGACCGGGAGGUAAGCCUUGAUGUUGUACAGCGGGGUACCAGGCCUCUGCAUCUCCUCAAACACAUGCCCUCUCUUCUGAUUCAAAACACCAUAGAUACCACCAAGUGCAUUCUCGGGGGCCUGGAUCUCAACCAGGUACACAGGCUCCAGCAGCCUUGGCUUAGCAGUGAGCUGAGAAGCGUAAAUGACCCUCCUGGCUGUUGGGAUGACCUGGCCACCACCCCUGUGAAUAGCAUCAGUGUGCAGAACAACAUCACAGACCUCAAAGCAAAUGCCACGCAUGUUCUCCUCAGCCAAUGCACCUUCCUUUGAUGCCCAUUGGAACCCAGCCACAACAGAAUCCUUGAUUUCAUUGAGAUACUGCACUCCCUUACACAUGUCAACAACCAUGUUCGGGCCAGUCGUUUCAGGUCCAAAGCACCAAAUCUUCUUGGCAAGAUCCUUGUCCCAGCCAAACUCCUCAGAGAGGAUCUUGGAGCGCACCUUGGGAUCAUCACGUGGGCCAAUGCGGCCAUCAUCAAUAGCCUCAGCCAAUCCCUCCUCCAAUGGGCGAGCUUCCAUGUAAAGACGGUUAUGCUUGUUAGGGGACUUGCUCAUGACAGUGCGGCAGGACUUCUCAAGAACAGUCUCACGGAAGGAGACGACAGGAGGGGAAACAAUAAUUUCAGCACCACCCAUGAAGUCCUCCUGCAGAUCCUUCAAACAGAUUUCAAGGUGAAGCUCUCCAGCUCCAGCAAUAAUAUGCUCACCAGACUCUUCAAUGCUACAGAGAACCAUAGGAUCAGACUUCGCCAGCCGCUUCAAACCCUCAACAAGCUUAGGAAGAUCAGAUGCCACCUUGCACUGAACAGCAACACGCACAACAGGGGACACAGAGAACUUCAUGGCCCUGAUUGGGCAGGCAUCAACUUCCUUCUCAUUUGUUAGGGUUGCAUUCUUUGUGAUGAACUGAUCCAAACCAACCAAAGCAACAGUGUUACCACAGGGAACAUCCUCAACAGACUCUUGCUUCUUUCCCAUCCAGAUAACAGUCCGCUGGACACUCUUCACAUAUAGAUCCUUCUUCUGGCCAGGAACAAAGUUGGGACCCAUGAUACGGACCUUCAUGCCAGUUGCGACCCUCCCGGCAAAGACACGUCCAAAGGCAAAGAAUCUACCCUUGUCAGAUGCUGGAAUCAUCUUGGAGACAUACAGCAUAAGAGGACCAUCAGGGUCAACAUAAGAGGACCAUCUGGGUCACAGUUUCUGAUAGCGUUUGCAUAUACAUCAUCAAGGGGACCCUCAUAUAAGUUCUCCACACGAUACCUCUGUGCCUUUGAAGGAGAGGGGAGGUGAAAUAUCAUCAUCUCAAGCAGAGCACGACUGGCAGGCAGCCAAGUUUGCAUCACACGCUUCAUGAGAGCCUUNNNNNNNNNNNNNNNNNNNNNNNNNNNNNNNNNNNNNNNNNNNNNNNNNNNNNNNNNNNNNNNNNNNNNNNNNNNNNNNNNNNNNNNNNNNNNNNNNNNNCCAACCCCCGACGCCAGUGAUCCUCGACCCCCGACAACACUAACCCCCGACCACCGACACAACUAACCCCCGACCGUCGACGCCACCGACACCCGACACCACCGACCAUCGACGCCACCGACACCCGACACCACCGACCAUCGCCGCCACUAAGCCGACGGGGUCAUAAUUUUGUAAAUUAUGAGUUAGGUCACAUAUUUUCCGAUUAUGUUAAUUAUAAAAACAUCAUAUUUGUGUUGAUCGGGUGAAUUUCAAUGUGCAGUUGUUCGACGACCUCCACGUGCGUUGGACGAGCUCCGCCCUUGCGUUUGUUGAUGAGCACAAAUGACUUCUCCUCCUACCCCCUUAAUUUGCUCUGUCCCGGUCUUCGUGCCAAUGAAACUUGCUAACUAUAGGUUUCUUCAAUCAUGAGUAUGCGUGACCAGUAUGCGUCUCCCGUUCGAAAGGGCGACAUCUAUAAAUAUGCAUUUCUUUGCAUAUUUAUAACCGCCAUCCUUUCGAAUUGUCCAACAUUAUCCAUGGACAGCCCGAGUAUGUGUAGAUUGGGUUUGUUUUCCCGUAUGCUGUGCUCCGGAUCCAAUGCGGAAUUUCGUCAGUGCCUCCCCUGUUGUUCUCCGGGUACACAUCCUCUCUGCUUAUUGCCGAGACGUGUAUCAGGAGAACAGCGGGGAGUUGAUGCCGAAAUUCUGCGUCGCAUCUGGAGCAGAGCAUGGGAAAACGAACCCAGUCUACACAUACUCGGGUGGGAUUAGGACAUAUCUUUACCUAUUAGCGUGUAAGUUGCAUGGACGUAAUAAAACUGACAAACUUGAUUAGCGUAUGAAUAUAGAUGAUGAAUUAUAUAUUUAUUUCUUGUGCCCCCAUAGGUAGCUAGGCAACAUGAGUGAUCGUGCUUGGAUGUACACUGGUCACCCUAGUCAGAAAUACAUGACCCAUGAAUGGUUAACAAAAACCAGGGGGUUUGUGAGAGCCGCAUUUGCAAAUGGCCAGCAUAAAACAUGGUGCCCCUGUCCCAACUGCGACAACUGGAAAAAGCAGACAGAGUUUGAAAUGGGUAAACACCUGCAGAAGUGGGGUUUUACGCCUAAUUAUAUGGUGUGGACUUUUCAUGGUGAGUCUGACCAACGUGCCAGAGCUGAGGUGAUUCAUCGUCGCACCGACGAGCAUGGUACCGGGAUUGAAGACAUGGUGCAAGACUUUGAGGAUGCUCGUGAUUCGGACGAUGAGAUGGAGGAAUCUGCAAAGGCCUUCUAUGAAAUGUUGGAGUCUUCAAAACGCCCUCUCCACGAGCAGACGGAGCUUUGUCAGCCGGAUGCCAUCGCACAAGUAAUGGCUCUGAAGGCUCAAUUCAACCUAGGCAGAGAAUGCUACGACGCGGUGAUGACGAUAUUUGGACGCUUUCUACCCAAAGGCCAUGUACUGCCUGCAAACCUGUACCAGUCAGAGAAAAUCCUCCGUGUACUUAAGAUGCCCUAUGAGAAGAUACAUGCCUAUGAGAAUGGAUGUGCCUUAUUUAGGCUUGAGUAUGCGGCCUUGAACUAUUGCCCCAUUUGCAAUUCUUCCAGGUAUAUUGUGGUAGACAACGGCAUGGGUGAGAAGAAUCAGACCAAAAUCCCCAUUAGUGUUCUUCGAUAUCUGCCAAUCGUACCAAGACUUCAACGUCUUUUCAUGGUCGAAGAGACGGCCAGACAGAUGACAUGGCACAAAUUGGGCAAAAGAACCGAACUAGAGGCGGAUGGGAACAAGAUGCUGGUACACACUUCAGAUGGUUUUGCGUGGAGGCACUUCGAUGCAUUACAUAAGGAUAAAUCGGAAGAUCCAAGGCAACCUAGAGUUGCCAUCAGCAUGGAUGGGUUAAAUGUGUAUGGUAUGACGGCAGCACAAUACAGUUGUUGGCCUGUAUUUGUCAUUCCACUAAAUUUGCCACCCGGAGAGAUUAUGAAAAGAAAGAACAUAUUCCUGACGUUGAUAAUUACAUAUUAUUAAGGCUUUGUAGUUAGUUUCCUUGAUUUGGUUCUUACGCGCUCAAAUUUCUCUUUAUUAACUUAGGUGCCCCCGAGAUGGUGUGUGGAUAAGAUGGAUUGUUGGGAGGCCUUGGUGGAUCAGUGGUGCUCCGAAACGUGGGAGGUGUUGGGGAACGUCGCAAGGGAAACAAAAAAUUUCCUACGCGCACGAAGACCUAUCAUGGUGAUGNNNNNNNNNNNNNNNNNNNNNNNNNNNNNNNNNNNNNNNNNNNNNNNNNNNNNNNNNNNNNNNNNNNNNNNNNNNNNNNNNNNNNNNNNNNNNNNNNNNNCAUCUGUCCAUCUUGUUCACAGUAAGAACAGGCCUAAUCCUCUCACCUAGAGCUUGGCGCAGCACAGUUUCAGUCUGCACACACACACCCUCAAUACAGUCGACAACCACCAAAGCACCAUCAGUGAUACGAAGAGCAGCUGUGACUUCCGAAGAAAAGUCAACGUGGCCAGGUGAAUCGAUAAGGUUGAUCAGGUACUCAUCACCAUCCCUGUCGCCCUUGUACAUCUCGAGUGAUUCAGGAGUCAUCUGAUAGAAAAGAGAGAUACCCGUGGAUUUGAUUGUAAUACCACGUUCUGCCUCGUCUGCACGCGUAUU
Molecule: long non-coding RNA, 143253 nt
Filed under: Hordeum vulgare
Lineage: Eukaryota; Viridiplantae; Streptophyta; Magnoliopsida; Poales; Poaceae
Description: long non-coding RNA (HVUL_LNC014302)
Rfam family: MIR1120/MIR1122 microRNA precursor family (bases 121182-121268)
Source: RNAcentral